UUCAUCAGCACUGGACAAUCUUCAAAAGGCAGUGAGUGGGAAGAGGUACCUCCUUGUAUUGGAUGAUGUGUGGAACCGUGAUGAGCCCAGCAAGUGGGAAAGGCUCAAGUCCUACCUUCAGCAUGGUGGCAGCGGUAGCUCAGUGCUGACAACAACUCGCGAUGAAGCUGUUGCUAAACUAAUGAUGGGUACAACUGAAGGAGCCUAUAAACUUGGAAGCUUGGAUGAAGAGUCCUUAGGGAAAAUUAUCAAGGCAAGAGCAUUCGGUUCAAAACAAGAAAAGGAGUGGCCUGGUGAACUAGUUAACAUGGUUGGUGAAGUUGCCAAGAGAUGUGCUGGUUCUCCUUUAGCUGCUACAGCAUUGGGCUCUUUCCUGGGUACCAAGACCAGAAAGCAAGAAUGGGAGGAUGUACUAAAUGGAAGCACGAUUUGUGAUGAGGAAAAUGGGAUUUUACCAGUACUUAAACUAAGUUACAAUUGCUUGCCAUCAUACAUGCGGCAAUGCUUUGCUUUCUGUGCUAUGUUUCCCAAGGAUUAUGAGAUUGACGUGCAAAUGCUAAUCCACUUGUGGAUGGCCAAUGGUUUUAUCCCAGAGCAAUCAAAAGUGUGUCCUGAAACUUUUGGAGAAAGAAUUUUCAUUGAGCUGAAGUCAAGGUCAUUUUUUCAGGAUUUGAAGAAUGUCCCAUUUGACAAAAAUAAAUAUUCUAUUUAUGGAGAGGGUGAUAAGCACAGGUAUUCUUCUAGAAUUACUUGUAAGAUCCAUGACCUUAUGCAUGAUGUUGCACAGUCUGCUAUGGGAGAAGAAUGUGCUGCAAUAGCUACACACCCAAGUGAAAGAGAGGAUGUUCUUCGUUCAGCUCGUCACUUGUAUUUGUCAAUCCGUCGACCAGAAACUCUUCUGAAUGCUUCCCAAGAGAAAGGAUCUCCAGCUUUCCAAACACUGAUUUCUGACGGAUAUGUAGAAGGAGAUUUGAAGAUUUUAUCAAAAUACAACUCUAUAAGAGCUUUAAAGAUCAUGUUUUGGAAAAGAAGAGCUUCAAAGAUCGAUUGUGGUUCAAUCCUAAGGCCGAAAUAUCUUCAUCACCUGAGGUAUCUUGAUCUCUCAGAAAGUGAUAUUAAAGCACUUCCUGAAGACAUUAGCAUCCUUUAUCAUCUGCAAACACUGAACCUUUCUUACUGUAAGUGGCUUGAACGGCUUCCAAAGGAACUGAAGUAUUUGACUGGCCUCCGUCACCUCUACACUCACGGAUGUAGAGAUUUAAAAAGCAUGCCUACAGAGCUCGGACGCCUAACUUCCCUGCAGACGCUUACAUACUUUGUAGCAGGUGCCGACGACUCCGGUUGCAGUAAUUUGGGAGAGCUGCAGAAUUUGGACCUUGGUGGUACACUGGAGCUUAGGAAGCUAGAAAAUGUGACAGGAGCAGAUGCACAAGCAGCAGGUCUUGGAAACAAGAAAAAACUGACCGAACUGGAGUUAUGUUGGACCAAUAGUGACCAGGAAGCACAGAAUAAUAAUCAUAAAGAGGUGGUGGAAGGUCUCAAACCUCAUGAUGGGUUGAAGGCUCUGAGGAUAACUCACUGUGGGAGCAGAACUUUUCCAUGGAUGAAUACUUUGAAAGGCAUGGUGGAGCUCAAAUUAUCUCUUUGCAAAAAGCUCGAAGAGCUUCCUGCACUCUGGGAGCUACCACCUCUGCAAAUUCUUCACCUGCAGGGUUUGGAGAGUUUAGAUUGUUUGUGCAGCGGUGGUACUACACCCGUCACAUUUCCAAAACUGAAGGUGAUUGCCUUGUUAGAAAUGGCAAAAUUUGAGGCAUGGUGGGAGACAUAUGAGGUACAAGGAGAAGAUCCAGUAUUUCCUGAGGUUGAGGAGCUGGUGAUUAAGAAGUGUAAAAGUUUGACUGCAUUACCAAAAGCAGCAUCGGUGAUUACAGAAUUGUCUGGCAGAGUUGACACUAAGUGCCGCUCUGCAUUUCCAGUAUUGAGGAAAAUGACCCUAGGUGAGUUGACUAUGUUUGAAAGAUGGGAGGCAGGCGAAGGAAUUUCAGGCGAAGAGGUAACCUUUCCUCAGCUUGAGGAGCUGUCAAUCGAGUAUUGUGGCAGCCUGAGUGCACUACCAAAAGGACCAUUAUUGGCUAAGCAACCAUUUGGCGGAGCUGAAACUGUGUGCUGCCGCUCUGCAUUUCCAGCACUGAGGAAACUAGAAUUAUCUCAUUUGUCAGCCCUUGAGAGGUGGGGGGCAGCCGAAGGAACUCCAGGAGAAGAGGUAACCUUUCCUCAGCUCGAGGAGCUGUCAAUCUCGUAUUGUGGCAGCCUGAGUGCACUACCAAAAGGGUCAUUAUUGGCUAAGCAACCAUUUGGCGGAGCUAAAACUGUAUGUUGCCGCUCUGCAUUUCCAGCACUGAGAAAACUAAUAUUAUUUGAUUUGUCGGUCCUUGAGAGGUGGGGGGCAGCCGAAGGAACUCCAGGAGAAGAGGUAACCUUUCCUCAGCUCGAGGAGCUAUCAAUCACGGAGUGUGGCAGCCUGUGUGCACUACCGAAAGGGCCAUUAUUGGCUAAGCAACCAUUUGGCGGAGCUGAAACUGUGUGCUGCUGCUCUGCAUUUCCAGCACUAAGAAAACUAGAGUUAUCUCAUUUGUCAGCUCUUGAGAGGUGGGGGGCAGCCGAAGGAACUCCAGGAGAAGAGGUAAUCUUUCCUCAGCUCGAGGAGCUGUCAAUCACGGAGUGUGGCAGCCUGUGUGCACUACCGAAAGGGCCAUUAUUGGCUAAGCAACCAUUUGGCGGAGCUGAAACUGUGUGCUGCCGCUCUGCAUUUCCAGCACUGAGGAAACUAGAAUUAUCUCAUUUGUCAGCCCUUGAGAGGUGGGGGGCAGCCGAAGGAACUCCAGGAGAAGAGGUAACCUUUCCUCAGCUCGAGGAGCUAUCAAUCACGGAGUGUGGCAGCCUGUGUGCACUACCGAAAGGGCCAUUAUUGGCUAAGCAACCAUUUGACGGAGCUGAAACUGUGUGCUGCCGCUCUGCAUUUCCAGCACUGAGGAAACUAAAAUUAUCUCGUUUGUCGGUCCUUGAGAGGUGGGGGGCAGCCGAAGGAACUCCAGGAGAAGAGGUAACCUUUCCUCAGCUCGAGCGGCUGUCAAUCUCGUAUUGUGGCAGCCUGAGUGCACUACCAAAAGGGCCAUUAUUGGCUAAGCAACCAUUUGGCGGAGCUAAAACUGUAUGUUGCCGCUCUGCAUUUCCAGCACUGAGAAAACUAAUAUUAUUUGAUUUGUCGGUCCUUGAGAGGUGGGGGGCAGCUGAAGGAACUCCAGGAGAAGAGGUAACAUUUCCUCUGCUGGAGGAUUUGAAUAUUGAUUUCUGCCCGAAGUUGACUGAUCUACCUGAAGCACCGAAGCUAAGUGAAUUAUCCAUAAGAAGAAAAGGUGAUGAUCAGCAGCAAAUAUCCCUAGAGACAGCUAGCAGAUGCAUCCCUUCAUUGUACCGUCUGAAUCUGGAUGUGUCACCCGAUGAAACAGAAACAACAUUGCUGCAUGUCAAGAAUAAAUUGAAUGGUACACUCGCCUUGGCAGCUAUGGGGUUAGGUCGGUGCGACCUUUUUUUCUCCUCCCGCUCAAGCGCACUGGCGCUAUGGACAUGUUUUGCACAGCUAGUAUAUUUGAGGAUUUGGGAUUGCGAUGCUCUUGUCUACUGGCCAGAAAACGUGUUCGAGGUCCUGGUAUGCCUGAGGAACUUAGAUAUUUCCGUAUGCAGAAAUCUGACAGGACGCACACAAGCUUCUGAUGAGCAAUCUGCUCCAGCACCAGAACGUGGUGGACUCCUGCCAUGCCUGGAGUCUCUACAGAUAGUAGAAUGUAAAUCUUUGGUAGAGGUCCCCAUCCUGCCGGCAUCUCUCAAGGAAUUACAUAUUCACAGCUGCAGUGAUGAAAUCGAGUCCAUCGUAUUCUGUCAGCAGGAGGAUACGAGGUUGGUGAGUGGAGAGGGUAUUGUGCGGCCGAAGACGUCAUCAUUAAUUCCAGGGUGCAACAGCAGCUGUGAGGCCACAGCGUCUACAGCUGUACUGAAGCUGUCAUUUGCAGCCAACCAUCGCUUCCUUCCAUUUCCAUGCCUAGAAUUUCUAGCUAUAAUGCAUUGCAGUGGCUUGUCAGAGGUUGCCAAUCUUCCUCCGUCUAUCAAGGCCUUGAACAUUUCUUUAUGCGGCGAGCUUCAAUCCCUAUCAGGAGACCUCCGGUUGCUGGAAGAACUCUUGUUUUAUGGAUGCGAAAGACUGGUAUCCUUACCGGAUGGGCCUCAAGCAUACUCAUCUCUUAGAGUUCUUCGGAUAAUGAAUUGUGAAGGUAUAAAGUUGCUUCCGUCAAGCCUACAGAGCCGUUUGGGCUACCUCGAGGAGAAAUAUCUAGAUGCCCGUUACGAAGGUAAUCUCCAGUUUCUUUAUUUCUUUUAACAAAAUGGUCAAGAGCUCAAUUGGUGUUACCUAUAAUGCAACUCUGUGCUUAAACAUUCUGUUAGCUAUUACAAGAUGUGGUAGGAUUUAGUGGUAAGAAGUUUAUGAGUAUUACUCUGCGUUAAACAUUCUGUUAGCUAUCUAGCCAAGCCGUUCAUGAUGUAUACAUUAUAUUGACUAUUGAGUACAAUGCACCACUAAUAUUUAUGUGCAUGUGUGUCAUCGAAAUACAUUAACUUCGUGUAUUAUUGCCAUUCGGGUAUCUAAACACGUACAACCAGAUCAAGAACCGCAGUCAUCCUUGUAUAUCUCCUUUUUGUUCGUACAAAGAAUUUAUAGCUAUAAGAUGAUCUUUGUUGUUCACUUUUGAUACCUUGGUUGUAAACUUGUAAUUGCUAACUCGAAUCAUGUAAUAAAAUCAAUCAUCUUCCUUUAGUUGUAUUUAAAGCAGCAUGGCAUCAUGGAAUUAUUGCAGCCGAAUUCACUAGCUUCAAUUAAAGUGGCACUUGUCCUAGCGUUCCUCUGGAAAUUCAUGAUCACUAGCUCCGUUGUAUGCAGUUCAAGUAUGUGUAGUUUUCUUUUCAUGGCUUAUGCCUUUUGACAUAAAUAAUAAUUUUCCUUUGAAACAUUUACUAUUGGGUGCCACAGCAUAUUCUCCUGUGUAUAUAUAUACUUUCUAACUUUGUGUUGAUUUGCAUGCAUAAAUUCUAACAUCAUGGCCUGAUUGCCAGAAUUGCCAGAACCAACCUGGAAACGUUCAAUCAGGAAGCUGGUGUGCUCGAAAUAGUAGAUCAAGGCCUGACCAAAGAAAAUUAUCUCCAAGGUAUUUUUGCAAAGAUAUCACCAAGGUUUGUAAUAUUAGUGUUCUUGAUGAUUGAUUGGAAAUGAUGCUAGCUCCUAAUGCUGACUUCCUAUGCGCUGUGACUUCCUUGUAGGAUGGUGCCAGACCUGCAAAAGAUGGAUUACUGUGACUCUUGUUUAGAAUGUAUCAUAUGCGCAUUCUGAAGAUAUUCUCCAGUAAAGUCAAGGCAAAGUCCUAGAUUUGAGCAGAAAACAAAUCCUAGAUUGCAAGCUGAAGAAUUUAGCACACAGAGCUGCGUGCUCCAGUCUUUUAUCCGUCUUCAAACUGAAGACCUUUAUUUUGAGCAGAAACGAAGUCCCAGACUGCAAGCAGAAGAAUUUAGCAUACAGAGCUACGGGCUCCAGUCUUUUAUCCUUAUUUUUUCUUUUGAACUAUGACAUGUUUGCAUUCGUGUCUGCUUCAGCCUCCAGCACAAGCGAAACACAGGCAGAGGAUACUUGCCAUAGAGUAGACCAACAGUCCAACGUACUCAUGUUGUUGCUCGACAAGCUGUCCAAGCUGCUGCUUGAUAUGAACUGAAAGUUCUGAAUUUUCUCUCGUGUAUGUUCUGUGUAUCAAAUACUGAAUGGUGUGCAGGGUGAUCCUGCAUCCUGGAAGGCUUUGGAUGGCACGGUCUUGUGCAGAGAUCUCAUUGUUGUUGACCUGUUUCUUCAAAACUGCAUGUGCAUGAGCAAGAAUGGUGAUUGUUAUAGUACAUGAGCAAGGAAGAAGCUCUGGAUGCAGGGGAUGGAACAGAACAGAGACACGGACUCUGUCAACAGCGAUGCUCCCAAGCGAGCAGAGGCAGAGCAGCGAAGUUGCCACACGCCACCGCAUCUCCCUCCACUCCACUCCCACUCCCCCGCCACCGCCAUGGCCGCCGCCGCCGCAGCGCACUCCCUCCUGCACCCACCGGCGGCCCGCAAGGCCCCCACACCUUCUCCCUCUCCUUACCCUUCCCCAUUCCUCCGCCUCCCGGCCCCCGCGCACCCGCGCCUCCCGCUCCGCCUCCGCUCCACCUCCCCGGCCGCCGCCUCCUACCUCACCGACUUCCCCAACCCGAACGGCAUCCUCGCGCCCAUCGACGUGGACGCCGCCACGGAGGCGGAGCUUCGCGAGAACGGGUUCCGGAGCACGCGCCGCACCAAGCUCGUCUGCACCGUGGGCCCGGUCACCUCGUCGCCCGAGCAGCUCGAGGCGCUCGCCGUCGGCGGGAUGAACGUCGCCCGCCUAAACAUGUGCCACCGCCGCCGCCAUACCCCCUGUCACCCCUGCGUCGACCACUGCGCCAAACAAGUCAAGCUUCGCUGCCUUCGCCCCUGCGCCACCACGCUUCGACGAGCUAAGAACGAUGGUGCGUGCACAGGUCGAAGCCCUCUUCAAUGCUCAGGCCAUGGCGCUUCAGCACACAUUCCAGGCCAUGGCUGAUUCUCAGGUACGCUCAACCCAUUUGCUUAGCCCGGAUUCCUCUGUGCAACCUUCACCCCGCAAGGAUCUUGGAGCUUGCGGCGUCGACGAGUUUUUCACCAGGUCCUGCUCUCUGCUGGACGGACUGGAUGCUCCGCCGUGCCCGGCGGGGAAUCAAGCCUGGUCCGACACCCCGGUGCGCUUGGUGCCUCUGCACCGGGUCUUUGACAGGCUAGGGUCGGCUCUUCAAGGGCGCCCCUCGGUGCGGGAGGUCGAGCUCGCCCUGAACCAGCUGCAGCUUCCCGCUAACACUCCGGCUUCCGAUGACCUUCGCGCCGCCGCGUCCAAGUCUUCUCCGGCCGCCGGAUCUGCCCCAACGGAGCUGCUGAACCAGAGGCAGGGUGCUCCAGAGAAGACUGCCCAAUGGGCCAACUGCCAGGCCCCACGGACCAGCUGGGCCCUGGGACCUCCUGCGGCGGCGACCGCGCCGGGCGUUCACGGGGGGCCUCGGGUGAAGGCGGCCCCAUGGGCCGUUUCCCUGGGGCCUGCUCCUGUCUGGCCCAGCAACGGGGCUCCCGCUGGACCACCUGGGCCUGUGCGUACCGCGCCAGUCCUCACCACUGGGCCGGAGACGCCAGUGGGGAGCCCGGGGGCCGGCGCGCAGACAACCUCCAAUGGGCCCGCUGGAAACAACUUAGGCCGCAGCACUGAGUCUCACCUUUCCGUUUCCCAAACUCAUGACAUGCAGGUUGCCACUGUUGAAGCCAUGGAGGCCCAGCUGACUACUCAAAGUACUGUGGAGGAAACACACACUGUGACUGCAAGUGGGGCCGUUGAUGAUCUCUUCGCGGCCCCGGCUUCGCCGAUUCUACGCCAGCCCCCGCCACGUCGCCAAUGUCGACGCUUUGAUAUGACCGCGGUCCGACGGAGUGCAAGACUCGCCCUCAAGCCGUCGGUUCCCGCGCUGCAGCGUGCCCAGCACAACCUCUGGCGCAAGCUAGGGGUCUCCGACGACGAGCUACGCCCAAUAGAAGAUAUCCUACAGGACUACGUCAACUCUCACCAGUGGCCACUUCCAGAUCAUGUCAUCGCUGCGAUGACGGCACUAUUUGACCUGGACGAUGAGGGAGCGGAGCAGGUAACUGAAGCUUUGAUCCAGCAUGCAGGACAGGCGGUCCAAGACAUCCAGAACGAGCUCGCCACCCGUCAGGAAUGAGUCAUCAGGACUCCACUUGUUUUUGGAGACUUGUUAUCUCCAUGUAUCAGUACUCCCUACCGUACACCUUUUCUUUUAGCUACCCUAGCCCUGCUGGCUGCGACCUUCGGGCUAGGAGCUGCACUAAACUUCACGACUCGACCUCCUGGUCUUCUCGCGCGCGACUUCGCCCUGCUGGCUUCGACCUUUGGGCAAUCCAUAUGCACGAUCUGCACGAUCAGCGACCCUCCAGCACAUCUGUUGAUAGCGCCUGUCCCACCAAGAAUCGUCAUCUUAAGUGCGUCGACGUGCUCGCAUAUACCCUGAUCGGGGCCACCUUCACACACCAGCACUACGGAUAGUGUGCUACCAUCCCCUGUGCGAUAGAUCUUCCAAAUGCUCACAUCCAACUUCGACACCCUUAGUUGGAAUGUCCGCGGCCUCAAUGCCCCUGCGAGAUGCAUGCUUGUUCACGACACUCUAAAAGACACGCCUUGUCAAAUUGCGUGCCUUCAGGAAACCAAAUUAAGCCAGAUCGACGCUUCUCUGGCUGCCUUUUUAGGGGGUUAUCGACUGUCAAGCUUCGCUUUCAAACCGGCGCAAGGCACUAAGGGAGGAAUACUCAUCCUUUGGGAUUCUAACUUCAUCGAUCUGACGGAUAUCCAAAUUGGGAGCUACUCGCUUUCAGCAACAGUUUCACCGAAAAACUACGACACCGACUUCCGCCUUACGACAGUCUACGGCCCUUCCAGGACGAACCUAAAGCCAGCUUUCAUGCAGCAUAUGCGCAGUAUGAAGCCUGACAACGAUACCAAAUGGCUUAUUCUUGGCGAUUUCAACCUCAUAUACAAGACACAAGACAAAAACAAUAGACGCUUGAACCUCAGCCAAAUGCGCCGUUUCCGCAACACCCUCGCUUCUUGUGGUCUCAAGGAAAUUCACCUACAGAACCGCAAAUACACGUGGAGCAACGAACGCCGCCAGCCUACGAUGUCACGCCUCGACCGCUUCUUCUGUAAUGAAGCCUGGGAUCUCGCUUUCGAUGACCUGACCCUCCACGCCUUGUCCUCCUCCCACUCUGACCACUGCCCUCUGUUACUAGCACGUUUAUCCGGCCCACGCCAACCGCGGCCGUUUAAAUUUGAGAACUUCUGGACAAAGCUGCCCCACUUUCAAGACAUUGUAAAGCGAGCUUGGUGUUCACCAACACAUCAUACUGAGCCUUUCCACCGCCUAGGGCACAAAUUACAUCUAACGGCACGGGAGCUACGGAAAUGGAGCAACUCCAUAAUCUCGGACGCGAGACUGAAGCUACAGAUGGCCCAAGUGGUGAUCCUCCACCUCGAUUCGGCACAAGACGUCCGACCGCUUUCGGAGGCGGAAUUUGAUCUACGAGCUAAACUCAAAAAACGUGUCCUAGGCUGGGCCGUGAUUGAACGUGCUCGAAGGCGACAGGCAUCGCGCGUUAAAAACCUCCGAGAGGGCGAUGCCAACACGCGCUACUUCCACCUAAAGGCCAACGGGCGACGACGGAAAAAUUACAUCCAAAGACUGCGAUCCGAUUCUGGAUGGGCACUUACGCAUCAAGACAAACAAAAAGUCAUCCACGACCACUUCUGCAAUUUCAUGGCAGCACCGCAGCAACGUUCGCGGGAUCUACGGUGGGAAAUUUUGCCCAACUCCCAGGAAGACCUUUCGGACCUCGACCGGCCCUUUGACGAACUAGAAAUCUUCCACGCCAUCAAACAGCUUCCGCAUGAUCGGGCACCUGGCCCUGACGGAUUCACUGGUCUAUUUUUCAAGACAUGCUGGAACAUCAUUAAAGGUGACAUGAUGGCAGCGAUCGACGCCUUCUACAACAUCCGAUGCAACGACCUUAACCUGCUUAAUAAGGCUAACAUCGUCCUUAUACCCAAAAAGGAAGGUGCGGAGGCCAUCCAGGAUUUUCGACCAAUUAGCCUUAUCCAUGCGGUUGCAAAAAUUAUCACUAAAGUCCUGGCACUCCGUCUACGACCUCAUAUGAACGCCAUCAUCUCACCCUGCCAGAGCGCAUUCAUCAAGGGCCGUAGUAUCCACGACAACUUCCUCUAUGUCCGAAACACUGCCCGACGUUUACAUCAAAAAGCAGCACCGGCCCUGUUCAUGAAACUCGAUAUCUCAAAAGCCUUCGAUUCAGUACGAUGGGACUACCUCCUUGAACUACUUCAACAUAAAGGCUUCCCUGUUCGCUGGAACCAAUGGAUCACGGCCCUUCUUGCCACCUCGACAUCAAAAGUACUACUGAAUGGGGCGCCUUUGCCGCCGAUUCAUCACGGACGAGGUCUUCGACAGGGCGACCCUCUUUCUCCCCUCCUCUUUGUUCUAGCUAUCGACCCACUACAACACAUCAUCUCUCAAGCCACCCAGAGGGGUCUCCUUACUAAGCUAGGAGGACGCGCAGCACGGUUCACAACAUCCCUGUACGCUGAUGAUGCGGCGAUUUUCAUUAAGCCAACACGAAAAGACAUAACCAACUUGACGAACAUCCUGCAGCAAUUUGGCGAAGCCACAUGCCUACGUACAAACCUGCACAAAACACAGAUUGCACCCAUCAGUUGCAAUACCGUCGAUUUGGAUCACUUACUUCGCGAUAUGCCGGCAACAAGAACAACAUUCCCAAUACGCUAUCUGGGUAUCCCACUCACGACAAGGCGCCUAAGGAAAAUUGACUUCCAACCCCUCGUUGAUAAACUGGCCGGCAAGCUAUCAGCAUGGACGGGUCGUCAGCUAACCCAAGCUGGCAGAAUAACCCUCACAAAAUCGGUCCUCUCGGCACAACCGGUAUAUUUUCUCACAGCUAUCAAACCGAGUAAAGAGGUGCUCCAGGAUAUCGACAAAAUCCGGAAAAAAUUCCUAUGGGCAGGGGACCAGCAACUUACUGGAGGCAAAUGCAAAGUUAACUGGACGAAAACCUGCCUCCCUAAACAACAAGGGGGCCUGGGUAUCCCGGACCUUGAGACAUUCGCUCGAGCCCUCCGUCUCAGGUGGCUCUGGCACGAAUGGGUAUCCCCGGAAAAACCCUGGAACAACACGGGAACCCCUUGCGACGAAGCUGACAGGAAGUUGUUCGCGGCAUGCACCUCCAUCACUCUGGGAGACGGCAAGAAAACUAGCUUCUGGUCAUCCGGAUGGUUGCAGGGCCAACGCCCUAAGGACAUCGCCCCGCUCCUUUACGCCAUUUCGCGCCGAAAGAAUAGGAGCGUCCAUGAUGCUCUCAGUCGAAAUAACUGGUUACGCGACCUUGUGAUCGACCAUAACAUCACCGUUUCUCACCUAGCGUCGAUUGCACAGUUGUGGGAAAUGGUCAAUACUACGGAACUCAGAUCAGGGGAGGACGACACUAUCACCUGGAAGCUGACAAGCUCAGGACUAUAUACUACGGCCUCGGCAUAUAAAGCACAAUUCCUGGGUUGCACCGAAACACCACACGUUUCCUCCAUAUGGAAAUCUUGGGCACCACCAAAAUGCAAAUUCUUCGCGUGGUUAAUUACGCAGAACCGAAUCUGGUCCGCUGAUCGCCUAGCCAAGCGAGGCUGGCCGCACAACACUUCCUGCGUCCUAUGUCGUUCCGCUAUGGAGACUGGACACCACCUUUUAGCUGAGUGCCGAUACACACGGAGAAUCUGGAACCAAACGGCGACAUGGCUAGCGCAGCCUGCACUACGACCAAAUGAAUGGAGACCUUCAGCCAAUGCUAUCGAGUGGUGGACGGCUAUCACCACAACACCGGACUCGCCACGUAAAGCUCUACGCAGCCUCACCCUUUUAAUCAUGUGGGAAAUUUGGAAGGAAAGGAAUGCACGUACUUUCAAUCGGCAUGAAACAUCACCGUCAACCCUAAUGACGAAGAUCAAAGACGAGGCCUCCGCUUGGCUCUUGGCAGGGGCCAAAGACCUAGCGACUUUACUAUCUCGCGAGUAAUCACGUUUCGGCCUCUAGUGUUUUUUCUUCUUUUUUCCUUCCUUUUCGCUUUUCUAUCCCGAUCUGUCGGGACUCCAUCUGUUUUUUCCUACUAUAUCAAUGAAAUAGGCACCGUCUCGUGCCCGUUCGUUCAAAAAAAAAAACAUGUGCCACGGGGACCGGGAGGCGGGAGUGGCACCGGGGCGCCAUCCGGGCAGUCAGGAGGCUCAACGAGGAGAAGGGCUACGCCGUCGCCGUCAUGAUGGACACCGAGGGCAGCGAGAUCCACAUGGGGGACCUCGGCGGCGCCUCAUCGGCCAAGGCGGAGGUGAGGUGCUGUGCUUGUAUGUAAGCUGCUGUCCAGUUUUGGACUUGGCGUUGCAGUUUUCAGUUUUCAGAUUGAACGUAUUCCGUGAAAUGUGCUUGUGCAAUGUGGCAAUGUGGAUGAGAGGAACGGGUGGUGGCAGUGGCAGUGUCAGGCAUUGCCGUUUCAUACUUCUGCAAAACCUAGCGAGUCAGGAUUUCACCAAAAUGUUUUUUUUUCCAUCUUCGAAAUGGCUCAGUUGAUUUAGAUUUUCAGCUCAUGUUUGAAAUUGUUAUAGAAGGAAAAACAUUCAGAAUUUCAGAUUGUCAUCAAACACUGGAUUGUGAAAGUGGUAAUCAUUUUCAAGGCUUUCAAUCUUUCAAAAAAAAUUCAAGGCUUUCAGUAUCAGUGCAACUCAAAUAAAGUGCAUGGUAAACAUCACCAUGUUUUGGCUUUCUCUGCAUAUAAGACACGGUGCUGGAGUCGUUCGACCGCGCUGAGGUCCCAAUCCAACCGGUCAGGUUUUUUCAAGGUGUCGAGUUUGAGUGCUUACAUGCGUUGGCCCCAUUCCAACCGGGCGAGUCUUUAUUUUAUUUUCGUUUCUUUUCCUUUUUUUUGCCCAUGGCCUCCCAGGGCCGUAGUCUUGUAUUUUCUAUUAUAUCAAUAGAAACUCGCACUAUCUUGUGCGGUUCGUUCAAAAAAAAAAGUGAUAGGCAUUGAGCUUCUGAAGGUCGUUGUCUAGAUAUUAGGCCCAAGCCUCAAUGGCUUUUUUUCCCUGUUGCAAACCUUCCUGUAAGUAAAGGGCACACCCAGUGCGAAAGCUCCCACACAAGGUGGGGUUUGGGGAAGGGAAUUCCUAGAUAGCCUUACCCUUGCAAAAUUCUUUUAAAUUUUUGCAAAGAGGUUGGUUCGAACCCAGGACCUCCGGGCCACAAGUGGAGAGUUUUACCACUGCGCCAGGUCCGCCCUUCCAGCAGAAUCUCUUAUGCUAGGUUUAAUUUGAAUUAGCUUUAUUAGUAGAAUGCUUGGCCCAUUUAUUGGUAAAUGGUAAAAUUCAUAAAGAUUAUCCUCAUUCCCUUAAUCAAUUUUAGGUGUUUAACUUGCAGCAAAUUCGAACAAUGACAGACAUGCAGCAUAUUGUUAGUUCAUCUGUAAGACUUGGCUUGCUGGUUUAAUGCUUUGUUAAAGGUUUGAAGUUAAUGUGUCUACUGGUAGCUAUUGAAUCUCUUUAUAGUUUAUUUAUAUCUUUUUUCUUUAUUAGUAUAAAGCCAUGUAGAAGUUUUCAGAAUACUGAAAUUUCUAGUGUUCGUUUUGUGGAGUCUCUGCACCUACAUCCUUUUUUGCAACUGCAUUUCAGAUCCUUCAGUUAUAGCAUGAAUAAUUUUUUAAAAAAGAAAAUUCUAGGUAGAUUCUUGCCCGUAGUUAAUGGUAGUGUCCGAUGAUAGUUGUGUUUUAGAUAAUACAUUAAUAUUAGUAAUCCAAAGAAACUAAACUACUUCCAUGAUGCUAACUGUCAUCAGUGCUAGCUAGGGUCACUAUACCAAAAAGGAGAUUCUAUCACCAUUCGGCUGUUUAUCUUAAGUUUUUAACCAUACAGUUAGAAGUUUGAUUGUACACCUAUUCAAUAAUCCAAGGUUUUCUUGAGCCACGUUAUUUACCCAAUGACUUCCAUUUUUCUUGGUAUUAAAACCUUUCUGAAGUAAUUAACAAAUCAUGUCACAUUUGUUGGAUUCCACAGGAUGGAGAAGUCUGGACAUUUAGUGUUAGGUCAUUUGAAUUGCCUCUCCCAGAACGAACUAUUAAUGUGAAUUAUGACGGGUUUGCUGAAGGUAUGUAAGCUGACCUAUUUGUUGAUAUCUUUUUCUGUUAUUGUUCACUGCCAUAAUUUUGUCCUACACAGAUGUGAGAGUUGGUGAUGAGCUUCUUGUGGAUGGUGGAAUGGCUCGGUUUGAGGUGAUUGAGAAGUUGGGACCAGAUGUUAAGUGUCGCUGCACAGAUCCUGGUUUAUUGUUGCCACGUGUGAAUCUUACAUUCUGGCGUGAUGGCAGUAUUGUCCGUGAGAGGAAUGCUAUGCUUCCUACAAUUUCAUCAAAGGUAAAUGCACUAGCAUAAUAAAUUUCUUGCUGUAAUUACCAAAAGACCGCAAAACUUUGUUAAUCUAUGCCACCCCUUGGUACUAGUAUUGCAAUGGAUUUACAGCUUGUUUUUUGUUUUGUCAAUGCCAUGGUCAGUUCAAAACAACAUGUAUUAGUUCAAAGCCUUACAUUGUGCACUGAAACUCAUGUCUUGAUAGUUUUUAUCAGCUAUUUCUUAAGAAGGCUUCUACCACCUAGAGUUGUUUAACUGAAAAUUUAAUCUUCUAGUAGCAGAUACUAAUAUUAUAAGUUUAUAAUAAUGCUGCUCCUACCCCCGACGCAGCUUGCCGGAGGCCCUUGACGCAGCGCCGCCAUCCGCAAGCCCUAACGCCGCCGACGCGCCCCUCUCCUCGGUUGAUUUGGGAAGGCGCGGGACUGCGGCAGGGAGAUUGGGAAGCAGAGCUUCCUGUUCCUCGUCUGCUACUCUGCUUCAAUUGGGCACCGGGAAAAGCGAUGCUGCCGGGUGCUCGGGUUCUUGGAGAGGGGAUGGAAUGGAAUGAUGGAUCGAUGCGGGAUGCGUUGCUGUUGCUAGCGGCUUCUGAUUGGAGAGAGGAGAGAAGCUGGUUGCUUGUGUUACCGUGAACGUGAAGGAAAACAGAGUAGGGAGGAGAGCAAGCUGCUGGUGCAGGAGCAUCAUGGCUACGGCAAUGGCAGCGGUGCGGUUCGUUCCGUCAAAUCCCAGAUUUCGGCCACAUUUGAUUGAUGCCAUUUAAUUUGAUUCCUUAUUGGUCGCCAGCCACGCAUUCGAUUCAUGGACGCGCAGGCCCCGGUGGUGAUGCAAGCCACGGUGGUUCCUGCAUGACAAUAGGUUCUUGUUACAAGACAGUCAUCAGUCAUAUUGUGAAGAACUGAUGACAGUUUUGAACACAAAUAUAGGAUUUCAUCACGAUACACUAGAGGUUUACAAUCAUCAACUACUGCAGGGGAAAAAAAUGGAGCUAGUAUUUUUGAAAAAUGGCCCGAUGUUGAAUCUGUGAUAAUGCAACUUAUGUAGCAGAGCAACCAUGGUAACACAAAAAUGUGCCAAGAGACUGACCUGAUCUUCUUCAGCCUCUCUCCAGGUCAUCCCCGAGCUUCAUGUCAAGGGUGUUGGAAACAACCUGGGAGAACCUACCAUCCUUGUAAUCCUUCUUCAUGAUGAGGAAUCAGUCAGGGACCAUGAACUGGCGGGGGUUAGGAACCACAUUCUUGAGGCGCUCAAGCUCAUCUGGGGACACCUCACGAGCUCUGCACAAAAAUAUUAUUAUCAGAGCUGAACUUCAUGCAAUGGGGCAUUCUAGCUGUAACAUACAACAGCCUACUGGCCCAGUUUGUUAUUGUGGCACAUGGAAAAUUAGUGGGAAAGUGGUGCAAUGCACCCAUCUCAAAUCUCCACCUUCAAAAAACAUGAAUGCCAAAGACUUCUGCAUAGGCUGUCUUUACAUGGCUGAUGUUUUUUAAAACACGUUUUCCAAUGGGCUUCACUCUCAAGUAGAUUCAGAAAAGCUAAUUGAUGAUCGGCACCAAGCCACAGAUGACUGCCACUAAUGAACAGCAGUAGAUAAUUUCUGCCUUGUUGCCAAGAUAGGAAAACCAAACUGAUUGAACAUCUCGCCACAAUUUCUUAGAUUAACUGAGCCCAUCACCUACGGGAAUGGAAGGGGGGAAAAACCAAAAACUGUUACCAACAUUACAAUUUGUCAAAUAAUCUUCAUAUUCGAAUUCCCUUUACAAAAAUACCGCUUUGCCAGACCGGACCAGAAAGCAAACCAAACCUAAAUUCAGUAUAUUUAUACAUGUUGAAUCGUCUCUUGGUCAUGUUUUCUUCAUUGAAAAGAAGUAAUGAGAAGAAACAUUCUUCAAAAAUUACUGAUCAAAACCAUAUUUUCAGUGUGCUACGAUUCUACAGGGACUUCAGUACAAUGGAAACAUUGGUGCUACAACGAAAGAGCUUCUGAUAAAGUUAGGAGUGAUUUUAAUCCACUUGUCAAGUUGGAAACCAAGUGCAGUUAAAGCUACUUCACAAGGGCCUACUUACUCUUCCAAGCACAGCGAUUAAGUUGGUAGUUUAGUUGCGCCAAAAGAACACGUUACACAUAAGCCUAUAAAUCACACUACAGCUAAUCACUCACAGCGACCCUUACCGUCAGGAUCCAAAGGCCUCCACUACAAGAGCCAACGCCAAAAGCCAUUUAAAAACUCACCGUUGUUCAGGUCGAUCAGUCGAUGUCAGCCUUCUUGCAAACGAUGCUGGAGAAGCGGCGGCCGAUACCCCUUGAUGGAGGUGAGCGCGAACAUGAUCUUCCGUUUCCCUUCCACGUUGGUGUUGAGCAGACGCACACUGACGCAGGAUGUGCUGGAAGUCAUCCCCCGCGAUUAGCGACGGCAAAAUCAACCCCAGCUGCACGUCAGACGAAUUGCGCGCGAGGAUGUGAUAUCUCCACAUGGUCCGAUAAAACUAUAAACAUCAAAACCCAAAAUGAUGAAAAUUUAGCAAGAAAAUAAAGACCAGGAGCCAUGUUGAGUCGAUUGGUAAACAUAUUCACUGUGGUAAAAUGCACACUACAGAUAAAGGUCAAAUUAGUCCCUCCAUCCUAGAAUAUAGCUGCUUUAGCAAAUUUUGUUCUAGCAAAUUAGGCAGCAGCACUAGCCAACAAAGACGCAUGCACAUAUAGGCCCACAACGCGCGCCAGAGUCACCUGCUGUGUAGCGGGACAAGUUAAUAGAGGUCAAAUUAGUCUUUUAAUCUCUGUCUGACAUGAGUCCAAAACUAGCUACGUACUGUAUAUUACAAGAUGGACGGCAGAAGCACUAAGUGAAGUAGACUGGGGAACAUGGUAAAAUAGAUGAUCCCAAAGCAAUUUCUAAUAAUAAUGGACCCCCGAAGUUGAAGUUAUAAGAUAUUUAAGGAUACCACUGUUGAAGAGUAAAAGGGUGAAUCGAUACAUAUGAGGGGAAAAAAAGUUAACUACACCAAUUUUCUGGUACUAUACGACUACGAUCAUGAUAUCUUUAUCAUUUAAUGAAAAUAUAAUUACUUAAAUUUGCAGGAUAAAGUCUAUUUUCACUCACCAAAUGUAUUAGAUAAGUAAUUCUAAUUGCAUUAUGUCGAAGUUCAAUUCUAAAAAUAGAAUGAUACACACACUCUUAAAAAAAAUACAAAAUCCAAUUUUUAUAUGCUUAUUAAACAUGUACCUUAUAAAAUGCUAGGAAAAAAGAUAAAUCAUAGAAAAUAUUGCAAAAAUCAGAAAACAAGUGGACAUAAAUUCAGAGAACUUUACUAAACAUCACUAACAAUAAAAAUCAUUGCAUCUAUCCUAUUUUCUAUAAAAUUCCUUAUCUAUGCCAUGGUGAAGAUAAUCUAAAGUAACCAGUGAAUCUGAAUGUAGGUUAUUAGGCCCCUCUGCCAUCAUAAAAACUAUAAAUAACCCGUAAUCUUCAUCUAAAUGAUCUAUCUAAGUUUGCAAAUAAUGUGCCACUAUUAAAAAAAUAACUCCUAAAUUUGCAUCAAAAUUAUCUGCCUCUAUUAUUGAAAAAUACCCAACGUGCUAUUAUACGUAUGCUUCAAAAUUAUCCAAUUUAUCUUUGUUAAUAUAGAAAAACUAUGGUUUUAACUAAACAUGUCAGAAACAUAGCUCGAGUAGUGCAAAAACAAUGAACAUAUGAAAGGAAGAUAAUGUAGAGUAAUUGGUAACUAACACUAUUAGGGAAUGGAUCUUUCGUCCCGAGCCUCAGUACCAGUUGCAUUCCCACCCGGUACUAAUGUGAGCAUUAGUAACAAGCCUAACAGAUAGUCCCUGAAGAGGCCCCCAUGACCCCCUUUAGUCGGGUAGGGGCUCCACCCAGUACUAAAGGUUUCUCCCUCCGUUCGCGCGAGGACUUUUGCACCGGCGCCCUCGAAAGCCUUAAUUACCCAGCUCACCCUCCACCUCCCUUAUCCUCUUCAACCAGCUCCCUCCACCUCCCUCAGCUCCUUCUCUCCCUCCGCUCUCCACCAGCACCCUCUUCCUUCCUCCCCAGCCUCCCCUCUCCUCCCCCUUUGCUCGCCCCUCACCUCGUGCCUGACGUGAGGAGGGUAGGCGGUGAGGCGCGGCGGGGCGAGGAGCGGCGGAGGGCGAGCGGAGAGGCGGAGGCGGGGCGGCAGGCGGCGACGGCGGAGUAGGCGGAGAGGCGGAGGCGGCAGGCGGCGACAAUGGAGGAGGGCAGCAGGGGCGGCGGGAGCGGAGGAAGGCGAGCAGGCGGCGCCGCGGCGGAGAGCGAGCGGGUGGAGGAGGGCGGCGACAGGGCGAAGCAGGGCAGGCGGGCGGCGGAGCGGUGGGCAGGGCCGAGGGGAUUUUAUUAUUUUUAUUUUUUAAUACCGUUUAGUACCAGUUAUUUCAACCGGUACUAAAGGACCCCUUCUAGUAACUAAUUGUCAGUACCAGUUGGACAACCGUUAUUAGAGGGGGUUACCGACCGGUACUAAAACCACAUUCCCUAGUAGUGUAAACUCUAUCACAACCUGAUAAAGAUAUAAAAUGUAUAUAUGAGUAUUGUGUUAUAAUAUCGACAAAUGUCGGAGCAAAUACAUUGAAUUUUAAUUAGCUGUGGACGCAAAUUUAUCUAUAAUCCUUAUAAUAUUUAUAUUUCCUAAAAUUAUGUGUCCGUGCGAGAGCACGGGUUGAUGGACUAGUUAAGAUCCAAAUCGGUUUGAAAAUAUUUAUUAUUAUAUUUUACAAAUGUACCCCUAAAUUGAUCGCGAUCCAAAUCGAAGGGUGUUUUGAAAAUAAUCAUCCGUCAUGACCCAAACAGCUCCAAACAUACUGAUGUCCAACAGAAAAACAGCACCAAUUUCCAUGGAGACGCUGCAAGACUGCAAGGCCGAUCACUUGUACAGUUGUUGAGACGAUGACUGCUGGCCUAACCUCCUAGGGUCCCCUUCCAUUGUCUCCUUCGGCGUCAGCUUCUCCGACGCGACAUGGCGAGCAACGUGGACCGCACCUUGUUGCUGGUCAUGGCCAGGGGCCCGGCGACCUGGUGAUGGCGCUCGCCGACAUGCUGCAUUCCGUCCAGGUGACGAGCGUACCCGGGAGGGGCCAGUAUCUCCGUGUCAUGCGAUCACUGUCUGGGAUGCGACACGGCCUUGAUUGAUCGCCAACACCUUAUCGAUGAGACUGAGGGGUGGUUCAUUGUACCGAAAUAUUCGCUUUUACGCCGUUCUUCCGUCCCAAAAUAAAUUGGAGUUAUCAUUAUAAAAAUAUACUUUAUAAUGGAUCUAUCCGAUGAUACUAAUUUGAUGUUAUAAAUAUAGGCACUAUUUAGACUAAGAUAACUUUAUUCAGGAUAAGACUAGAAAUAAACUUAUUUUUGGGACGGAGGCGCGGCGAAGACGAGACAAGUGUAGGAAUAGUUUGCGACAUCCAACCUACUGUAAAUAAGAACUGUAAAUAAGAACAGCGGUGUUCUUAUCCGUCUUGCUUAAAUUAAUUUAAGCCUAUUGCUAUGGUAAAUGUAUGCCAGGAAAAAAAUAUAGGUGUGCCGAAUUAUUGAGAGAAAGAUCAAAAGUAAAAAAUUGCAUGACAUGUGCACUAAUUCACACCACAUUCACAUAUUGCAAUUGUGCAUAUUAUAGCCAAAAAGUAGGAGUAAUUCUUUGAGUCUACAUAAAAAGUCACUAUCACUAGUAGAGAACUCGGUAUUAGUCCCGGUUGGUAGAGUGCAAAUCUCCCGAAAAUCUAUUCGGGAUAAACUAAUCGAGACAAAAGGGGGGGCUUUUGUCCCGGGUCACUCAACCGGGACUAAAGACCCCCUUUUAUCCCGGUUGGUAAUACAUUACCAACCGGAAUAAAAAGAGUCACCACGGCGGGCGCUACAAAAAAAUCCUCCCUCCCCCCCCCCCCCACACACGCGCGUCACAAGUCACAUGAUUUUUCACGCGAAAUAUGGGCGUGCGCGCUGCGUGGGAUUCGAACCCAUGACUCCAGCCUCGCGCGUAGCUUCCUUGCCAUCCCACCUACACAUCACAUCUAACUGUAUAGGGGAUGCAAUCUUUUUGUAUUAACUCGUGGGGAUUCUUUUAUCCCGGUUGGAAACACCAACCGGGAUAAAAGGGGGGUCUUAGGGUAUUUUUUUUCCACUAACCUUUGCAACCGGGAUAAAAGGUCCCGGUUGGUGAGCCUCCCGCCAGUGAUUGAGCUUUAGUCUCGGUUGGUGAAAUUUUUGCCCCGGACCAACUUUAAAUCGGGAUAAAAGGGGGCGUAUAGAAGGUGAGUUCUCUAAUUAGUGUAUUGUGCUCCACUGCCGGAGAAAUGUGGUUAGAUUGCAAAAGCUUUUAAUCAAGCACGACAAUAUCGAUCUUGGGGCAGUGCUGGCACCUCACCCUCGGCCAACUCCUGCUGCUGUCAGAGUCGCCCCUGUGCACUCUAGAGGCUUUCUCCGUGGCCGCAACCUUGCCCCGUGCCAGGUUGCUCUCACUUGCUCUUGCUCUACGAGCCUCUCAGCUGCUUGCCUACUCCGGCUCCGCAAAUUCGAGUUGUCGAUCGGUGACGCUCCUGCUCCACGCGCUCGCGCGCCAACGUCGGCGGAUGGGUCGUUCAUUUUCUUUUUAGAGGGUACAUCGAGGGCGCCACGACCCACACACUCACACCUACCACUAAACGCGCAUGCGUGUGUACCUUGGACCUAGACCGGGAUCUCCCGACGGUAACGAGAAAAAUUAAUCCCCGGUACCAAGCGUCGAUCCUUGGGAUCGAACUCGUGCCUGGCCGCUCGCGCACCUAGCGAGCGGACCAACCGAGCAACAUUUGGUAUCCGUUCUUUUGAUUGAUUCUGAUUUGGGUCGUUCACUGGAGCCUUCUUUUCUGGGCUGCUGUUGGCCCGGCAACAUGAGGACCCAUAUUCAUGCUUCAUCUCCGCUCGCUCGUUCUCAUCUUCCAGACUCCAGCCAUGGCGAUCGAUGCCAGGCAAGGCAGAAAUUGGGUGCAGCCCGGAUGCGAAACACGCAUCCGGUGCAUACCCACUGCCCCCGCGCGACGCGUGGAAGAAAACUCCAUCCGACGGACGGCGCUAGCCCCGGCGCCCAAACACGCGUACGUCCUCGGCUCGGCUCCCUCCCAGCGCUGGCGUCCAAGCAAGACGGCUCGCUCGGAUCCCAGGAGGCCAGGAGACGGAGGAGUUUGUUGGAGUUGUUCCAAAUUCACUCCAGGAAAUAGGCCGACCUUCCCGACCCUUGAUACUCAGGGUCGGGCGAGGCGGAGGAUCUCCCGACCCCGGGACUCGGGGCCGGGCGAGGCGGAGCGUCUUCCGACCCCUGGACUUUGGGGUCGGGCGAGUCGGAGCAUCUCCCGACCCCAGGACUCGGGGUCGGGCGAGUCGGAGAUAGACCCUCAAGGGGUCAGGCGCAUCCGACCCCAAGCUGGAGGUCGGACGAGGCGAAGUCUCAGGCGCACCCGACUCCUGGACGAGGACGACUCAAGGUCGGACGAGGAGGUUUCCAUCCUCGCACGGGACCAAGAGUCCGUACCGCUCAAUACCCCCUGUUGGGGUGUCGGUACUAUAUAUACUAGCACCCUUGCUAGGGUUUUGUACCGAGAGUCAGAAGAGAAAAAAGAGAGACAGAGAGAUUCUCUUGUAAGCCGCCAUAGGCGUGUAACCCCAAACUCUUGAUAUAGUGAGAUUGUUGCCGGCUGGUGCCCGUGGUUUUUCCUCUUCACAUUGAAGGGGUUUUCCACGUAAAUCGUAUGUCUUCUUGCGGUUUGAUUCUUUACUUCAUAUUCCAUACGCCGUUCGUUCCUAACAGGACGCGCACCGGAUUGGCCGCCGCCGCGGAGGGGACGACGACUCAGCUUCCCGGUGCUCCGCGGCCGAGCUCCGUCGGCGCCGCGCUGCCCUUCCCGGCCUCCGCCAUGGUUGGGCCGACCGCCGCCGCUAGGUCCAUCUGCCGUGGCCGGAGCGAAUGCCGCCGCCGGAUUCUUGUGUAUCUGCAACCAGAUCAUUGGUCCUUCAACUGAACUGUCAUUCAUAUCAUCCCCUCAUCGCAACAGAUCAUCUCACUCUAUCAAAGCUGCAGCGUCAUAAGAGAAGUCUGCUAUCACAUUCAGAACUUCGCACACUGUUCUUUUUUAUAAAAAAAAAACGAACCGGGCAAAAGUCCGCACACUGUUCUUGAACAAGUGAAAUGCACAAUAACGAAAAAUCAGUCGUAUAUCGAUAACUACUAUUUUUACGAGUCGCUGUUUGUGCAACAUCAUAACUAGCACGAGUAAAAAAGGUUAAUGAGGAAAGGGCAGGUCAUAAAGCGUAUCUAGCUACAAGAAAGCAGGGAGCAUUCCUUAGAGCUAAAGGCCAUUCAGUUUUCAGGCUCACCUGCCUGGCGGUGCUCCCUUUCUGCCCUGCCUCUGCAUGUGGACUCAGGACAUGGGUCACAGUCAUAGUGAGCCCACUAUUAAGUGCACAUGAAAGUGAUCAGUACUUGAUGACUUUUGUGCUGCUCUUCUUUCACUUGAAAAUGGCCUGGGAGCAUAAUAAUCAUGCGUGCAUCCUCCAUGAUAUCCCUACCAAAUCAUCAUCCUACCUUUUUUUUUGGUUGCCGCCUUUUGUAUAUAUGGUUAGUGUAAUAAUUUCCCAACCAAUCAUCACCUUGUGCACUUACUUCUUGUAGGGCUUGAAAAUAGGAUAGGCAUUCUUCAACCACUGAGGCGAAAUAACCACUAAACUUCAGCACACAACUGGAACAGUUUGGUCUCACAGCAACUAAACUUCUCAUCGGCUCUGAAGGUUGGCAUUUCCUUCCAAGACUAGAUCACUUAAACUUAAGGCUAAGUGAACAAACAGAUUAAAUUCCCUUGUUUGUUUCACACAGAUUAGUUAAACUGAACUAAAUCUUGCCAAAUCUUGCUGACAACAGCAUUUCUGGUGAGAGGAUAUAUGGUAUGGCCUCAUCUCUUCCUUUUAGUCCUCGGAAGUGAUUGAGCAGUAGCUGAUGUGAGCUUCUCAAGGUGUUUGUUGUUUAGCUAGCUAGGGACUAUAUGCAUGGGUCUUUUGAUUGCUACGCACAUAAACUGCAUGACGAGGUUCUGCACAACAUCACGGUUUCUGAAUGUGCCUUUUUCUCCUAGAUCCUAAGGAAACUAGUGCUUAGAACACUUGAACUGCAUUCAUGCGUGUCAAAAUGUAAAAUUUCUGAUGGAAGCUUCUUUUCUUCUGCAUUGGCAAGCCAAAAUUAACAUAAAAAUGUUGAAUUAUUCUGAAAAUCUGAACACAAAUGGCAGCAAAUUAUUCUAAAAAAGAACAGCAUAUUAAAUUAGAAAGAGAAAUGGUGCUUACUUUCCGAAUUGAUUGGUGACUCUAGUGCUUUAACAAGAGAUUUACAUGGAAAAAAAUUGGAUGGACCCUGGGCUCAUUGCGUCCACCAUGAGCUCCCUCCCUGGAUGAAGGACGCGUGGAGACGCGCUGCAUCAGACGGUCCUGGAAUCGAGCGUGGCCGUCCGUGGAGUUAGCGGCUCGUUCAGCAUCGAGGACGUCCCGGCUUGGCUUCUCUUUCCGUCGGCUUGGCUUCUCUUUCCAUCGGGGAAGAGUCCACGUUUGUCCACAUCGCGACUCUCUCCUACGAUGCCGCCGCCGCCUCGCGUGCGACCUGCGUCGCCGUCCGACCUGGCCGUGCCUCUUCCCCGAGCGCCAUGGCCGCCAUCUGGAUCUAGCCACGCCCGGUGUUGGCUACGCCGUGGCCGCGCCUCUUCCCCGAGCACCCUUGCUGUGUACCGGCAGCCGUGCCCGGCGCCGCCUAUGCCGUCGAUUCGCCCGCUGCCUAUGCCGUCGAUUCGCCGCCGCCUGGACCUUAUACCCGGGUGCCCUCCGCGACAGUCUGCUGGCCUACGUCGUCGCCGUCCGAUGCCGUGCUUUUGCCAGGUACGUGGCAUUGGGAAUUUAGUCUGAAUGUAGAUCUGAAUUUUUUCCAGAACUGAAGAAAAAUUGGGUCUGAAAUUUGUCUUUGAUUCAUGUUUUGCAGUAACUAGAAGAUGAGAUGCCGUACUCCUUUGAAUAUACGAUUUGUAGCAACUCUGAAUGUGCUGCAGUAUGACUGUUAUUAGUUUUUUGCUGGAACAAUAUGAUGAUGUGUAAUGUCCCUGUUUGAUCCGGAUUUCCCAAAUGAUUUUUCCAUGAAUCAUGACUGUUUUACAGAAUUACAGUGAAGGGAAAAUACAGUGAAGGCGUGAAGCAUGGCUCCCUUCAAAAAUGCUGCAGUAUGGCUGCCCAGCAUCACUACAAGAUGUUUCUGGCCUUCUGGGGGAGCAUCAGUAGACUACAUGGGUUUAUGGCUUAUUUCGGCAAGAAGCAAGGCAUCCGGAAGAUAGGAUGGUGAACAAGAUUUUUUGAUAGGAAAGAGUUGAAUCCGUGUAAACAAUUGUAUCAGUUUAGAGUUGAUCUUUUUUUUGAGACAAUAGCAGUUUGACAGGAACUAUGAACAAUUUGGUGCCUUUCAUUUAUGCUGUUGAAGGAUGUAUCAGUAAAGAGUUCAUUGAUACUUGUAAAAUGUGAUUUUUAUCUGAAAUAUAUUUGGAUGUUUUGAAAUCAGCAGUGGAAUGGAUGUCUUAAGAAUCUCAUUGUUUCUCUGAAUGCAUUGUUCUAAAAAGCUCCUAUUCAGAGCAAAAGAGACUUUCUAACAGCAAAGCAACAAAGUUACAUAGAUUUAAAGGAGACCAAAAGAGACUUUCUAACAGCAAAGCAACAAUGUUACAUAGAUUCAUUUUUCUUCCACUCCAUCAAAAUGUAACUUUCUGACAGCAGUUUGCAGUGUAGCAUCUUGAUCAACUCCCAUUAAGAGAUUUGUGUAUCCUCCUGAUAUGUAUGGAGCAACCAUUGUAGAAGGAUCAACAAGUAAAUUGAAUUGUGGCAUUGUGGAGAUAGCGUAUCCAGCUUGCACAAAAGGAGCAUCCAUGGCUGAAGAUGGCCCAACAUUAAAAUCCUGUCAUAGAAUAAGAAAGAGUUCAAAAAUCAUGUUUGUAAGGGAAAUUUUUGGAAAAUAGGUAAAUGUCUUACAGUUAAUUGGUUUGUUUCAGCAUGUUCAUCUCUUGUUUGGACAUCAUCAUUUCCCUGAUCUUCACCUACAAUGAAUAUAUAUAUAUGAUAAUACAAUAUUUAAAACAUUAUAGACAUAAGCAAAAGGUAGUGGCCAGGUGAGUACCUUUUUUCUGACCACCCUUCUUCUUCUUUUUUCCUGACUUCUUUUCAACAACAUUUUUGAAACGUGUAUUCUUUGGUCCUUUUAUUACUUCAGGAAUUCUAAAUGAUAUCACACCAUUUAUUGGUUGCUGGACACUUUCAUUUGGAAUUGGAGGAACCUCGUUGGAUUUUUCAUGCAUCUCACUUAGAUAAGUAUCCGCUUCCAGGUUCAAGUUAUGUAUGGCUUUCUGCAAUUUAUCAAGCAGUUCUUGUGAUGGCGAACACUUCAGUGCAAGAGAUGUGGCCUGUCGAGAUAUAAGUGCUGCCUGUGUCUUCAAAUCUCCUUUCUCAGUUCUUUUUUUCUCAAUAUAAAAUCCAGUUUUCGCGUAUUUUGUCCAUCUAGGCAAUAUAUAUUGCGAUGGCAAAUUGUAUACUCUAUUUGUAUUGAAGACUCUGAGAGCAUGCUUGCACAAUAGACCUGUAAGAUAUAGUUGCCAAUUACUACAUAUAUUACAUACAGCUUACAGUGUAUAAAUCUAAAUGUAAAUAGUACACAUACCUAUGGAUUCAAACAUCCGACAAGAGCAUGUAAUGGUGGAAUCUUCAGUGUUCAAUACUACCGUUGCUCCAUGGUCAGACUCCAUAUAUUUAACAAAGAAUGUCAAGUUUGUCCUCACAGCUUCCAACAAAUCACAAGUCAAUGUAAAUUGUCUCUUAAAUUCUUCCUCAAACUCCGAAUACAUUCGCCUUGUAUAUGAUUCAGCUGCAGUAUUCAACAUUGGUAGACUUGGAAUAUAUGGAAUCGGAUUCUUUCGGCGUGACUGAAAAUCAGCUUCCAACUCAUUUGCUUGGAGACUAACUGCAACCUUCUCACAUUCUACAAGGAGUUCCGAAAGACCAAGUCUCCUACGAAAUUGUUUCUUGAAAACAUUAUUCAUACCUUCACUCCUCUGGGUUGAGUUCAUGUCUGCUGUAAAAGAGUCACGAUAUAUUGCAGCCCAUUUUGUCCUCAAAGCAUAUAGGUUUGCCAUCCAAGAGUUAUUCUCAAGAUUGUAUUUAGCCAAUAGUUCUUGCCAUUUCUCUAAGAAAUAAGUCUCUGACCUGUUUUCGUAAACACAAUUUUUAAAAUCUGUUAGUAACUUGUUACCUUUCUUAUCCGCCUCAUGAAUUUCAUGACUAAGAUGUUUAGCGGCAUUUAAGCAAAUGUGCCACAAACAAAGACGGUGGCUUGUAUUUGGAAAUACAUAAGCAAUUGCUCCUGCCAUAGCCACGUCUUGAUCUGUAAAAAUUGUGCUGGGGUGCUGUCCUGACAUUGCUGUUAGAAAGGUUUCAAAGAGCCAAACAAAUGAUUCAAUAGUUUCAUUAAAGAGAAGUGCACACCCAAAAAUUAUUGUUUGCUUGUGAUGGUUGCAGCCAAGAAUCGGAGCAAAAGGCAUUUCAAACUUAUUAGUUUUAAAUGUGGUGUCAAAUGACACAGCAUCGCCAAAGCAUUUGUAAUCCAUGAUAGACUGACCAUCUGCCCAAAAGAAAUUUGCUAUGCGACCAUCUUCCUUGUCUACCUGAAAUGCAUAAAAAAAUGUAGGAUCCUCUAACUGUUUAUUUCUCAGAUAUUCAGAUAGUGUUUGUGCAUCAUUGGCUUCUAAGUACUGCCUGCGCUCGCGACCAAUCUCAUUAUCACAAUCCAUCUUAGCAAAUGGUAUGUUCUCUUCUCCUCCAUAAAACUACUUCAUGAACUCAUAAACUUGGGCUGGCUUCAUUCCAGCUUCUCGUAUCUGCCCAAUUAAUUUUCUAUCUGCCUCUAUAACCUGUCUUUGGGACCUCAACUUGUGUGCCUUAUUUGGGCUAGCAAGAUAGUGAUUGUGCUGUUCUAUGACCUUUUGUACCUUCCAAAUCCCCUCUUUGCUGAUACUAAACUGGACACGAGCAUCACAACCUGUCCUUGUUAUGUCCUUUUGCGAUGCCUCAUUUUCUCGAUGUCCUUGAUUACUGCAAACUAUAAAUUUCUGACAUAGACUUCCAUCUCGGCGGUGCUUUGUCUUGCUCUUUCUAAUACUAAACCCAACCUUGCCGGCAUAGGUGUUGUACAUCUCAUAAGCUUGAUCCUCAAAUUCAAAUGUCAUUCCAACUGUAGGAGUGAUGAAAUUUUGCCCACCUUUACGAACCACCUCCUGUACAUAUGAAUUUUCAAUUAAAGGCGUGCCAAAAAUAAAACAAAAUGUCACAUAUUCUGUAAGUUUGUUAAAUAUUUUUUUACCUCAUCAGGUACUUCAUUCUCUAUGGAUCCAGACGUCUGUAAAAUGGUGCCGAUGUUCUCUACUCCCCUGGUAACCAUGUUGUUCUGUCAAAUAUGGGCAAUAUAUCUCAGAUACCAAACAACAUAGAAGAAAAAACAUUUGUCAAAAAAAAAUGCAGAACGAUCUAAGCAGAUAACUAACCUGUGUUAUCUGUUCGUCUUCUCGACCACCAUCACCAACGGCAUCAAAUUCUAGUGCACGUGAAUCCUCCAAGAGAGAAGAAAAUGUCAUCCGAUCAACAGUUAUCAUUCCAUCUUCUUGGCCUCUAAUGUCUUCCAUGCAGGCCACUGGUUCAUCCAUGGAAGCAACAAUGGAGGAGUGCAAUUGGGCUGGUUCAUCCAUGGAAGCAGUAGUGGAGGCGUGCAAUUGGUCUAGGGCUACUGGCGGCGGCAAACUUAGGGAAGAUGAAACGAACGAGUUUGACGGUCUGACUCUCCGAUGGAAAGAGAAGCCAAGCCGACGGAAAGAGAAGCCAAGCCGGAACGUCCUCGAUGCUGAACGAGCCGCUAACUCCACGGACGGCCACGCUCGAUUCCAGGACCGUGUGAUGCAGCGCGUCUCCACGCGUCCUUCAUCCAGGGAGGGAGCUCAUGGUGGACGCAAUGAGCCCAGGGUCCAUCCAAUUUUUUUCCAUUUAUGGAUAAUUUUGGAUAGGUUUUUCUUACUAGGCAUGACGCCAAGGACGGCAAGAUCAGAAGUUCCUAAGCUCGGGAUAGAUUAACAAAGUAGAUAGAGCUGUUGAUGAAGUAAAAAUACUCAAAGGAACAAGAGACAGACUAACCCCACCCAAAACAGUUCAGCUGUACCGCGUUGCAAUGUCCAGUUUAGUGGUGUCCAAAAUAUUUAAAGGUUUCAUUCAAAAAUAGAGCAAAAAAAACUUUCACUGUGACGAAGGCCUGCGUAAGCCUGCCUAUGAUUCAUGUUAAUCUAAUUUACAAAGAUGAGAUCAUAGAAUGUGCCAAAAACUUUUGGUAAUCAAAUUGUGCAUACACCAAUGCUGAUCCCUAUUGGGUCCAUUAAACCAGACUUAGUCAACUUUGUGGCUAAAACAAUACAAUACAAUAUAUAUCAAAUCUCAUCUGCAGAGUGUAGACGAUCACCGGUAUUGAAUCCUGAAAGAUAUAAACUGAACUAUGGAUAGAAUAUAUUUGAAGGACACGGAUGGAAAGAGACAUACAACAUUCACCACAAGUUCGUCUCACAAAGAAAAAUGAUUAAAUCUGAAAAAAAAUAGAGAAGUUACAUUGAUUUUUUUUGUUUGUCAAUGUGAUUGGGAAAAUUAGACUGUGCAAAAGCUUGUUGAGGACAUUUGUGUUUUUAAAUCAACUAAUUGAUUUAGCGUAUCCAUCAUUCCAUCAAAUAAUAAUUAAGCACGUCAUCAAGCCAGUUGCUCAUAUUAAAUCAUCGUGCCUUUGGCUUAUCCAUUCCGAUCAGAUCAUGCAGUCAGAUGAAAACGAAAUGGCAUGGGAGGUGGUGUUCUAGAGAGCAAUAAUUUGGCUUCUUGCUUGGGACAUCUUCCUGUUGGGAAACGGGUACGCUAACUAUAACAAUUAUGUCUCCCGCGUUUGAUCUAGGAAACUGAGUAGAGGGGGUCAUGGAUCGUUAUCACUAGAAGCGCAGUGUAAGAAGAAUUGGAGCAGCCGAUCCAACGUAGAUGCCCAUCAGUGUAGAAGAAGUACUUGAUUAAGAUUGCCUCGUCCUCAUCCUCGUCCUCGUCCCAGCAGCAACCUCGCACUGCCGUAGCCGAUCAGCACAGCAGCAGCACCUCCACGGAGUCCAAACGUAUGGGAGAGAAACGUCAUGCGCCGGUGUGCUAGCACCGCGCGCCCGGCCAGGGUCUCGGGAUCAGGCUGAGAGGAGGUGGCGGCUAGAGCUGUGGUGUAGUGGAAUGGUGCGCCCCUACCCCACCCCUCAUAUUUAUAGAGUACACUAAUGGGCUGGUAAGCUGUAAGCCCAUUAGUGCCAUAAUCCCUCACGAUCAAUUAUGUCGUGGAUCGUUAUGAUUGUCUCUUAGGUACAUCACCAACACUUUCAUGCGACCGUACCGAGAGCAGAGGUUCUUGAGUCUGUACUAAGAUAGAGAAAUGGGUGCCAUAAAUUACUCUAAUUUCGAAGUAGGCUAAUUUUAGACGCGAAUAUUACUUCAUCCGCCAAAUUUCUAUGGUAAUAUGUUGUUUCAAAUCACAAAAGUUAUAUACUAUGAAUGGAUUUUUUCAUCAUGCAUAGGAUCUCUCUCUCAACCACAACAACCACGCGAUGACACCAUCCUCUCCGCGAUCGCGCCUUGCCACAAGCCUUACCGUGCUUGCUCCACCCGAGUUCGCCGGUCUUGCCGCAGCAGCCGCGACCUUGCACCCCUCCUGUGCACGAGCCGUGUUGCACCAUGGGCAUGCAUCACCGACACCCUUUGCUCGCCAUGUCGUGAUGCCGCCCCUUGCAUCGCCCGAUCGCACCACCUCCACCACGGUGCUCCCGGCCGCACUCCGAUCGACCUGGCCACUGGCCAAGUCUGGCUUUUGCCGGUCUAGACCGCGAGCCAAAGCUGACACCCCAACCCGACAUCGUCUUCACCGGCCACUAUGUUGGCCCAACCACCACGUCUAGCCAAUCCUCACCAACUGCAGCCCAUCAGACGGGCUACUGGUCGAAUCGCAGACCACCGCCGUGCUCCACCUUGCACCACACUGAGCAACUUCCCAACGCCCGUGAGGCAUAAACCUCGCGUCUCCACCUUUCCCCGUGCCUCCUCAUGAUCCAAAACCAACCGUACAACCCUUAUACCAAUUGUUGUGAUAUCGGCACACAAGCGGAAGGGCCGGCCCUGGCGGGCGGCGGGGGGCGGCCGCCCUGGGCCCCAAAUCCCAGGGGGCCACCCUAGGUUCAAGUGUCAAAUGAGUUAGGAAUUAGGAUUAGGACCGGAAUAGCAACGAACGCUGAACGCAGUCACGCAACUCGUACACGUCGUGUAGGGGGUCGCUGCUAGGCAAAACUCAUAUGCGUCGUCUUAGGGGGCUGCUGCGGGGGCCAGCGCCAAAACAUGUACGCGUCGUCCAGGGAGUCGCCAGGGGAUCGCCGCCAGCAAGGGCCGCCGCCAGGGAUCAUAAGGAUUAUCCAAAUCGCAAUUAAAACUCCGAUCGCCGGCAGGGCCACCGCUGCGUCGCGCGCAUCAACGACUGGUUGUUGGACUGCGUCUGCACCAUCAUCCAGGUACGGUACUCAUCGCUGUAUACACGCGCGUGCACAACCCGGCAGCUCGGCGAUUGCUGUUCUUGACCACUCUGCGGCGACCAAUCGGCUUGUUGCUUGCGGACCUUACGGUUGGUGCCAAUUCGCUUUUUGUGACCAGGUGAUUCGAUUGCUAAUUCCUCAAUUCUCCGUACCAUUAAUUAUUAAUUUAUUAUCACAAGUUAUUUAAUCUCAACUAAUUUAUAACUAUUGUGUAUUUAUAAUAAUUUUAGUACUGUAACAUUUGAUAGGUAUAAAUAUCAAGAAAUGUUAGAAGAAACUUUUAAGGUAAUAUGUAUAAAUAAUUUGAUAUGAAUAUUGCUUUUAGAUACAUUUAAAUAUUUAUUGGUAACAUUUUAUAUAUACUUGUUAUAAUGUUUAUAUUAAAGGCUCCAAGUUUUACUUUCGCCCCGGGCCUCCCAAAUCUCAGGAUCGGCCUUGAGCGGAAGCAAUUUGGUUUCAGAUCGAUGGAGGCGGGGAACUUGAGAGAGCAACGACCACACAGGAGGCACGAGAUUUGGUAACGGAGUUCGGCCGAAAUCUACAUCUCCGGGGCAUGCUUAUGGGCGCUCCUCCCUGACCACAGCGACACCAGCCAUCCCGGGCACCAACCAAGCCGGACGGCACCCCCUACGACCCGACCCUGUCUCUCAGUGCUUCUCUUUCUUGUGGUGGUUUGGUUACAAUGGUGGUCCUCUCCUUUUAUAGAGAAGCCGGUACACAUCUACCACUAAACUCUACCCUCUACUAUACCACUAGUUACAACAUCAAGUCCAUGUAACCCCUUUAGUGUAAAUAAAUAUUCGACACAUUUACAACACAAACCAUCCUGUAAGUGUUGCUUCUAGCACCUGGGAAAUAAACACAAGAAUACCUUAUCUAUCUGUGACAUUUGUUACAGAUUUCAUUUCAGCAGCAGAAUCUUUUGCUCUAGGUUUAAUUAGAAGUAACUUAAACAGUAGACUGCUUGGCCCAUUUAUUGGUAAGUGAUAAUUCAGAAGAUUAAACCUAUGCCAUCCUCACUCCCUUAAUCAAUUUUAGGCGUUUAUGUUUUAACUUGCAGCGAAUUCUAACAAUGACAAAUAUGCAGCAUAUUGUUAGUUUAUCUGUAAGACUUGGCUUGCUAGUUUAAUGCUUUUCAAGGUUUGAAGUUAUUAAUGUGCCUACUGGUAGCUAUUGAAUUUCUUUGUAUACUUUUUGUUCUGUCUUAGUGUUAAGCCAUGAGAAAGUUUUCAGAAUACUGAUUUUUUUUCUAAUGCUCAUUUUGUGGAGUCUCUCCAUCUACAACCUUUUAUUGAUACUGCGUUUCAGAUCCUUAAGUUAUAGCAUGGAUAAAUCCAUGUUUCUUUUUCUUAAAAAAUCAUGGGUAUGGGUAGAGAUUCUUGCCCGUAGUUAAUCCUGGGUAUGACACAAAUAUAGGAGCUAUUAAUGUGUGGAUUUGUCCUGGAUCUAUUCUUGUGAGAGUAUGGUCAGUUUUCCAAUGAUCUUAUGAGAGCAUGCUUGUACAGAAAGUGAGCUUGGUGUUUAAGAAUUCUUAAAUUAUUUGUGCUCAUUGUUUAUAUUUCUUUCUGUUCAAAUCAAAGAAAAUGGUCUCACACCCGACUACAUUAAUGUGUGUCAGUACGCAGCGGUUAAGCGGGUGCUCCAGCUGGAAGCGGCCCACUUCAUUAAUGUCCGUCAGGGAGCCACGUGCAAAGCUGGGUGCCACAAAUACAUGUUGAAUAAUUGUAUGGUAGCUACAAAUUCAUACCACGUGCAAAGCUGGGUGCCACAAAUUAUUGUCUGCCUUCACUCAAUCCAUACCAAGCACCUUUGUUUCCCUGCGUUGUGUUGUGAGCUCCAGGCGUUGCCAUGGCUGAGGUACUGGCCACCAUGGUGGUCGGGCCACUGCUGUCCAUGGUGAAGGAGAAGGCCUCCAGCUACCUCCUGGACCAGUACCAGGUGAUGGAGGGCAUGGAGGAGCAGCACAAGCUCCUGAAGCGCAAGCUGCCGGCCAUCCUCGAUGUCAUCGCCGAUGCCGAGCAGCAGGCGGCGAAACAGAGAGAAGGGGCCAAAGCUUGGCUGGAGGAGGUCCGGACGGUGGCCUACAAGGCGAAUGAUGUCCUCGACGAGUUCAAGUACGAGGCGCUUCGCCGCAAAGCCAAGGCGGAGGGUCACUACAAGGCGCUCGGCAUGGAUGUAAUAAAGCUCUUCCCAUCUCACAACCGUUUUGUGUUCCGUUAUAAGAUGGCAAAAAGGCUCUGCAUGAUCUUGCAAGAAAUUGAUGUCCUCAUCGUAGAGAUGAAUACAUUCAGGUUCGAAUUCAAACAGCAGCCGCAAAUGCCCAUGCAAUGGAGGCAGACGGAUGCUUGCAUCCCCACUGAGUCUGUGGACAUUGCCAGCGAAUCAAGAGCUCAAGAGACGAAGGAUCUUGUUCAUCAAUUGCUCAAGAGCAGUAAGGAUCGAUUGCUUGCUGGAGCCAGUAGUAAGGAUCUCAUGGUCCUUCCGAUAGUCGGAAUGGGGGGGUUGGGCAAGACCACCUUAGCACAGCUCGUUUACAAUGACACUGAAAUUAAGAAGCAUUUCGAGUUGCGGCUCUGGGUGUGUGUCUCUGAUGAUUUUGAUGUCGAUUCCCUGGCUAACAGAAUAGUGAAAGAGAAUGGUUGUGAAGCAAGUGGAAGUUCAUCAGCACUGGACAAUCUUCAAAAGGUAGUGAGUGGGAAGAGGUACCUCCUCGUAUUGGAUGAUGUGUGGAACCGUGAUGAGCCCAGCAAGUGGGAAAGGCUGAAGUCCUACCUUCAGCAUGGUGGCAGCGGUAGCUCAGUGCUGACAACAACUCGCGAUGAAGCUGUUGCUAAACUAAUGAUGGGUACAACUGAAGGAGCCUAUAAACUUGGAAGCUUGGAUGAAGAGUCCUUAGGGAAAAUUAUCAAGGCAAGAGCAUUAUUCGGUUCAAAACAGCCUGGUGAACUAGUUAACAUGGUUGGUGAAGUUGCCAAGAGAUGUGCUGGUUCUCCUUUAGCUGCUACAGCAUUGGGCUCUUUACUGGGUACCAAGACCAGCAAGCAAGAAUGGGAGGAUGUAAUAAAUGGAAGCACGAUUUGUGAUGAGGAAAAUGGGAUUUUACCAGUACUUAAACUAAGUUACAAUUGCUUGCCAUCAUACAUACGGCAAUGCUUUGCUUUCUGUGCUAUGUUUCCCAAGGAUUAUGAGAUUGACGUGCAAAUGCUAAUCCACUUGUGGAUGGCCAAUGGUUUUAUCCCAGAGCAAUCAAAAGUGUGUCCUGAAACUUUUGGAGAAAGAAUUUUCAUUGAGCUGAAGUCAAGGUCAUUUUUUCAGGAUUUGAAGAAUGUCCCAUUUGAUGAAAAAUAUUUUAGUUAUGCAAAGGGUAAAAAGGACAUGUAUUGUUCUAGAAUUACUUGUAAGAUCCAUGACCUUAUGCAUGAUGUUGCACAGUCUGCUAUGGGAGAAGAAUGUGCUGCAAUAGCUACACACCCAAGCGAAAGAGAGGAUGUUCUUCGUUCAGUCCGUCACUUGUAUUUGUUAAUCUAUCGACGAGAAACUCUUCUGAAUGCUGAGAAAGGAUCUCCAGCUUUCCAAACACUGAUUUGUGACGGAUAUGAAGGAGAUUUGAAGAUUUUAUCAAAAUACAACUCUAUAAGAGCUUUAAAGAAUAAUAUCUAUUGUGGUUCAAUCCUAAGGCCGAAAUAUCUUCAUCACCUGAGGUAUCUUGAUCUCUCAGGAAGUUUUUUUGUAGCACUUCCUGAAGACAUCAGCAUCCUAUAUCAUCUGCAAACACUGAACCUUUCUUACUGUCAUCGUCUUGAACGACUUCCAAAGCAACUGAAGUAUUUGACUGCCCUCCGUCACCUCAACACUCACAGAUGUGAGCAGUUGAAAAGCAUGCCUGCAGAGCUCGGACGCCUAACUUCCCUACAGACGCUUACAGACUUUGUAGCAGGUGCCGACGACUCCGGUUGCAGUAAUUUGGGAGAGCUGCAGAAUUUGGACCUUGGUGGUACACUGGAGCUAAGCAAGCUAGAAAAUGUGACAGGAGCAGAUGCACAAGCAGCAGGUCUUGGAAACAAGAAAAAACUGACCGAACUGGUGUUAUAUUGGACCGAUAGUAACCAGGAAGCACAGAAUAAUAAUCAUAAAGAGGUGGUGGAAGGUCUCAAACCUCAUGAUGGGUUGAAGGCUCUGAGGAUAAAUCAAUGUGGGAGCAGAACUUUUCCAACUUGGAUGAAUACUUUGAAAGGCAUGGUGGAGCUCAAAUUAUUCGUUUGCAAAAAGCUCGAAGAGCUUCCUGCACUCUGGGAGCUACCAGCUCUGCAAAUUCUUCACCUGGAGGGUCUGGAGAGUUUACAUUGUUUGUGCAGCGGUGGUACUACACCCGUCACAUUUCCAAAACUGAAGGUGCUUACCUUGUUAAAAAUGGCAAAAUUUGAGGCAUGGUGGGAGACACAUGAGGUACAAGGAGAAGAGCCCAUAUUUCCCAAGGUCGAGGAGCUGGAGAUUAAGGAGUGUAACAGUUUGACUGCAUUACCAAAAGCAACGUCGGUGAUUACAGAAUUGUCUGGCAGAGUUGACACUAAGUGCCGCUCUGCAUUUCCAGCAUUGAGGAAAAUGAUCCUAUUUGAGUUGACUAUGUUUGAAAGAUGGGAGGCAGGCGAAGGAAUUUCAGGCGAAGAGGUAACCUUUCCUCAGCUCGAGGAGCUGUCAAUCAUGUAUUGUCAAAGCCUGAGUGCACUACCAAAUGGAGCUGAAACUGUGUGGUGCCGCUCUGCAUUUCCAGCACUGAGGAAACUAGAAUUAUCUAGUUUGUCGGCCCUUGAGAGGUGGGGGGCAGCUGAAGGAACUCCAGGAGAAGAGGUAACCUUUCCUCAGCUCGAGGAGCUGACAAUCGGGUCUUGUCGCAGCCUGAGUGCACUACCAAAAGGGCCAUUAUUGGCUAAGCAACCAUUUGGCAGAGCUGGAACUGUGUGCUGCCGCUCUGCAUUUCCAGCACUGAGAAAACUAAAAUUAUUUUUUUUGUCAGCUCUUGAGAGGUGGGGGGCAGCCGAAGGAACUCCAGGAGAAGAGGUCACAUUUCCUCUGCUGGAGAACUUGAGUAUCGAUGAUUGCCCGAAGUUGACUGAUCUACCUGAAGCACCGAAGCUAAGUGAAUUAUCCAUAAGAACAUAUGGUGAUCAGCAAAUAUCGCUAGAGGCAGCUAGCAGAUGCAUCCCUUCAUUGUCCCGUCUGCAUCUGGAUGUGUCGCCCGAUGACACAGAAACAACAUUGCUGCAUGUCAAGAAGAAAUUGAAUGGUACACUCGCCCUACCAGCUAUGAGGUUAGGUUGCUGCGACGUUUUUUUCUCCUCCCGCUCAAGCGCACUGGCGCUAUGGACAUGUUUUGCACAGCUAGUAGAUUUGAAGAUUUGGUGUUGCGAUGCUCUUGUCUACUGGCCAGAAAACGUGUUCCAGGUCCUAGUAUGCCUGAGGAACUUACAUAUUUCCACAUGUAGCAAACUGACAGGACGCACACAAGCUUCUGAUGAGCAAUCUGCUCCAGCUCCAGAACGUGGUGGACUCCUGCCAUGCCUGGAGUCUCUAAGGAUAGAUUAUUGUCCAUCUUUGGUAGAGGUCCCCAUCCUGCCGGCAUCUCUUAAGACAUUACAUAUUGAAGGCUGUGAUGAAAUCGAGUCCAUCGUAUUCUGUCACCCGGAGGAUACGAGAUUGGUGAGUGGAGAAGGUGUUGUACGGCCGGAUACGUCAUCAUUAAUUCCAGGGUCUACAGCUGUACUGAAGCUGUCAUCUGGAGCCAACCAUCGUUUCCUUCCAUUUCCAUGCCUAGAAUAUCUACUUAUAUGGUAUUGCAGUGGCUUGUCAGAGGUUGCCAAUCUUCCUCCGUCUAUCAAGACCUUGGACAUUUAUUCCUGUAACAAUCUUCAAUCCCUAUCAGGAGACCUCCCGUUGCUGGAAAAACUCGACCUUUUUAGAUGCGAAAGACUGGUAUCCUUACCGGAUGGGCCUCAAGCAUACUCAUCUCUUAGAGUUCUUCGGAUAAUGAAUUGUGAUGGUAUAAAGUUGCUUCCGCCAAACCUUCAGAGCCGUUUGGGUUACCUUGAGAAGAAAGAUCUAGAUGCCCGUUACGAAGGUAAUCUCCAGUUUCUUUGUUUCUUUUAACAAAAUGAUCAGGAGCUCAAUUGCUGUUGCCUAAAAUGCAACUCUGUGCUUAAACAUUCUGUUAGUCAACUGUUGUUGAUAUAUACAUUAUAUCGAGUAUAAUGCACCACUAAUACCUAUAUUUAUGUGCACUUGUGUCACUUAAAUCCAUUAACUUUCAUAUAUUGCACAUUCGAGGUAUCUAAACACUUACAGCUGGAUCAAGAAGUUUAUGCACCAAUAUACACUUCACUUUACUCUAGUCAUCCUUGUAUAUCUCCUUGUUGUCCGUACAAAGAAUUUAACUAUAAGAUGAUCUUUGUGGUUCACUUUUGAUACCUUGGUUGUAAACUUGUAAUUGCUGACUCGAAUCAUGUAAUAAAAUCAAUCAUCUUCCUUUAGUUGUAUUUAAAGCAGCAUGGCAUCAUGGAAUUAUUGCAGCCGAAUUCACUAGCUCCAAUUAAAGUGGCACUGGUCCUAGUGUUUCUCUGGACAUUCACUAGCUCCAUUGUAUACAGUUCAAGUAUGUGUAGUUUUCUUUUCAUGGCUUAUGCCUUUUGACAUAAAUAAUAAUUUUCCUUUGAAACAUUUACUAUUGGGUGCCACAGCAUAUUCUCCUGUGUAUAUAUACUUUCUAACUUUGUGUUGACUUGCAUGCAUAAAUUCUAACAUCAUGUAUGAUCAUGGCCUGAUUGCCAGAACCAACCUGGAAACGUUCGAUCAGGAAGCUGGUGUGCUUGAAAUAGUAGAUCAAGACCUGACCAAAGAAAGUUAUUUCCAAGGUAUUUUUGCAAAAACGUCACCAAGGUUUGUAAUAUUAGUGUUCUUGAUGAUUGAUUUGAAAUGAUGCUAGCUCCUAAUGCUGACUUCCUAUGCGUUGUGACUUCCUUGUAGGAUCGUGCUAGAUCUGCAAAAGAUGGAUUAUUGUGACUCUUGUUUAGAAUGUAUCAUAUGCGCAUUCUCUCCAGUAAAGUUAAGGCAAAGUCCUAGAUUUUGAGCAGAAAACAAGUCCUAGAUUGCAAGCUGAAGAAUUUAGCACACAGAGCUGCAUGCUCCAGUCUUUUAUCCUUAUUUUUUUCUUUUGAACUAUGACGUGUUUGCAUUCGUGUCUGCUUCAGCCUCCAGCACAAGCGAAACACGGGCAGCACUUCCAUUUUAUGAUUUGUUUAUCCACAUACAUGUCCGAUUGACCGCAGAGGAUACUUUGCCAUAGAGUAGACCAACAGUCCAACGUACUCAUGUUGUUGCUCGACAAGCUGUCCAAGCUGCUGCUUGAUAUGAACUGAAAGUGCUGAGUUUUCUCCCGUGUAUGUUCUGUGUAUCAAAUACUGAAUGGUGUGCAGGGUGAUCCUCCAUCCUGGAAUGGCACGGUCUUGUGCAGAGGUCUCAUUGUUGUUGACCUGUUUCUUCAAAACUGCAUGUGCAGCAACAUUUUCUCCUGGCAGUGCUGCAAUGGAAUUGAAAAGAAUGGUGAUUGUUAUAGUAUAAUUGUCAUAUAUAGUCUGGGACACAAAACAAUGGAGGUACAUGAGCAAGGAAGAAGCUCUGGAGGCAGGGGAUGGAACAGAACAGAGACACGGACUCUGUCUUCUUCCGAAUGCAGCUCCUCUGUAUUGGCGAUGAAGGACCCUACAAGUUGGUUCUCAUAGACAGAAUUGAGAGCUACGGAUGUCCGCUCCCAAGAACGAACUGCCAGAGCAAGAAGAUGAACGUAAUCUGUAUAGAUAAAAAAAUUUAACAGAAGUUUUCAUGAGUUAUCCUUUGUCUGGGGCCAUAGUACAAACCCUGCAUUUCGAAUUUGGGACUGCCCUCCUGUAUGGUGUGACCUAAAUUUUAACAAAAAUUAUCCUAGUGUGGUGUGGCUACGGUUGUUUCAUACGACUAGUGGUGGUACCCGUGCGACCCGCACUGGUUUAAAAAUAUAUAAUAAAAACAAACUUAUUAUUCAUGAUAUUAAAUACGUAUAAUAUACAAAUAAAUCUAAUAUAUAAAAGAUGUCCCAAACAAACUACCAGCAUCUUUGGAUCACACGGGUCUACCAUCAAGAAAUAAUUCUUAAGAAAUGAACUCUUUUGUAUAGUAAGUCAUUUUUCUAAUGAUACUGGCAGUAGUUAAAGCAGGAAUGUAGGAUAACUAGGUAAAGAAGUUUGUGUGAUUGUGUCUACCAUCCUAAGCUGGCAUUCAUGUCUACCAUAGUAUGACAACCCAUCUUGUCGAGUGGAGACAAUUUCGUGUAAAAAAAAGGAGUUCAGAUGAAUUUGUGUCAAUUAACGCUUUCCAGUACUACACAUCUUCCCCCAAUCACCUAGAAUUCCAGACAGAUCUUUCUUCCCCAACCAGCUAAUCCAGAGCAAGGGGUCAGAUUUUUUCUACCGUUUGUAAAUUGUAACCAUGCUACCACUUUACUCUCCCAUCUGUGUUUUAAAAGAACUUAAGUUAGAAAAUUUUGAAAGAAGAAUAAAACGAUAAACAAAAGCAACUGGAAACCCAAUUUUGAAGCAACACAAUGUUAUAUUUUCAAUUCACCGAUCACAGGUACCAUUACUGCCCUGGGGCUUUAAGUCGCCGCAAACAAAACUGAGGAGUCUCCUACAUACUACGAAUUAGCUGAAACUAUAAUGACAUCAUUCUAAUUACUACAAGAAAGGUCAGGUCAAUUUGGCUUAAUUACCUUGUGGUUCUGCUUCGGUUGAUGGUAGACAAAUAUUAAUACAAGGAAUUUAAGCAUUGCUACCUUGAAUGAACACAUAUAUCCAAAAGAAAAUGUGUUUGGAAGUAAUUCUUGCUCUAUUCAAAUGUCUAGGGAAUAAUUUCAAAUAUUAUUCCAAUUUGAUUCUUUGCCUCAUCGACAACUCAACUCAAUUCUCAUUACAAUAGUUCAUAUGUCCAGAUUGAACAUGUACUUUGAAAAAGAUGCAUAGGCUGAAUAAUGUCCCCAUCCCAAUAAACAUACCAAAACAAAACAGCUAAAUUAAGAAACACACAUCCAUAUAGAGGUAAAGCUUCUGCCUUCUUCCUCAAACAUGAUUUAGAAAUCUUUACAAACCAGCCAGCCUGUAAUAAAACGUCUGCAUAAUAAUAAAAAAAAAGAAUGAGCCAUUGAUACUUACGAUUAGUAUUAGAAACAAUCAUCUCAUUAGGGGCUUACAAAGUAAGAUUUAAAGUCCAAACAAAGUAAUAGUUGAGUGUCCUUGCAUUGCAAUCGCCAUCGAUACUAACAAGCAUUGUGCAUCAUUGAACUCUAGUGGGGGCAAUAAUAUGAUAAUAUUUAACUAUGAUGAAAUGGUGAGCCAUUAACCUUGCCCUUGUGGAUACAUAAGCAGAAGAAAAGUACAUAAAUUCCAAAUCCGAAUUUAGUAGCAAUAUCAUCAAUACAUUUUCUUUGAAACGCACCAUCUGCUGCGUUGUGGGUUCUGAUUUCUUGCUGAGGAACAUUUGCACAAGCAGAGCCAUGUUGUGUCCAGGUAACCAGUAGAACAAAUAAAAAAGGACUAUCUCUGAUGCAUAGGUAUCCUAUAAUCUUCGACAAAUACAAAGAGUUUAACAAAAAUCGAAUGGUUUUAAAAAAACAUCACAGAGUCACAAGAUUUAGAAUCAAAAGAAUGGAAGGCUUUGUAAAAACCAUGCGCAAUUUCCAAACAGCACAAUUUUCUCUUCCAUUACAUAGAUUUUAACAAGGUUAUUAUGUAAAAUUAAAGGUAUAUUAGAAAGGUAGAUAUAGGCACAUAGCUGUUACUCCAAGGUAACAUAGGUUUCAGGUAGAAAGCUUCAAUCAGCAGCAAAAGCCCCUUUUCAUCUAGAUGGCUUGCAUAAUCAAUGCCUCCUCAUUCUGGUGUUUGAAAUGCUCCUGUACAACCAUCACAACAGACAGCUCAUCAUCUACAUCACCUUACUGUAAAGAAAUACCAUAGUAAUUUUUCUCUGCACAAAUAAGCAACGUGUAAGAAAGCUUUAAUUUUUUCACAGCCACAAAAUUUAAAUCCAUAGCAUGUAGUAACUAGUAAGCAUCUGUAGUAAUUCCUAUUUAAAGUGUCCCAGAAGCUUAACCACACCAAAGCAAUCGACGUAGAAGUCAGAAAGCUAACCAUAAGUCAAUGAAAUAGCAAAAUGAAGCCCUCGAAAAGCGAAACUGCCUUUUCUACAGGAGGUAGAAGUACUAAUACUUACUUCCCCCAUCCCAAAUUGUGGGUCGUUUUAGCAUUUCUACAUUAAUAAAAAGUUAGAUGCUGCCUUUUCUACAAGCUGUCGCUCCCACGAGGUUAUCUGCUAGAUCACUGGACGCAAUUUGCCAAUGGGACUGUUAUGGCAAGUGGGCUGGCCGCAGGCCUAGGCCCACGAGUAUUGUAGCUCGUGAACAGUACCACAAGGGGAAUAAGAUUGGUUUGUUAGCAGGUCAUUAGAGAUAAGGUUGUUAGAGAGAUACGGUUAUUUAGAUUAGAUUGGGUUUGUUAGGUAGCUGGCUAUAUAAGCACAGCCACACCAUCCAUUGUAAUCAAGCAAGAAGAACCCUAAAAGUAGUCGGAGCCUCCAAGGGAGGGCGACAAAUAGGUUCUUCGUGCUAUCCCUAGUUCUACCAUAUCAAGGACCGACCAACCCCUGCAAACAAAAUAAAUGUAGCAGGAUGCUGGUUUAAGUCGGCAGAAGAAGGGCAAAGAAGAUACAAAGUAAACAUUAAGGAAUUGAUCUUAAUUGGAUGCUUCCAUUUGAAUCUAUCUAGCAGUGAUCUAAUAACCAGAUGCACCACCAUAAUAACCAAUGGCAAAAAAUCUCAGGCAUAAACUUCUAUGUUUCAGACCAUACAUUUCAGCUUGACGUGGUAACAAUAAUGGAGCCGUACUGCAGGAGGAUGUACUUGAAAAGUUUAUUUUACCAUGGAUUGAAGAUACGGCAACUAGCCACUUUGCGAUUCUUCAAUAUCUUUCCUUGAGCUAAUAACUAUUGCAAGCUCAUCACCGCUAACACGAAAAUCAGACCUGUAAAACAUAAAGCUUAUAACAUAACCUAAAGAAAAGUAAUUGUCUGAUUCCUAGAGCUACAUCUCAAGCAACAGUAUAUUACUAACUUUAGUAAUCAUGGAGAUGAAUGGCCAAUUCUUCAACAUAUCUUAUAAUUAGUUAACAUACUUCUGAAAAAUGUCUCAUACUUACAGUUUAUAGUUAUGCAUUUUGCAAAGUUAAAAGCUCUUUUAGAUUUCUGAAGUUUUCAGUGAGGAUCCGCAAAUCUCUGUGAUGAUACCAGUUUCAUACAAAGAUGCAAGAAUUAUAUCUAAUAGUAUUGCCAGACCCAUUGGAUGUGUCCAUGAAACACACCUACUAAUUGGACAAUGGCUGUAGUGAAAAAUUCUUUGCAGAGCAAUAACAUGAAACAGAUAAGAAAUGAGAAAAAAGAGUAGGGAUCACGUACUAACCUAGGCCGUGCACUUGCCUGCUGUAUGCUAAAGGGGAAGAAACAUGUUCGGAUCAAACAUGGUGUCCUUCAAACAUGGUGGCCCUCACCUCUAAACAGUCAGGUAAAUCUAAGAGAAAUAGAAUUGCUGCCAACUGAAAGACUCGAAACUGCUAGAAGAAAAAUAACUCGCAGUGGCAACCUAUCAACACCAUUUUGAAGGCUACAAACCCUUUACUGCGUUAGACAUUAUAAUUUUAGGCUUGUUCAUCAAAGAGUGAAUUGCCGAAUUGAAGGAACAUACAAUAGAUUCCACAAGUACAUGAUAAAGAGGAGAUGAUAAAGUGGAAAUAAUACCCCUACUUACAUGUGUCUUUGGAUACAACAGGUACACGAUAAAUAAAGAUACAGAAGUCAAAAUAAAGAGAAGUUUGAAGGAGCGUAAAAGGAAUCGCAAUGCAGUUUUAUUUGAAUCCAUGUAUGCAUGUACGUGCAUUCUUGUGUUCAGUUAUGACAAAGAGGGUUAGGAGGAACGAGAAGUACCUGCUAUGCUGCUGCAUCUGGCUCUUUUCCUGGCAAGAGAAACAAAUAAAAAAUGAAUAAGGUGCAUAAAUAACAUAGUGCUGCAAUGCUAAAGGAGGAAACCAAAACAAACAUUUACGAAAUUGAUUAUGAUUAUUAGUAACUGAAUACAUUCAGAAAAAAAUAAAAACCAUUCGCAUUAGGGCUUGGCGAUAUAACUGAACCGUUAGGUCGCAAAGAUCAAGCCAUGUCACUAUAAGCAAUGCUGGUAGUGAUAGGGAAAAAAAGAAAUAACAGUUCUGACAGAAUCACUUAUGAUUUGGUUGCACACACAAAGUAGCAAGGAAAAAAAACAGUGCUUAGACAAAUGAAAACUUCAUAAAUCAAACUGCUGAAUGAUUGCAAGGGAGGUGCAUACUUCCUCUUUCUGUUGCCCAUAGCAUUUGUCAUGUCAUCCUUCGGCAUAUUGGUGCUUGGAGUUCCCACACUGUUCAAGAAAGAAAAGGUACAAUUUCAGGUUUCAUUAAGACAGUGCUGACAGAAUCACAGCUGUUACUCUGUUAGAAUCUAUUGAGUCCAAAGUCUAAACAUGUAUAUAUGAAGUCUAAAUAUACAGGAUAUGCAAGUAACAACAAUUAUAAUGGGCAAAUAAACAUUGCACUGCCUGAAUUGCCAUGUCUACAUGGCAUUUAGCAAUGCAAACUGUACAGAAUGGAAAGAAAAUCUGAAGUAAACAAUGAUCAGUCUAUCCAAAUAUAGACUCAAAGAACAAUUUCACAUACAGGCACAACAUCUCGGCCUGGAGAAUGGCGCAACAUCUCUGCCUUGUUUCAGAAUUCAGAAACCAGGUUUGGUGCCUUCCAGCAGUGGGCUACCAUGCACACAGUACGUCCAUACCUAACCAGAUGGGCCAAAUAGAGGCGCAUCACCAAACCAAAUCAAUUUUCAUACUCCGUCCCUCCCAAAUUAUAAACUGUUUCGGUAUUACUAGAUUCAUAAGUUUUGUUACGUACCUAGAUAUACACUGUGCUUAGAUACAUAGUAAAUUCUAUGAAACUAAAAACCGCAAAAUGAUCUACAAUUUGGAACGGAAGAGUAGUAUGCAAGAAAUGUCAAAUGUGCUAUCGACAACCAGGUAAUUUGUUUCUGAAAGAGAGUAGGGUUCAGUUCAGAUAUAAUGCUCUUGGACCAGUGAGCAUCAGCAAGGGGCAAGUUGCCGAUGUCCCAGUCCAAUUCUAUCACACAACUUGCCUACUGGAUCAGCUUAUUUCUUUGUUGGGCAAGCAUAAUUUUCCCCGUAUAAAAAGGCCACACAACCUCAAGAGAAGAUAAUGAGGUAAUACUUGGUGUACAAUACACAUAUAAUUGCUCCGUUCUUCAAUAGACAGUUCAGGUGCAGAACCAGUCCGAAUUUAAGCAAAGACAGUUCAGGUGCAGAACCAGUCCGAAUUUAAGCAGGUUCAGACCAUACUCAGAAAGGUUAUGCUUGAUUAAAAUUCUAUUGAUAAGUAUUUAUACAUUAUAACUGAAGGUAAUACGUUUCCAGAUGGCGUCAAAUUGCUGCUAGUCAAAGCCUCAUAAAAAAGUUUAUUGGCAGAUCUCUUGGACUGUCAUAGUGCAUGCUCCCUGUCCCUGACAUUGUAACCCUGGUGUGAGAUCCUUAAGUAAUCUGUCACUGGAAUCACCAAUCCUAUCCGUAGACAAUUACUUAAACCUAAUUUGAAACAAAUAUUAACUAAAUGGGCCAAAGAAUGUGAAGCUAACUGAAUGCAGUCUGCAGCAGAACUAAGAACAAUGUCAGGGCUGAUUGCUCAUAGGCUGACAGCCACAGCAAAGAAAAAUGUCCCUGCAGAAUGAUCAUGGAACAAAGCUGGGGUUACUUACUAAACACGAAGAACUCUCUCCUUCCAAGCUUCUUGGUUCUUCCGUUCCAAUGCUCUGUGGUACACAUGAAAGCAUCUGAUCAAUUUAUGUGCAUAAUUCAUUUUCCAAUGAACAAGCAUUGGGUUUGCUGGAUGUGGCUCUGAUCAAGUUUCUUCCUUGACAUUUUGUCAAACACAUGGAAUGCACCAGACUUUUAAUUUUAUUGGGUCAAGAUUUUGCAGGGAAAAUUAUUCAAUCAAAGAAACAUUACAAUGGGAAAAUAUGUUGAAUGGGAGAGGAAACAAUAACUUGCAAAUACUGAAUUUCAUGCUAGAGUUGUAAGCCAAUGGCUAGGAAUCAAAUGCAAAUGGCAGUGGUUCAAUUCUAACCAAUUGAAACAUAUGCUUGCGAGGGAACCAACCUUCUUGAAGACAUUGCAAGAGUUGCAGAAGCAUCCCCUGUAAUGACAGAGUGGCACAUGGAGAUUAGAGUUGAAGACAUUGCAAGAGUUGCAGAAGCAUCCCCAUCAAGAUUAUCUUGGAUCGAAGGUUGGCAUCCAUCGGUGUUCCAAAUCUCUAAUCACUGAGAAAAUCUCCAAAAUUAGCAACGCAAUACAAGCACGUUAUUGCACGUUAUUGCAGCGCUGCUGGUGGAGCCGUCCGGGAUCCCCAACCCCUUGAGGUGUUCGCCAACCUUGUUUACAUCCUUGCCGCUGCCGCCAUCGCCUACGUACCCGACCAGAUCAACCACAGAUUAGAUUAGGCCGCACCAGAGACUGCGGGGACUGCGAAGGGAGGGGAAGGACCACAGCAGAUUAGAUUAGAUUAGGCCGCACCACAUAUAGUUAGCUUGCAUCAUAUACCACAACAUUCAAUAUAGUAUGUACAGGCAUCAAAUUAGGAAAGGGAAAAGCAAUCAGAUCUUUUUGAAAAUAAAAGCGAAGAAUGCUGUGUUAAUCAAAACAAAGGGUAAUGAACAUCUGAAGUGAGCUAUGAGCUAACAGAUUAUAUAUUAAAUAUAAUAAGCACAAUUAGGAACGAAAAUUUACUCCAAAGAAUCCAAAAACAAGAACAUAAAAAAAAGCAGAGGAUCAGAGUUCUGGCUUGGUUCUCAAAAGAGAAAUUAUAGCACUCAGUAUGUUCAUUGUCGAUCAUCUGGGGAAAGGGUCAUCAUAUCCUCCGAGGUAUGCAACACAAUUAAGAGAGCUCUUACACAACACCAAAAGCAUAAACUCUGACAAGGGAAAAAGGGAAAGGCAGUAUAUGAAAUUCACUACAGGUCAACAAGAAAAUACAAUGCCGUAUAAACUAUGAAGGAUCAGAAUUCUGGCUUGGUUCUCCGAAGAGAAGUUAUAGAGUACAGUAUGUUCACUGUCAAUCAUCUGGGGAAAGGAUCAUCAUAUCCUCCAUUCAUAUAACGUUAAAUCAUAGGAGAAAACAUCAUUUUAGAUAACAUGUCCAAAAAUACGUUGUCCAGAGAAUAAUUGUGCGGUAGUCCAUGUAGCCAUGAGGUUGUGGUGGCUGAAGUCAUGGAUUCGAUACCCAAUUCUCCUUCUCUCAAAGCCGUAUUCCCAUAUUGACAUGUAAAAGUUCAAUUAAGUAGGAAUGAGAAAAUGUAUGACUACCACUACAUAUUGGUAUAAGCCACCAGCAGCCGCGGGGGCCGAGGGGGCGCGGAGGCGCGCGGGGAGGGAGGUCAGCGCGGACCGCAUCGCCAUGUCGUCGCGCUCGAAUCUGCCUGCGGUGGCCUGGUAGGGUUGAAGGGGAGGAGAGGACGGGGAGGAGAGCCGCCGAUUGGGUCGCAAUCGAGCUAAUGUGGAGGGAGGUCGGGAGAGCAGACGGGAAGAAGGAAAGAAACGCGUGAUUUGCGGGCGGGAUUGGCCGCGGGUACGGCGGGCGGUUGAAAAAUAAGCCAUUCCCCCGCCGCCAUUCCACUCCGCUCCCAUUCCCCCGCCGCCGCAGGAGCGCACUCCCUCCUGCACCCACCGGCGGCCCGCAAGCCCCCCACACCUUCUCCCUCUCCCUCCCCUUCCCCAUUCCUCCGCCUCCCGGCCCCCGCGCGCCCGCGCCUCCCGCUCCGCCUCCGCUCCACCUCCCCGGCCGCCGCCUCCGACCUCACCGACUUCCCCAACCCGAACGGCAUCCUCGCGCCCAUCGACGUGGACGCCGUCACGGAGGCGGAGCUUCGCGAGAACGGGUUCCGGAGCACGCGCCGCACCAAGCUCGUCCGCACCGUGGGCCCGGCCACCUCGUCGCCCGAGCAGCUCGAGGCGCUCGCCAUCGGCGGGAUGAACGUCGCCCGCCUCAACAUGUGCCACGGGGACCGGGAGUGGCACCGGGGCGUCAUCCGGGCAGUCAGGAGGCUCAACGAGGAGAAGGGCUACGCCGUCGCCGUCAUGAUGGACACCGAGGGCAGCGAGAUCCACAUGGGGGACCUCGGCGGCGCCACAUCGGCCAAGGCGGAGGUGAGGUGUUGUGCUUGUAUGUAAGCUGCUGUCCAGUUUUGUACUUGGCGUUGCGGUUUUCAGUUUUCAGAUUGAACGCUUUCACUUGAACGUAUUCCGUGAAAUGUGCUUGUGCAAUGUGGAUGAGAGGAACGGGUGGUGGCAGUGGCAGUGUCAGGCAUUGCAGUUUCAUACUUCUGCAAAACCUAGCGAGUCAGGAUUUCACCAAAAUGUUUUUUUUCCAUCUUCAAAAUGGCUCAGUUGAUUUAGAUUUUCAGCUCAUGUUUGAAAUUGCUAUAGAAGGAGAAUCAUUCAGAAUUUCAGAUUGUCAUCAAACACUGGAUUGUGAAAGUGGUAAUCAUUUUCAAGGCUUUCAAUCUUUCAAAAAAAAAAUCAAGGCUUUCAGUAUCAGUGCAACUCAAAUAAAGUGCAUGGUAAACAUCACCAUGUUUUGGCUUUCUCUGCAUAUAAGACAGGGUGCUGGAGUGGUUCGACCGCGUUGAGGUCCCAAUCCAACCGGUCGGGUUUUUUCUAGGUGUCAAGUUUGAGUGCUUACCCGCAUUGACAUCCCAAUCCAACCGGGCGAGUCUUGUUUAUUUUUCGUUUCUUUUCCUUUUCCUACCUAUGGCCUCCCAGGGCCGUAGUCUUGUAUUUUCUGCUAUAUCAAUACAAACUCGCACGGUUCGUUCAAAAAAAAAGUGAUAGGCAUUGAGGUUCUGAAGGUUGUUUUUUAGAUCUUAGGCCCAAGCCUCAAAUGGCUUUUUUUCCCCUGUUGCAAACCUUCCUUUAAGUAUUGCAUCUAGCACCGGGGAAAACACAGGAAUAUCUUUCAUUUCAGCAACAGAAUCUCUUAUAAAAAGGGCGUACCCAGUGCGAAAGCUCCCACACAAGGUGGGGUCUGGGGAAGGGAAUUCCUAGACAACCUUAUCUUUGCAAUAUUCUUUUAAAAUUCUGCAAAGAGGCUGGUUCGAACCCAGGACCUCCGGGCCACAAGUGGAGAGUUUAAUUUGAAUUAGCUUUAUUAGUAGAAUGCUUGGCCCAUUUAUUGGUAAAUGGUAAAAUUCAUAAAGAUUAUCCUUAUUCCGUUAAUCAAUUUUAGGUGUUUAACUUGCAGCAAAUUCGAACAAUGACAGACAUGCAGCAUAUUGUUAGUUCAUCUGUAAGACUUAGCUUGCUGGUUUAAUGCUUUGUUAAAGGUUUGAAGUUAAUGUGUCUACUGGUAGCUACUGAAUCUCUUUAUAGUUUAUUUAUAUCUUUUUUCUUUAUUAGUAUAAAGCCAUGUAGAAGUUUUCAGAAUACUGAAAUUUCUAGUGUUCGUUUUGUGGAGUCUCUCCACCUACAUCCUUUUUUACAACUGCAUUUCAGAUCCUUCAGUUAUAGCAUGAAUAUUUUUUUAAAAAGAAACUUCUAGGUCUAUUCUUGCCCGUAAUUAAUGUUAGUGUCUGAUGAUAGUUGUGUUUUAGAUAAUACAUUAAUAUUAGUAAUCCAAAGAAACUGAACUACUUCUAUGAUUCUAAGGCCCUGUUUGGCAUGGCUCCAACUCCGGGUGGAGCUGCUCCACUCCAGAACUUCACAUGGAGCCAGCUCCGCUCCAAAACUCCAGAACAAAAAUGAGGUGUUUGGCUAGAUGGGUGCUCUCAGCUCCAAAAAAAAUCGAUUUCAGUGUGGAUUGCCAUUGUUGCCCCCCAAUUAAGGCACCACUUGUCAUCCUCUCUAUCCCAUCUUCUUCUUCCCCUUUUUCCACUGCACUGUGCCGCACACGGGAGACCCUCCAUGGGCGGCGGGGUGGGUAGCGACGGGGCGGCGGGUGGCGACGGGCGACGACAGGCGGCGGGGUGGGUGGCGGCGGGCGGCGACGGGCGGCCGGCGCGGCGACGGGCGCGGCGGUGGGUGGCGGCGGGCGACGGGCGCGGUGAUGGGCGGCGACGGGCGACGGGCGGCGGCGGGCGGCAACGGGCGGCGGCGGGCGGCAACGGGCGACGGGCGACGGGCAGGGCUCUGGCGGCGAGUGGGGCUCGGGAGAAUAGAAGGGAGAAUAGAAUGAAACGUUUUUUUGUGUAACCAGUGGCAUUGGUGGGUAAUUACCCACCAACUCCACGAUAAGGUUCGAAAGAGAGGUUUCUGGAGCAGCAAAAGAGGUGCUCCAAAACUCCACCUGCAUUUGCACUACAGCUCCAUGGAGUUGGCAACUCCAUGGAGUUUUGGAGUUGGGGUGUUUGGCUGAAUUUUUUGAUGGAGUUGCUGGAGUUUAGGAGUGGAGCCGUGCCAAACAGGACCUAACUGUCAUCAGUGCUAGCUAGGGUCACUAUGCCAAAAGGAGAUUAUAUCACCAUUCGGCUGUUUAUCUUAAGUUUUUAACCAUACAGUCAGAAGUUUGAUUGUACACCUAUUCAAUAAUCCUAGGUUUUCUUGAGCCACGUUAUUUACCCAAUGACUUCCAUUUUUCUUGGAAUUAAAACAUUUCUGAAGUAAUUAAUAAAUCAUCUCACAUUUGUUGGAUUCCACAGGAUGAAGAAGUCUGGACAUUUAGUGUUAGGUCAUUUGAAUUGCCUCUCCCAGAACGAACUAUUAAUGUGAUUAUGACGGGUUUGCUGAAGGUAUAUAAGCUGACCUAUUUGUUGAUAUCUUUCGCUGUUAUUGUUCACUGCCAUAAUUUUGCAUCAAAAUCCUACACAGAUGUGAGAGUUGGUGAUGAGCUUCUUGUGGAUGGUGGAAUGGCUCGGUUUGAGGUGAUUGAGAAGUUGGGACCAGAUGUUAAGUGUCGCUGCACGGAUCCUGGUUUAUUGUUGCCACGUGCGAAUCUUACAUUCUGGCGUGAUGGCAGUAUUGUCCGUGAGAGGAAUGCUAUGCUUCCUACAAUUUCAUCAAAGGUAAAUGCAGUAGCAUAAUAAAUUUCUUGCUGCAAUUACCAAAAGACCGCAAAACUUUGUUAAUCUAUGCCCCCCCUUGGUACUAGUAUUGCAAUGGAUUUACAGCUUGUUUUUUCUGUCAAUGCCAUGGUCAGUUCAAAACAACAUGUAUUAGUUCAAAGCCUUACAUUGUGCACUGAAACUCAUCUCUCGAUAGUUUUUGUCAGCUAUUUCUUAAGAAGGCUUCUACCACCUAGAGUUGUUUAACUGAAAAUUUAAUCUUCUAGUAGCAGAUACUAAUAUUUUAAGUUUAUAACAAUGCUGCUCCUUUUCUUGUGACAACUUGUGCAGGAUUGGCUUGACAUAGACUUUGGAAUUGCCGAAGGUGUAGAUUUCAUCGCUGUUUCAUUUGUCAAGUCAGCAGAAGUAAUUAAACAUUUUAAAAGCUACAUAGCUGCAAGGAGCCGUGGCAGGUACCAGGAGUAUAAUUCUGUACUGUUAUUUAAGUUUAUGCUUUCUUGGAAAAGCCAUAUUUGACAUUAUUAAACUGAUAACGGGUGUUCCUAGAACUGUUCUGCAUGCUUAGCCACUGUUUGUGGUUGGUUCCUGGUCAGUCCCAGAUGAUUACUCAUACUGGUAGGGUUUUAGUUGUAUUCUAACCCCCAAAAAAUCAGCCUGGAAUAUAUUGGUUUCUAUGUAGUUACUAGAGAAAACAGUGAAUCAACAAGAUAUCCCCUUUCUGGUGUUCCUCCUUUUCUAAAUAAUGCUGUGGAACAACAUGAUUCAUGGAAGAAUAAUAAGAACUGUUUAAAAUUGUUUGGCUUUCCUCAACCUGGUGUCUUCUCUGUGCCAAAAAAACAACACUUGGUGUCAGGUGUCAUCUCAGCACCUACAAUUCAUCUGCAUGCACUAGAAAAAUUGUGUGUGUGUAGCUCCUGCCAAAAUUGCCAGUUUGCCAUUGUACGUCCAUCUCAUGUUUUGUGGCUAAAACUCAGUUAGUGACACAAAAAGUUACCUAGAUUAAAAUCGCUAAUCCCAAACCGCAAGUGAUACCAAUCUUGCUAUGUUAUCUUUUAUACUUCAAUUAAUUGGGCCUUGCAAACAUCUAAAUCAGAAAGGAUUGCUAGUACCGUGUUUCUGAAAUGUUUCCUUCAUUUUGCUGAACUUUGUUGGUUCCUUACUCUAAUAAUGCUUUAUUUUAUAUGAUCAGUGAUAAGCAGUCAUUGCGAAAAUUGAGAGCAUUGACUCUUUAAAGAACCUGGAGGAGAUCAUCCGAGCAUCAGAUGGUGCCAUGGUAGCCACUCUGGAUAUGGGGGCACAGGUUCCCUUGGAGCAGGUCCCCUCAAUACAAUAAAAGAUAGUUCAACUGUGCAGGCAGCUCAACAAGCCAGUCAUUGUUGCUUCUCAGCUCCUUGAAUCAAUGGUCGAGUAUCCUACUCCCACAAGGGCCGAAGUUGCCGAUGUUUCUGAAGCUGUCCGCCAGCGUGCGGAUGCUCUAAUGCUUUCUGGUGAGUCAGCAAUGGGAAGAUAUCCAGAGAAGGCUCUUAGUGUUCUGAGGAGCGUUAGCCUCAGGAUUGAGAAGUGGUGGCGGGAGGAGAAGCGACAUGAGGCACUGGAACUUCAAGGUGUUUCAUCUUCAUUCUCUGACAAGAUAUCAGAAGAAAUCUGCAACUCGGCAGCUAAAAUGGGUAAGUACUGCCACCAUCGUAUUCAGUGCAUACCAUAGUUAUGUUGUCAUAGCAACUGAUAUAGCAGCUGACGCCAUCUUUGUUUUCACAAAGACUGGCCACAUGGCCUCCUUGCUCUCACAGUGCCGUCCUGACUGCCCAGUUUUCGCCUUCACAACAUCGACGUCCGUCAGGAGGCGGCUAAACCGUCAGUGGGGCCUCAUCCCAUUCCGCCUCAGCUUAGCAACUGAUAUAUUCAAUUGCUUUGCUGUUUCAUCUUCCUAUUAUUGUCCAUUAUCUUGGUUACUGACAGAACAUUUAGAUUCCAUUUUCUUAGAAGCUGUGUCUAAACAAAACCAAUUUCAUCUGCAGCUAACGGCCUGGGAGCUGACGCCGUCUUUGUUUUCACAAAGACUGGCCACAUGGCCUCCUUGCUCUCACGGUGCCGUCCUGACUGCCCAGUUUUCGCCUUCACAACGUCGACGUCCGUCAGGAGGCGGCUAAACCUUCAGUGGGGCCUCAUCCCAUUCCGCCUCAGCUUCUCAGAUGACAUGGAGAGCAACCUGAACCGCACCUUCUCCCUGCUAAAGGCCAGGGGCAUGAUCCAGUCUGGCGACCUGGUGAUCGCCCUCUCUGACAUGCUGCAGUCCAUCCAGGUGAUGAACGUACCCUAAGAAAGAGCCUAAUCCUCUGUGGGAUGAUCAUAUGAGAUGGAAGAUGGACCAUGAACUUUAUCGGCACCUUGAAGGACAGUUCCUUGCACCAAAAUUAUUCGCUUUCACCCUGUAUUAGAUGCUGGGCAGGACUAGAGAACUGUGGCAAUAAUUUGCAGCUUUGUGCCCUGCUGUAAAACUGUUAUAUUACUAUUAGCUUUAUUUAUAGUCUGACCUUGGGGUGACUCUUUAAUGUGCAAGCUUUGGGUCUUGCUGUGGGCCGUAAUGGGCUUAUAAGUGAAGCGCAGGGAGAAGAGGAAGAACCCGCUGAAGAACAUGGCUGCUGUGCUCAAGCUCAACCCCUACCUCGGCACUGCCCGCAAGAUGGCUACCCUCGCUAAGGUUGCCCACAUCAAGGCAAGGAAGGAGAAGCUCGAAUCCAAGAGGACCAAGCUUAGCCCGGUAUGACCAUUUUUCUCCCUCCAUUUCAUUUCUGAUUAUGUCAAUAAUACCUGAAUUGAUCACUUAGAUUGCUCAUGUAGUUCUGGUGUACUGUUUAUGACUUGUAGUGUUUGCUAUGGUACAUUUUCUGCCCCUUGUAUGAAUGGUUUAAUUUGUUUGAUGUAUCAUAAUUUGAGCAAAUUUCAUUGCUUGAAAGUAUUAGUACUGGAGUUCUGUGUGAAUAACAUGAUUCUGCUGUAGUGAUUCUUGUUGGGGUUUAGUUAUGUGCAUUGAUCUAAUGUUGUGCCAACAAAUAUUCUUGUAAUUGCGCGUUUGUGCUGUAUCAGUAUGCAUGGGUAAUCUAGUUUGUCAUUGUUUACUAUUUGCUCAGGGUGUUUCGGUACCCUUAAUUGCUUUUAGUAAGGCAUUUGUCUAUGUUCUGUUCCAUUUCUUUAUAUGCUAGUAGAUAUCUGAGCAAUUGUUUGUUCUACUCUUUUCUUAGAAAUGAUUUAUGGUACUGGAAGCUUCGGUAAUCUUUGCAUAUAUGGCAUAUGACAUGCCCUGGUAACUCAUGGGUCAGGGUUUAUCUUGAAUGUUUUAGUUCGAUCCCUCUUGUUGAUUUGUGUUCUGAAUUGGUAACUUGGGACUAUGCCUUGUUAGAAUGUGAUGAAUAGAUUGAUGUUUUACUAAGCGUUUUGAUUACAGAAUACUAGAAUGAAUGUUAUUACAUUAUCCAUGUUUCGAACUGAAUCCCAAAAUUUACUGAAUCCCUUCACAUCCAUAUAUCUCCUGAAUAUUUGUUUAACUGUAUAGUUUGAUAUGUUUACAUUGUUGUCAAGAUUCUUUGUUGCAUGCCCAUAUAUCUUCUGAACACUACAGAACUGACCAAUAUGUGAACUACUGUUGGUUUAAUGUAUCAGAUGCUGAUUAUUUCGUUCAGCUGUAUGCCCUUUUGUCAACAAACACGUACUGAACAAUAUCUGUAGAUCCAUUGUUGUAGGAGGAGGCUGCCAAGGUCAAGGCUGCUGGAAAGGCAUGGCACAGGACCAUGAUCUCAGACAGCGACUACACCUGAGUUUGAGAACUUCUCAAAGUGGCUCGGCGUGACUCAGUGAGCGGGUGCUAUCUAGUUAAGUUUUGAGUAGUAGUGUGGCUGAACUUAUCUCGAGAGGGUUUAUCGCUUUGUUUUAUCCUGCAUCAUCAUAAGAAUUCAAUCUGUGGGAUUUUAAGACAAGUCUUCCUUUUUGUUAAUGCGUUGCUGUGAAAUCAUUCUAGUAAAUAUUCACCUUGACGAUCUUUUGGAAGGACAGCGACCACAAAAAUUAUGAAUUGGGUAGAUGGAGGAUUUAUGUGCUGUAUUGAGAGAGCCCGUAGGUGCUAGAUUUCUCCGGAAACGUUCGAUUUAAGCUUGUAGAUAUUGUGAUGAAUCCCGUCACCAUUUUCCCAUGAAACAUUCUGAAAGUUCUGGUAGUGGUAUCCACUGCUGCAGUUUUACAAGCAUGUAGGGUUGUUCCUCUGUUUGUUGAUUAGGUAUUAUGUUUUGCACAGUCUUAAAGUUUAGAAGGUAAUUACCCAGGUGUUCAAGUAUACCUUCAAGUUUUUUUUUACACAGUGUACAUAUUACCUUGUUAUAGUGAGAACAGAGAAGUCCACCGCAAAAGUAAAGCCUAGCAUAUAUUGUUCUUGCAAUAGACCAUGUGUGUAUAUGCCCCUUUGUAGGUUGAUUAUUCCAUUCAGAACAUAGCAUGGACCUCUAUAGUGUUUUGGAUAAAUUUUUUUAUUAUAAAGGUACUUGCCGAGGCACCAAUUUGGGAGUCUGCGGGGUAAAAUGUUCCCGGCGUACUUCAUAUUGAUAUCAGUGUGUUCAGCGAUAUCUGUUGCAGCAUUUGCAUACCUGCAUGGAUUCCUUCUUUCGGCCCUUAUCUGUAACCUUUCAAACCUUCUGGUCAUCACACCUAUGAUGGUUGAAGUAAAAUACUUUGUUUGUGGCCUUGAGCUUUUUACUACCUCUCGUUUUGCAUUUGCCAGAUGCUAGUGUGCUAGUUAUACAGAAUAUCACAAAAUUAUAGUUUGAGUAUGUGAUAAUAUCGUUACUAAUGAAUGGAAUCUUACACUUUUUAUAUGCAAUUUUGAGAUUUACUUUGCUGAUGGUAGUAGAGGUAUGUAAAGCAAAAGAAAGUUACUUUUAAAUUAUUAGUUAUAUGGUUAUAUUUUAUAGGUCAGCGAUUUCUGAGUACUAGUCAUAGCAGCGCUCACAGGAAUAUACUGACUUGUUCUUUAUUUUAUUUUCAAGAAUUAAUACAGAUAGCAUAAAGCAGAAUCCAGUCCAUGAAUAGUUAGCGAUCUAGCAUCUGGAGGUGAAAAUCUAGCUUGGUUAGAACUUAGAAGCAUAGUUGUGGAUAAAAUUUGUGGGAAUCUAAUUUGACAAAACAAGUAGACAUGUCUGGCUGCAUAUAUGAACCUUUCAAACUGCAUCUUAUUGUUUCUGAGAUCUGAUUGGUGAUUUUUCCACAUUUGCAUUGUAGCACACAUCACUUGGAUAUUGUUUUAGAGAGCAAACUUGACAAUCGAGAUAUCUUGAUUGCUGAAAUCGAUGCUGACAAUGUUCUGUUAUUUGAGUAGGAUAGGGGUUAUACAUAAAAAAAAUAAGAAGAGAGAAUGUGCCUUGCAGGCUUGUACUUUGGUUGGUUGAGCAUUGCUCUUUGUAGUUUGCGCUUUCAUUUUCACCCGUGCCUAUUGAAUUGCUCUCUUUCACCUAGAUGAUGAUGAAGAGGUACAAGAUAGAAGGACCUCGUGAGGCCGGGUACUCCAAGAAUGAGGAGAUGGCCAAGAGGAACCCUGCCCUGGCGGCAAUCAGUCAGAAGUUCAGGAUGAUCCACGUGCUGUCGUCACUGGCCAGCCCCAUGUCCUUCGGCAGCCUGGCCAUCCACUCCUGAUACCUCCCCAGCAAGCUCGACCCGUGACUGCCUGACCGAGUGUUAGCUGGUGCCUGGUGAGUGGUGACCUACGAACUCUGAACUUAGCCUAGGUUUCUGUGGAGAAAAAAGAAGUCAUGUCUGUGCAAGAACAUUGGUCCUCGGGAUGAUAUGAUUAGCCUUUAAUAAUGUACAUAAUGCAGGAACUUCGUUUCAUUUUGUAAUUUGUCUAUAGGAAAUGUGUCUGGCAAAUUCCUAGAUUUUACAGCCAAGAAAUGCAGCUAAACAUGGUCUCUCGGCUCAUGGAGCUUGGGUAUAAAGAAAUGACUAGGAUCUUCUGCAACUUUUAGAAUGCCUACUAUCUGAAAAAAAAAAUUGGCCAGAGAUGACGAGUUUGGUAUGCAUUCCUGAACACUGGUUUCUCUUGUCUGGUGGUCCAAAACCAUAUGGCGUUCCUUCAUCUAGGCCAAAUCUAUUAUAUUCACUUUCUGAAGAUAAUAUCCAGUGAAGCCAAGCCGAAGUCUAGAAAACAAGUCCACAUUGCAAACUGAAGAAUUUAGCAUAUGGAACUCCAUGCUCUAGUCUUUCAUCCUUCUUCAAGCUGAAGUCCUUGAUUUUGAUCACAAAACAAGUCCCAGACUGCAAGUUGAAGAAUAUAUAGCAUAUUGAUCGAGCUCCAUGCUCCAGCUUUUUAUCCUUAUAUUUUCUUUUGAACUAUGGCGUGUUUGAACUCAGUGUCCGCUCCAGCGUAAGCAAAACACAUACACAGCUAGCACUUUCAUUUCAUGACGUGUUUGUCUACAUUACUGCAGAAGUACUUGCCAUAGAAUAGGUCAACAAUCCAACAUACUACUACUCAUGUUGUUGUUCGACAAGCUGUCUAAGCUGCUGCUUGAAUACGAACUGAAAGUGCUGAACUUUGUCCAUGUUAUGUUGGUAGUAUAUCUAAUACUGAACGGUGUGCAGGGUGAUCCUGCAAGGCUUUUAGAUAGCACGGUCUUGUGCAGAGGUAUUGUCGAGCUCUGUUUCUUCAAAGUUACGUCUGCUCUGUUUCUUCAAAGUUACGUCUUGCAAUUGCAGUAACAUUUCUGCUGGUAAUUCUGUAAUCUCUACUAUAAAAAAAGCAAAGAGGACACAAAAAUGCGGUCCGUCGUUUGGCCGCCGGGCGAUGUCCCUCGCUCCAUUUUGGGCCGUCCGCUUGCAGCAGCCUCCGCGUGCAGCCGUUGACCUGGAGAUUCCGUGAGUUGCGGCCCACACGUUUCCUCCUCUGUCCGUUUCCCUCCUCGCGGAUCCCUUCCUCCUGCAGUCCUGCCCAUGCGUCGCCAUCCGCCGUCGACGCAACUCCCUCAGUCGCGUCGCCUGCCGCCGCCACUCCCUCCGUCGCCGCAACUUCUCCCUCCCUGCAUCGUUAGGCCUGCGUCGCCAUCCGCCGCCGCCCCUCCCUUUCCUCACCUCCGCGCCGCCAGAAACCCCCGCCCCUGCCUGCGUCGCCAUCUGCCACCGCCCCUCCCUUUCCUCGCCUCCGCGCCGCCAGAAGCCACCGCCCCUCCCUUUCCUCGCCUCCGCGCCGCUAGAAGUCACCGCCCCAUCCUGAGUCGCCUCAUCGCCGCAAGCGACUCCGCCCCUCCCUGAGUCGACGGAACACCGACAGUCGAGGCUACGCUGCACGCCAACUAGAUUUCUCAGUUCGUUGGGUUUGAUCACGGUACCUCUCAGUUUCUUAGUUUGUCAUGCAUCUGAACUUUGUGUGACGUUCAUGUUCUUGUCAUUUGAUUUGUUUGGUCGGUGUUCAUGUUCUUAGAAUCUGGUGCUACGUGACAUUAUAGGCGGUGUUGUGUUUUCUGAAUUGUCGGCGACUUGAAAAUUUGAGAUUCAGAUCGUGAUUUGUUUAGGUGGACAAUUAAAAUUUGAUGAUAUGUCCUUCCCGAGAGAGAAACGUAUUACCUGUGGUAAUUGAGGAUGGUAGAGAUAAUUUACUCUGCAUGUAAACUGAGGACUGAGAUUCAAGAGUAAUCAUAGAACACGUAGACCACAUUGACUGGAAAAUUAGUCCUCUCCAAUUUUUGCUGAUCUGUCCCUGAUAGUACAUAAUUAUUUUGCCACUUUUUGUGCAAGCUUAUCGAUGUACGAAUUAAUAAUGGAAAGUAAGGAUUGCGAUAGUAGGGAUUGGGACAUUUGUUAUGCUUAUCGAUGCUUAUGGCAAUGCUUCAUAAAAGUAGUAUACACCGCCGUGCACUUCGAAUUCAUGAUGGACAGUAGGGAUUGUGAUAUGUGAUAUGCUUAAGGCAAUGCUUCAUAAAAAGAGUAUGCACCUCCGAGCACUUCAAGUGUACUCUGAUGCACACACAAGCACACAGUUCUAGAUGGUUAAGCCGGUCUGUGAUUAGCAAGAUUUUCAUGAGAAUGGUAUCAGUUAUCAGACAUUCUGUGAUAUCUUGAAUGGAAAAAUAAAAUCAAAAAGGAAAGCACGAUAAAUAGAUAAUUUUUCUUGAAUUCUCCCAUAUUCAGAAAAUUGACUGACCGAGUGUGGAUAAAUCCUUUUUUUUGUUACUUGGACCUCAGUUGGCCUUUAUAUUACUCUGAAUAUGUAAGAUCUCAAUAAACAGUAAAUUUGAGGAGGAUUUGCUAUCAUCUUUUGAAUCGUUCAUCCCGGUGGCAGAUUUCUUGAUUGCCUUAAUUGGGGCUGCCCCAGUUAAUGAGAACUAAAUAGCUCUCAUGAUGAAAACAAGUGUUAUUCAUAACAGCUACUUGUAGUGAUGGUGUCUGGCAGAGUACCUUGCUUAUCCAGUGCUUUCCUGUGACAUUCCAUUUUGCUUUUCUCUUGAAGGGUGUUUAUGUUCGUCGGGUUGUGCCUACUGCUCCAGCAAGCAGUGUUUUGUGAAAGGUAACAUGUAGUAAUUAGAUCCAGUUCACAUAUUGAAUACCUUUGGUUGUCCUCCAAUUUUUGCUGAUCUAUCCCACAUAAUUUUUCUUCUUUUUUCCACACAAUUUUUCUUCUUCUUGCCACAUAAUUUUUGCGGCUACCAUGUUUGACAAUAAAAAUUGGUAUACAGUCAUCUACAAAAAUCAUCCCCUGGAUACAAAUAGUACAUCCCCCUGGUACAAAUAGUACAUCCCCCUGGUUAGCAAUUUUGCAGAUGUAGAAGUACAGUUCCAUUACCGGUUAACCACUAUCUACGUUCUUAUUUUCACUAGGAGUUACAUUAAAAUAAUUCAUUCAUAUGUUCUGUAUAAAGGAAUAGACAAAAAUGGCACCACUUUGUUUUACCUAUGUACAAAUAACUGUCUGAUUGGAUAUUACAACAACAAACAAGAAGAGGCGCUUCAUGAUCAUUUGAUUUAGAACUACAACCUAAAAAAUAAAUGGUCUGUCCAGUUAUUAAUAUUCUGGUUUCAUACUGCAACAUAGAAAAGUGAUUAAAACAAGCCCAAGUAAUCUGUCCUGCUGCACUUUCUUAUCUAUAAUCCUGAUGCCAAUUUGUUUCAUGUGCCUGGAAGUGAUGGGAGAAGGUGCAGGAGAAGGAUUUAGAAGUUCUUAAUUUGCAGGUGCAAUUUUUUUAUGUGACGCAUCUAUGUGACGCUUGACUUAUCUUAUUUCCAAAAUCAAACACUUCAUACUCGUGCUAAUGAUUAGAACCUGAUGAUUGGGAAGCUGAUGAGGAUGUCGAUCUCGAGACGGCUAAUGAAGAUUCCAACGAACCCGAUGUACCGGAUCCAAACGAUGCGGUUUAUGCUAAUGUCCCUGACGAGACGCACAUGCUCAAGCUAGAGGAUAACUGCAAGCACUGCAAUGCAAAGAAGUUUGAGUCCGAGCCACCUGAAUUCUGUUGUCAUAGACACCACCGGAACUCGUGAGACUGUGGUUGAGCUCGGACGCUGAUGCUAGGCAUUUCCGUGCAAACAUCAGAUAUUUCAAUGAACACUUCUCUUUCACUUCUCUAUACUGUAAACUUGAUCGUGUGACCACCGACAUGACAAACUGUGGAAUUUACACAUUUCAUGCCCAUGACCAAAUCUACCAUAACAUAUGAUCAUUUGGUAAAGAGGAUGGUCACGAACCUGGACACCUCGAGCUUUAUUUUUACGACGACGAUCUGUCUCUUCAGCAUAGGCUCCGCAAGUGCCGUGAGAAGUCUGCCCAAGAAGAUAGGAGGUCAUCUAGAGGCUAAAGGACAUCUUACAUGGCAUUAAUCCCUGCUUAGAGAAUCUUAGGAGUAUAGGCCAGGUUGACAACCUUGAGGAUUACUAUGUCGAGUUGAACCUUGACCAACGGCUAGACCAGAGAACAUAUAAUGUGCCAUUAACGUCGUUGCUGCCGUUUGGAUUGAGGGGAGCGAGCCUCGGGGCCAGUUCGAUAAUAGUGUUGUCCUCCAAGGGAAGGAUAGGUCGAUCCAUGGUAUUCGGCCCUAUCGUGUGUGCUACGAUGCUCUCUCAUACCCGCUAUUCUUUCCAAGAGGUGAGCUCGGGUGGCACAAUUGCAUUCCAAAAGUUGGUGUGACUGAGGUUGAAGUAAAUAAAGCUCGAGCGAUCCGCAAGGCGCGUGCUGAUGGUGGUGGCGACAAUGAUGCUGGUAAAUUCAUAUGUCUUUAUAGUGUCUUACAAACAUUAGACAAAUUUUCCGCAUGUCGUCAAUCACGGCCGCCUUUUUUUGGUUCGUCGUUUGGCUUCGUUUGUCUGCCUCGCCGCUCAGUUUUUCUCAAGAACAGUCCGUCUCCCCGCCCACGUUCGCCGACAGACGCACCUCACCUCCUCCGUGCUGCACCCGGCCGCACCUCCUCCAUCCGCCCUCCGCCACUUAGCCAAGCCGUGCCUCACCUCCUCUGUCCUCCGAGCGCGGAACCACGCCCGCGCUUUCCCCGCCCGGCCGCACCUCCUACCUGCUACGCUCGGCCGCAGCUCCUCUGUCCGCCGCCAAGACGGGCCACCUCCGUCCGCUGGGCGUCCAACACCGGCGCGCCACUGCCCAGCUGCCCCUCCACACCCCUCCACACCGGCGCCAUCCCCGGCUGCUCCUCCAUGAAGGGAUCUCCAAAUUAGUCCCAUAUGCAGCGGAGGUGAGAAGAUGGAGGCACGAGAGGUGGGGCCUAUCUCGAGCCCGGUGUCAUCUGCCUUCAUGAAGGGAUCUCCAGGUUAGUCCCUUAUGCAUGCAAACAAAUCUAAUCAGCAGCCUCUCCUUUGCACCAACGAACAGAUCCAAUUGUUCUUGAAAAUCAGGUCCAAGUUCACAUCUCUUUUGCCCUCCCACUCAAAGCACAAUCAGCCAGCGCGACAGGGAUGGCGACACAGACACCGACGGCUGGAGCUCCCUCAAUGCUGCCAGGUAAUUGACUAGCCAAUUACUAUUUGGAUGUGAUGCACAUUGGUCACGGAUUUGUAAAUCUAUCAGUUCCUGCUUCCUGCAUCCAUUUGUGCAGUUCUUGUGGUGGAUGCAGUGCACUGAGUAUAGAAAUUAUUUUUGAUUACUUCUGUGAAACGUUUUGGCCUUGGCAAGUAUGUACAGAUUUAGUUGUUGUUUUUUCAGUCAGAGGUGAGCUACGUGUAUGGGAAAGAAAAACUUGAUUGCUUGUUCUAGAUCUUGCCUUCAUAUAAACUGUGAUGCUAUCAACAUGGAGAUUUGAUGCAUUCUACUCUCUCUCUAUUUAACAUGGAAAAGAACUCGUGUUUACUCAAUAAUGCUUAUGAAUUUUCCUUAGAGUUGCAUUUAUUCAUCAUUCUAAAGUAUUCCGUGUCAAGUAAACUCAUACUUCUAAUUUUUCAAAAAAAAAAUCUGAAAUCAAUGAACCCCUCCUUCCUUGUGAAAUUGUUGUACCUUUUUUCUUAUGACAUCUUAUCUACUUCCACUUUCCUGGUGCAGAAUUUUUGAAAGUAGGAAACGUAAGCAAUGACAGUGACAGUCGCAGCAAUACUGAGCUCAAUAGGUGAACUAGACAAACCAUUCUGCUGUAGUUCAUUUUAUCACUGCAGUCAUCGUCAGACAAUGAGGUCAGAACCAGCAGGUUCGCAGAGUGACUUGUGACUUGUGGAUAAUCCUGCAGAUUCAACAAUGGUAAAGUAACGAAUGGUUAAGGUAUAAGUAGAUUUACUCAAUUAUACUCCAAUAGCUAAUGCAUUGCAUAUAUUGCUUGGCCGUGUAUAUAAAUAUUACAUCACUGUUCAACAUAAGUAAAUAGCUUAGUCCUUCUUAAGUCCAUUUUGGUAAAAGCUAUAGUUCAAUUAGUUUUCUUGAUUUUCUUAAAAUUUUACUCAAAGUUUGUGCCUUAUGUUGUACAUUUGCCUCACGGGCUGGCUAACUGACCUACAUGAGGCUGGCCAACUGAUCUGGAGGUUCACUAUCUAUGUUCUUUCAUUUCAUUGUCAAACAUAGAUAUUCUAAAUCUGAAAGUCUGUCGAAAUUUCCUAUGGAGUCUUGUGGUACCUUUAGUGUUUCUUAUCAUGUCCAGUAGAAGGUCUUGGAAAACAUAUUUGCAAUACAUGAUAUUUUUUAAAUCAAAAGUAGUAAUAUGCUGUGUAAUUGCCUUCUUGCCUCCUGACAUGUGGCAAAUUCAUUGAGCGUUUUCACUUACAUCGCUGGCAUAUUCAGUGAACAACGCAAAGAUGAUGGUUUUGAGUGAGAGGUCCUUUGGUCAAGGUAAUUUCAGAGCAUUGAUUUUCAAUGUACUUGUAAACCCAAGAGAAAGUUGAGCAGGCCACAUUCAGUUGUUAACUGGACUGUUGGCUUGCUGCUAUGGCAACAUGUUUUCAGCCUUAUUAUUACUUGCCGAGUUUACAUUGGGAUCUGAAAACUGGACUGUGUGCCAUUAGUUUUGUCUGUCUCCAGGACAUUGCCCAUGCACAUGAACUGACUGAUUACCAUGAAAAUUCACCUGUUUCAGUUCCAAACUAAUUAUUGCUUCAAGGUCACAAAGCUAUAUGAAAAUCUGUAUCCAAUUGAAUGCCGGAACUCUCUAGGAUGAUGUCAGGCAUUCCCAUUUAUAGGUUAACCUGAAGUGAUUCUUGAAGAUUAGUUUCUGCGUGGUUGAUUUGAAUUGUUUGUAAUAUUGUAUGCUUCAUCUUGAUUACUAUCAAUUUCACAGGUCAUGUUCAUUGUGAGGAAUGGAGCGCAAUAAUGCUUUGUGGUAACUCUGGGCAGACGAAAAUAGGCCACCUCUACCAUUUUCUUGAUAUUUAUUUUCUGAUAUCUGACUAUUGUAUUUGUCGUGAAAUUUAAAUUGUAGACGCUAUCAGAUCAUGUGUCACUUCAUGCUUUGAUCAUGUGAAAAAAUUCAGUGUAUUUACCCAUGAUCGGUGCCUUGCCCCGAGGGGUCUUUAAUUCCUGGAGGGGUCUUUAAUUCCUGAAUUAGGCAACGGUGAAUUUUCUUCUUAAUAUAUAGAUGCGCAGCUCUCCCGCAUGUUCGAGAAAAAUGAGGCAACAGUGACACAGCGCUGGUAGAAAGUAGAAAGUGAAGAAGCGGUUUGAGCAUAUUGCUACUGACAGCUACCUCCGCAAGAUUUGGCCGGUACUGCAAGCUCUGAGUUUCACAACUCUGAACCACUUGGUAAAAAACAGUCUGAAUUUUGUGUUGUGAUUAACUGACUAGACAUCCGAAUAAAUUAAUGUACUGAUAUUCUGAAAUUUGUUUUAGCACUGGGACUCUCUGGACUAUCCGGUGGAAUCAGGCCUUGGCAGGACUGAGGCAGAUGUGGGGGGUGACACCGUGCAGGUGAGGUGGUGGUGGUAUCUGGCUCUGGCAUCUCCCUUUAUCCGCUUGAUGGAAUGGCAGCAUGGGUAUGGAGACACCUUCAGCAUCUAAACAAAGCCCAAAAGGUACAAAGAUACUAUUUAAUCACUUUUGAUUUGUUAAUUUGCUAUCAUAUAAAUUGCAGUAACAGGUCUUGAGUAAUAUGUCAAUGCUAUAAUUUUGCUUGCUUGUUGUGUGUCCUCUCUAAAAUCUUUUCUUUACCAUAUAUAUCCAUAUGCACAAGAUAUUUGCAGUUACAAGUAUAAUCCUCAAGGAGUGAAAAGCUUGUGAUUCUGUCCGUGCAGGCAACAGGCAUUGAUCGCUAAUCAGCAUGGCCUCCACAAGUACCCAUCAUGGGAAGUGCAGCAACCAGUAUUGUGUUCAAACCUGAAGAAAAUAUAUGGGGAUGGCUGGGUGGCUGCACAGCUCAUGGCAGGGACCAAUUUGGAGUCUGCAUCUUCUUUCCCAUAUAUAUAUGAUAUUUCCAUAUACUGUCAGGAUGCUAUUAAACUGCCUUCACCAGAUUACAAUAAACUGUGAACUUCAGAACUUUAAUUUUCGAUAAGUUGGAGUCGACGCUUAAAACUUCAGAGCUUUAUUUACUCCUAUGUACCAACAGCUCUAAAUUUUUGUGCACUGCACCCUUAGUUUUUUAGUGAACAAUACUGAUUGCUGAGGUUAUAAUGCAUCUUUCUAUGUGGGACUAUAGUUUUGUCAAGUAAGGCUAUGUACACAUUGAUAAAUCUGCUUCAGAAUAAUAUUGCUAAUAUCUCACUAUCUGAAGAAAGUCAGGUUUAUCAGUUAUUUAUAGAAGACUUGCUUGUUAGAAAGGACCUAAAUAGGUUUUCUUUGUCUAUGUGAAUUUUCGGGGAAUUCUGCUUAUCUUCCACGGAUAGAUGCUACUUCUCCUGUAAUAUUGAAUUGGGUCAUGUGUGUGUCAGCUCUUUGCUUGCCAAAGGAGCUUGUGACUUGCAACUACUACUACUUAUUCAAUGAUCUCUAAUAAUUGAAUCAUUUUGUUCAGAUUCUAAUUAUCAGGUCUUUUCCUCAUCUCUUUAUGUUUUGAGGUGUUGGAUGAGAAAGGGUUAAUGGUGGUUGCUACCAUUCUACAAGAAAUUAGAGAUUGUCAUUAUGAGUGCUGUAGUUGAAGUGGGGUUAAUGUUAAACCAUGAUGGUACCAAGGAGACUUCAUCCAUUUGAAUAUUCUACACUCAAGAAACAGAAAGGUGACAGUUGUCAAAUACAUAUUAUGAACUAGCUGAAAUUAAAAUAUUCUUGUAUUCCUUAGAUUAUUUGUGUCAUGCAAACUCCACUUUAGAAAAUUCCAUUCUAAAUUGCUGUGUGAGAUUAUGUACCAUUCUAAUAUGAUCUCAUGGGGGAAUUAUUUAGCCCAUAGCAACGCACGGGCACGAUCCUAGUGGAAUUGAAAAGAAUAGAGAUCGCGUAUGACAAGAGUACUCUAGGUAAUAUUUCUUCAAAUACCGAUUCAGCUCCCUCAUUUUCACUUCAAUAUUUUCACCAAUGGUAUAGAAAUAGAACUUGAUGAAUUCCACGUCUCAUCGAGCAAAACAUCUCGAAUUGCUAGCAACAUCUUCAAGAAAAGGUGGGCUGUAGGAUGCCUGUUUGCGGAGAAUGCUUUGGUUGCCUCACUUAAAGCAUCACGAAUGUCCUUUACUGCUUUGUUAUUCACACUAGCAUUGUCUAAUGUCAAGGUAAACAGCUGUUCAAUCAACUCCCACUUCAUCAACCACAACUUCUUGUCCUAGAUCCAUAUCACCUAGAUGACACAACUUCUUAGCCUUCGGCCUAGUAUCUUCCAAGUGAACAAAAGAGCCUGGAAUGUGAAUAAGAUCAACAAAUUUGAAUAAAAUACCAACUUGUUUUGGUUUUACUGACUGCUUGUAUUUUUAGUACUACAAUGAGUAGGUUUGAAGAAAAUAUGAUUCUGUAUAUGAUGCAGUUGUUUUGGCUCACAGCUAACUGUAUUUUGUUCCCAUGAUAAAAAAAUUCUGAUCAGAAAUCUUGUUUUUUCACUUCAGAUUAGAAGUAAUGUAAGAUGUCAGAUUAAUGGACGAUGAGGAGCAUAAGUUUUAGGCUUCGAGGACACAGUGCCCCUCCAAUUGCAUACUGAUACUGCUAAAACGAAAGGGGACUGAGGUGACUGGGAUAUCAUCAGUAUCAGAUAUACUAGCAGCUAUGUUCAUGAGCUUCUAUGUGGUGAAACAAGCUGGAGAUGACUAAGGUAUAGGAGCUUUUUUUCACAGAACAGUAGGACCAUUUUCACGAGAUUCAACUGCCUGAUCUUAACUGAAUGGUAAACAUAAGCAAUACCAGUAUGCAACCAACAAAAGAUCUUGCACUCCCAUCUUACAUUCUCUAAAACAGUAACAAUUCUAAGUUCACAGAUCUAGUGGUACUAAAAAGCUCAAUGAACGAAUUUAAUUUGCCAAUGCCAUCCUCCUGCUCUACAAAACCCAAAAACUCAAGCAGAUUGAAGCUGCAAAGGAGAGUUUAAAAAUAGCCAACACUAGCAGAAUACUGCACGAACUAGGCACAGCGCAGUAUAAACAAAAAGACAAAUAGGAAAGGCAAACACAUCAGAUGAAAAUCACCUGCACGCCGACGCCACCUGCGUCCGCUGCUGAGGCCGCCUGCUCUUGCUGGCCGCCGCGCGUCGGCCUAGCCGCACGCCCUGCCGGAGCCCGCCGGGGGCCGGCCCCACGGGAGCGCCUCGCACCCCCGCACCGCCCGGAUCUUGAGUUCUUGCGCCGCCGCCGCCGCCGCACGAGCCUGGAGAGGCCGCGAAAAAGAGGAGAGCCCCUUUCCUGCGAUCCACGGGCUCAGCCCUUCCAAUUGACUCAAGGAUCGAUUAUGGGCCACGUUCACAGGUCAGCCCUUUUAUGGAGAUGGCCCGAUCUGAUCCUGCCCAUUCUUCGGGAAGGCCUUUUAAGGCUCGGCCUAUAUGAGCUUGUAAGGCCCGAUCGGUUUGGCCCUUGGAUUUUCCAGGCUUAAGUAUAGGUAUAAGGUUUUCUACGUAUCUAAAAUAUUUUCCACUAGAAAAGGUUUUCUACGUAUGUAAAAUAUUUCCACUUGACUACCCGAUAAGGCAAUCAUUCGUGUGGCACAUGCCCGGGGCCUACUCGGAAAGUGAGUGCGCAUCCUCUCACAUGAUUGGACACAUCCACUUGACUCCUCAAAGGUCGUCAAUGCUUGCAGCUUGCAUUUUCCACAGAAGCAGCAGCUCUUGAACCCACUGUCCAGCAUCUCCCUCUCCACCCACCAACACUGUGUUUCCCUGUCUACUGCGCGUGUGUUUUGGAGCUCCCGGCGUAGCCAUGGCUGAGGUACUGGCCACCAUGGUGGUCGGGCCACUGGUGUCCAUGGUGAAGGAGAAGGCCUCCAGCUACCUCCUGGACCAGUACCAGGUGAUGGAGGGCAUGGAGGAGCAGCACAAGCUCCUGAAGCGCAAGCUGCCGGCCAUCCUCGAUGUCAUCGCCGAUGCCGAGCAGCAGGCGGCGAAACACAGAGAAGGGGCCAAAGCUUGGCUGGAGGAGGUCCGGACGGUGGCCUACAAGGCGAAUGAUGUCCUCGACGAGUUCAAGUACGAGGCGCUUCGCCGCAAAGCCAAGGUGGAGGGCCACUACAAGGCGCUCGGCAUGGAUGUAAUAAAGCUCUUCCCUUCUCACAACCGUGUUGUGUUCCGUUAUAAGAUGGCAAAAAGGCUCUGCAUGAUCUUGCAAGAAAUUGAUGUCCUCAUCGCAGAGAUGAAUGCGUUCAGGUUCAAAUUCAAACCGCAGCCGCAAAUGCCCAUGCAAUGGAGGCAGACGGAUGCUUGCAUCCCCACUGAGUCUGUGGAGAUUGCCAGCAAAUCAAGAGCUCAAGAGACGAAGGUUCUUGUUGAUCGAUUGCUUGCUGGAGCCAGCAGUAAGGAUCUCAUGGUCCUUCCGAUAGUCGGAAUGGGGGGGUUGGGCAAGACCACCUUAGCACAGCUCGUUUACAAUGACCCUGAAAUUCAGAAGCAUUUCGAGUUGCGGCUCUGGGUGUGUGUCUCUGAGGAUUUUGAUGUGGAUUCCCUGGCUAACAGAAUAGUGAAAGAGAAUGGUUGUAAAGCAAGUGAAAGUUCAUCAGCACUGGACAAUCUUCAAAAGGCAGUGAGUGGGAAGAGGUACCUCCUCGUAUUGGAUGAUGUGUGGAACCGUGAUGAGCCCAGCAAGUGGGAAAGGCUCAAGUCCUACCUUCAGCAUGGUGGCAGCGGUAGCUCAGUGCUGACAACAACUCGCGAUGAAGCUGUUGCUAAACUAAUGAUGGGUACAACUGAAAGAGCCUAUAAACUUGGAAGCUUGGAUGAAGAGUCCAUAGGGAAAAUUAUCAAGGCAAGAGCAUUCGGUUCAAAACAAGAAAAGGAAUGGCCUGGUGAGCUAGUUCACAUGGUUGGUGAAGUUGCCAAGAGAUGUGCUGGUUCUCCUUUAGCUGCUACAGCAUUGGGCUCUUUACUGAGUACCAAGACCAGCAAGCAAGAAUGGAAGGAUGUACUAAAUGGAAGCACGAUUUGUGAUGAGGAAAAUGGGAUUUUACCAGUACUUAAACUAAGUUACAAUUGCUUGCCAUCAUACAUGCGGCAAUGCUUUGCUUUCUGUGCUAUGUUUCCCAAGGAUUAUGAGAUUGACGUGCAAAUGCUAAUCCACUUGUGGAUGACCAAUGGUUUUAUCCCAGAGCAAUCAAAAGUGUGUCCUGAAACUUUUGGAAAAGGAAUUUUCAUUGAGCUGAAGUCAAGGUCAUUUUUUCAGGAUUUGAAGAAUGUCCCAUUUUACGAAAAUGGAUAUUCUAUUCAUGGAGAGGGUGAUGAGCACAGGUAUUGUUCUAGAAUUACUUGUAAGAUCCAUGACCUUAUGCAUGAUGUUGCACAGUCUGCUAUGGGAGAAGAAUGUGCUGCAAUAGCUACACACCCAAGUGAAAGAGAGGAUGUUCUUCGUUCAGCUCGUCACUUGUAUUUGUCAAUCCGUCGAUCAGAAACUCUUCUGAGUGCUUCCCAAGAGAAAGGAUCUCCAGCUUUCCAAACACUGAUUUGUGACGGAUAUGUAGGAGAUUUGAAGAUUUUAUCAAAAUACAAUUCUAUAAGAGCUUUAAAGAUCCGUUGUGGUUCAAUCCUAAGGCCGAAAUAUCUUCAUCACCUGAGGUAUCUUGAUCUCUCGAGAAGUGAUAUUGAAGCACUUCCUGAAGACAUUAGCAUCCUAUAUCAUCUGCAAACACUGAACCUUUCUUACUGUGACUGGCUUGAACGGCUUCCAAAGCAACUGAAGUAUUUGACUGGCCUCCGUCACCUCUACACUCACGGAUGUGAAAAGUUGAAAAGCAUGCCUGCAGAGCUCGGACGCCUGACUUCCCUACAGGCGCUUACAUACUUUGUAGCAGGUACCGAUGACUCCGGUUGCAGUAAUUUGGGAGAGCUGCAGAAUUUGGACCUUGGUGGUACACUGGAGCUAGGAAAUCUAAAAAAUGUGACAGGAGCAGAUGCACAAGCAGCAGGUCUUGGAAACAAGAAAAAACUGACCCAACUGGAGUUAUGUUGGACUGAUAGUGACCAGGAAGCACAGAAUAAUAAUCAUAAAGAGGUGGUGGAAGGUCUCAAACCUCAUGAUGGGUUAAAGGCUCUGAGGAUAAAUCACUACGGGAGCACAACUUUUCCAACGUGGAUGAAUACUUUGAAAGGCAUGGUGGAGCUCACAUUAUUCCGUUGCAAAAAGCUCGAAGAGCUUCCUGCACUCUGGGAGCUAUCAGCUCUGCAAAUUCUUCACCUGAAGGGUUUGGAGAGUUUACAUUGUUUGUGCAGCGGUGGUACUACACCCAUCACAUUUCCAAAACUGAAUGUACUUAUCUUGUUAGAAAUGGCAAAAUUUGAGGCAUGGCGGGAGGCACAUGAGGUACAAGGAGAAGAGCCGAUAUUUCCCAAGGUUGAGGAGCUGGUGAUUAAGGAGUGUACAAGUUUGACUGCAUUACCAAAAGCAGCGUCGGUGAUUACAGAAUUGUCUGGCAGAGUUGACACUAAGUGCCGCUCUGCAUUUCCAGCAUUGAGGAAAAUGAAGCUAUAUAAGUUGACUGUGUUUGAAAGAUGGGAGGCAGGCGAAGGAAUUUCAGGCGAAGAGGUAACCUUUCCUCAGCUUGAGGAGCUGUCAAUCGAGUAUUGUGGCAGCCUGAGUGCACUACCAAAAGGGCCAUUUGGCGGAGCUGAAACUGUGUGUUGCUGCUCCGCAUUUCCAGCACUGAGGAAACUAGAGUUAUCUGGUUUGUUGGCCCUUGAGAGGUGGGGGGCAGCCGAAGGAACUCCAGGAGAAGAGGUAACAUUUCCUCUGCUGGAGAACUUGAGUAUCCAUGAUUGCCCGAGGUUGACUGAUCUACCUGAAGCACCGAAGCUAAGUGAAUUAUCCAUAAGUAAAGGACAUGGUCAACAACAAAUAUCCCUAGAGGCAGCUAGCAGAUGCAUCCCUUCAUUGUCCCGUCUGACUCUGACCGUGUCACCCGAUGACACAGAAACAACAUUGCUGCAUGUCAAGAAUAAAUUGAAUGGUACACUCGCCUUGGCAGCUAUGCGGUUAGGUCGGUGCGACAUUUUUUUCUCCUCCAGCUCAAGCGCACUGGCGCUAUGGACAUGUUUUGCACAGUUAGUAGAUUUGGAUAUUUGGGAUUGCGAUGCUCUUGUCUACUGGCCAGAAAACGUGUUCCAGGUCCUGGUAUGCCUGAGGAAGUUAGCGAUUUCCAGAUGCAGCAAACUGACAGGACGCACACAAGCUUCUGAUGAGCAAUCUGCUCCAGCUCCAGAACGUGGUGGACUCCUGCCAUGCCUGGAGUCUCUAGGGAUAGUAGAUUGUGAAUCUUUGGUAGAGGUCCCCAUCCCGGCAUCUCUCAAGAAAUUACGUAUUUGGGGCUGCAGUAGUAAUGUCGGGUCCAUCGUAUUUGGUCACCCGGAGGAUACGAGAUUGGUGAGUGGAGAAGGUGUUGUACGGCCGAAUACGUCAUCAUUAAUUCCAGGGUCCAGCAGCAGUGAGGCCACAGCGUCUACAGCUGUACUGAAGCUGUCAUCUGCAGCCAACCAUCGCUUCCUUCCAUUUCAAUGCCUAGAAUUUCUAGGUAUAGCGUGUUGCAGUGGCUUGUCAGAGGUUGCCAAUCUUCCUCCGUCUAUCAAGACCUUGCGCAUUUGUGGCUGCGGCAAGUUUCAAUCCCUAUCAGGAGACCUCCGGUUGCUGGAAGAACUCAAGCUUUAUCAUUGCGAAAGACUGGUAUCCUUACCGGAUGGGCCUCAAGCAUACUCAUCUCUUAGAGUUCUUCGGAUUGAAAAUUGUGAUGGUAUAAAGUUGCUUCCGCCAAGCCUACAGAGCCGUUUGGGCUACCUCGAGGAGAAAGAUCUAGAUGCCCGUUACGAAGGUAAUCUCCAGUUUCUUUGUUUCUUUUAACAAAAUGAUCAAGAGCUCAAUUGUUGUUACCUAAAAUGCAACUCUGUGCUUAAACAUUCUGUUAGCUAUUACAAGAUGUGGUAGGAUUUAGUGGUAAGAAGUUUAUGAGUAUUACUCUGUGUUAAACAUUCUGUUAGCUAUCUAGCCAAGCCGUUCAUGAUGUAUACAUUAUAUUGACUAUUGAGUACAAUGCACCACUAAUAUUUAUGUGCAUGUGUGUCAUCGAAAUACAUUAACUUCGUGUAUUAUUGCCAUUCGGGGUAUCUAAACACGUACAACCAGAUCAAGAACCGCAGUCAUCCUUGUAUUUAUAGCUAUAAGAUGAUCUUUGUUGUUCACUUUUGAUACCUUGGUUGUAAACUUGUAAUUGCUAACUCGAAUCAUGUAAUAAAAUCAAUCAUCUUCCUUUAGUUGUAUUUAAAGCAGCAUGGCAUCAUGGAAUUAUUGCAGCCGAAUUCACUAGCUCCAAUUAAAGUGGCACUUGUCCUAGCGUUUCUCUGCAAAUUCACUAGCUCCAUUGCAUACAGUUCAAGUAUGUGUAGUUUUCUUUUCAUGGCUUAUGCCUUUUGACAUAAAUAAUAAUUUUCCUUUCCUUUGAAACAUUUACUAUUGGGUACCACAGCAUAUUCUCCUGUGUAUAUAUAUACUUUCUAACUUUGUGUUGAUUUGCAUGCAUAAAUUCUAACAUCAUCUGUGAUCAUGGCUAUAAGAUGAUCUUUGUUGUUCACUUUUGAUACCUUGGUUGUAAACUUGUAAUUGCUAACUCGAAUCAUGUAAUAAAAUCAAUCAUCUUCCUUUAGUUGUAUUUAAAGCAGCAUGGCAUCAUGGAAUUAUUGCAGCCGAAUUCACUAGCUUCAAUUAAAGUGGCACUUGUCCUAGCGUUCCUCUGGAAAUUCAUGAUCACUAGCUCCGUUGUAUGCAGUUCAAGUAUGUGUAGUUUUCUUUUCAUGGCUUAUGCCUUUUGACAUAAAUAAUAAUUUUCCUUUGAAACAUUUACUAUUGGGUGCCACAGCAUAUUCUCCUGUGUAUAUAUAUACUUUCUAACUUUGUGUUGAUUUGCAUGCAUAAAUUCUAACAUCAUGGCCUGAUUGCCAGAAUUGCCAGAACCAACCUGGAAACGUUCAAUCAGGAAGCUGGUGUGCUCGAAAUAGUAGAUCAAGGCCUGACCAAAGAAAAUUAUCUCCAAGGUAUUUUUGCAAAGAUAUCACCAAGGUUUGUAAUAUUAGUGUUCUUGAUGAUUGAUUGGAAAUGAUGCUAGCUCCUAAUGCUGACUUCCUAUGCGCUGUGACUUCCUUGUAGGAUGGUGCCAGACCUGCAAAAGAUGGAUUAUUGUGACUCUUGUUUAGAAUGUAUCAUAUGGGCAUUCUGAAGAUAUUCUCCAGUAAAGUCAAGGCAAAGUUCUAGAUUUUGAGCAGAAAACAAGUCCUAGAUUGCAAGCUGAAGAAUUUAGCACACAGAGCUGCGUGCUCCAGUCUUUUAUCCUUCUUCAAACCGAAGACCUUUAUUUUGAGCAGAAACGAAGUCCCAGACUGCAAGCAGAAGAAUUUAGCAUACAGAGCUGCGGGCUCCAGUCUUUUAUCCUUUUUUUUUUCUUUUGAGCCAUGACUUGUUUGCAUUCGUGUCUGCUUCAGCCUCCAGCACAAGCGAAACACAGGCAGCACUUUCAUUUUAUGAUUUGUCUAUCCACAUACAUGACCGACUGCCAUAGAGUAGACCAACAGUCCAACGUACUCAUGUUGUUGCUCGACAAGCUGUCCAAGCUGCUGCUUGAUAUGAACUGAAAGUGCUGAACUUUGUCCAUGUUAUGUUGGUAGUAUAUCUAAUACUGAACUUCAGAGUAGAACAACAGUCCAACGUGCUCAUGUUGUUGCUCGACAAGCAGUCCAAGCUGCUGCUUGAUAUGAACUGAAAGUGCUGAAUUUUCUCCCGUGUAUGUUCUGUGUUACUGUGUAUCAAAUACUGAAUGGUGUGCAGGGUGAUCCUGCAUCCUGGAAUGGCACGGUCUUGUGCAGAGGUCUCAUUGUUGUUGACCUGUUUCUUCAAAACUGCAUGUGCAGCAACAUUUUCUCCUGGCAGUGCUGCAAUGGAAUUGAAAAGAAUGGUGAUUGUUAUAGUAUAAUUGUCAUAUAUAGGCUGGGACACAAAACAAUGGAUGUACAUGAGCAAGGAAGAAGCUCUGGAUGCAGGGGAUGGAACAGAACAGAGACACGGACUCUGUCAACAGCGAUGCUCCCCAAGCGAGCAGAGGCAGAGCAGCGAAGCCCGCCUCGCAAUCUCCGCUACCCCCAUCGAAGUUGCCACACGCCACCGCAUCUCCCUCCACUCCGCUCCCACUCCCCCGCCACCGCCAUGGCCGCCGCCGCCGCAGCGCCCUCCCUCCUGCACCCACCGGCGGCCCGCAAGGCCCCCACACCUUCUCCCUCUCCUUACCCUUCCCCAUUCCUCCGCCUCCCGGCCCCCGCGCACCCGCGCCUCCCGCUCCGCCUCCGCUCCACCUCCCCGGCCGCCGCCUCCGACCUCACCGACUUCCCCAACCCGAACGGCAUCCUCGCGCCCAUCGACGUGGACGCCGCCACGGAGGCGGAGCUUCGCGAGAACGGGUUCCGGAGCACGCGCCGCACCAAGCUCGUCUGCACCGUGGGCCCGGUCACCUCGUCGCCCGAGCAGCUCGAGGCGCUCGCCGUCGGCGGGAUGAACGUCGCCCGCCUAAACAUGUGCCACGGGGACCGGGAGUGGCACCGGGGCGCCAUCCGGGCAGUCAGGAGGCUAAACGAGGAGAAGGGCUACGCCGUCGCCGUCAUGAUGGACACCGAGGGCAGCGAGAUCCACAUGGGGGACCUCGGCGGCGCCUCAUCGGCCAAGGCGGAGGUGAGGUGCUGUGCUUGUAUGUAAGCUGCUGUCCAGUUUUGGACUUGGCGUUGCAGUUUUCAGUUUUCAGAUUGAACGUAUUCCGUGAAAUGUGCUUGUGCAAUGUGGCAAUGUGGAUGAGAGGGGUGGUGGCAGUGGCAGUGUCAGGCAUUGCCGUUUCAUACUUCUGCAAAACCUAGCGAGUCAGGAUUUCACCAAAAUGUUUUUUUUCCAUCUUCGAAAUGGCUCAGUUGAUUUAGAUUUUCAGCUCAUGUUUGAAAUUGUUAUAGAAGGAAAAACAUUCAGAAUUUCAGAUUGUCAUCAAACACUGGAUUGUGAAAGUGGUAAUCAUUUUCAAGGCUUUCAAUCUUUCAAAAAAAUUUCAAGGCUUUCAGUAUCAGUGCAACUCAAAUAAAGUGCAUGGUAAACAUCACCAUGUUUUGGCUUUCUCUGCAUAUAAGACACGGUGCUGGAGUGGUUCGACGGCGCUGAGGUCCCAAUCCAACCAGUCAGGUUUUUUCAAGGUGUCGAGUUUGAGUGCUUACCUGCGUUGGCCCCAUUCCAACCGGGCGAGUCUUUAUUUAUUUUUCGUUUCUUUUCUUUUUUUGCCUAUGGCCUCCCAGGACCGUAGUCUUGUAUUUUCUAUUAUAUCAAUAGAAACUCGCACUAUCUUGUGCGGUUCGUUCAAAAAAAAGUGAUAGGCAUUGAGCUUCUGAAGGUCGUUGUCUAGAUAUUAGGCCCAAGCCUCAAUGGCUUUUUUUUCCCUGUUGCAAACCUUCCUGUAAGUAAAGGGCACACCAGUGCGAAAGCUCCCACACAAGGUGGGGUCUGGGGAAGGGAAUUCCUAGAUAGCCUUACCCUUGCAAAAUUCUUUUAAAUUUUUGCAAAGAGGUUGGUUCGAACCCAGGACCUCCGGGCCACAAGUGGAGAGUUUUACCACUGUGCCAGGUCCGCCCUUCUAGCAGAAUCUCUUAUGCUAGGUUUAAUUUGAAUUAGCUUUAUUAGUAGAAUGCUUGGCCCAUUUAUUGGUAAAUGGUAAAAUUCAUAAAGAUUAUCCUCAUUCCCUUAAUCAAUUUUAGGUGUUUAACUUGCAGCAAAUUCGAACAAUGACAGACAUGCAGCAUAUUGUUAGUUCAUCUGUAAGACUUGGCUUGCUGGUUUAAUGCUUUGUUAAAGGUUUGAAGUUAAUGUGUCUACUGGUAGCUAUUGAAUCUCUUUAUAGUUUAUUUAUAUCUUUUUUCUUUAUUAGUAUAAAGCCAUGUAGAAGUUUUCAGAAUACUGAAAUUUCUAGUGUUCGUUUUGUGGAGUCUCUGCACCUACAUCCUUUUUUGCAACUGCAUUUCAGAUCCUUCAGUUAUAGCAUGAAUAAUUUUUUAAAAAAGAAAAUUCUAGGUAGAUUCUUGCCCGUAGUUAAUGGUAGUGUCCGAUGAUAGUUGUGUUUUAGAUAAUACAUUAAUAUUAGUAAUCCAAAGAAACUAAACUACUUCCAUGAUGCUAAAUGUCAUCAGUGCUAGCUAGGGUCACUAUACCAAAAAGGAGAUUCUAUCACCAUUCGGCUGUUUAUCUUAAGUUUUUAACCAUACAGUUAGAAGUUUGAUUGUACACCUAUUCAAUAAUCCAAGGUUUUCUUGAGCCACGUUAUUUACCCAAUGACUUCCAUUUUUCUUGGCAUUAAAACCUUUCUGAAGUAAUUAACAAAUCAUGUCACAUUUGUUGGAUUCCACAGGAUGGAGAAGUCUGGACAUUUAGUGUUAGGUCAUUUGAAUUGCCUCUCCCAGAACGAACUAUUAAUGUGAAUUAUGACGGGUUUGCUGAAGGUAUGUAAGCUGACCUAUUUGUUGAUAUCUUUUGCUGUUAUUGUUCACUGCCAUAAUUUUGUCCUACACAGAUGUGAGAGUUGGUGAUGAGCUUCUUGUGGAUGGUGGAAUGGCUCGGUUUGAGGUGAUUGAGAAGUUGGGACCAGAUGUUAAGUGUCGCUGCACAGAUCCUGGUUUAUUGUUGCCACGUGUGAAUCUUACAUUCUGGCGUGAUGGCAGUAUUGUCCGUGAGAGGAAUGCUAUGCUUCCUACAAUUUCAUCAAAGGUAAAUGCACUAGCAUAAUAAAUUUCUUGCUGUAAUUACCAAAAGACCGCAAAACUUUGUUAAUCUAUGCCACCCCUUGGUACUAGUAUUGCAAUGGAUUUACAGCUUGGUUUUUUUUGUCAAUGCCAUGGUCAGUUCAAAACAACAUGUAUUAGUUCAAAGCCUUACAUUGUGCACUGAAACUCAUCUCUUGAUAGUUUUUAUCAGCUAUUUCUUAAGAAGGCUUCUACCACCUAGAGUUGUUUAACUGAAAAUUUAAUCUUCUAGUAGCAGAUACUAAUAUUAUAAGUUUAUAAUAAUGCUGCUCCUACCCCCGACGCAGCUUGCCGGAGGCCCUUGACGCAGCGCUGCCAUCCGCAAGCCCUAACGCCGCCGACGCGCCCCUCUCCUCGGUUGAUUUGGGAAGGCGCGGGACUGAGGCAGGGAGAUUGGGAAGCAGAGCUUCCUGUUCCUCGUCUGCUACUCUGCUUCAAUUGGGCACCGGGAAAAGCGAUGCUGCCGGGUGCUCGGGUUCUUGGAGAGGGGAUGGAAUGGAAUGAUGGAUCGAUGCGGGAUGCGUUGCUGUUGCUAGCGGCUUCUGAUUGGAGAGAGGAGAGAAGCUGGUUGCUUGUGUUACCGUGAACGUGAAGGAAAACAGAGUAGGGAGGAGAGCAAGCUGCUGGUGCAGGAGCAUCAUGGCUACGGCAAUGGCAGCGGUGCGGUUCGUUCCGUCAAAUCCCAGAUUUCGGCCACAUUUGAUUGAUGCGAUUUAAUUUGAUUCCUUAUUGGUCGCCAGCCACGCAUUCGAUUCAUGGACGCGCAGGCCCCGGUGGUGAUGCAAGCCACGGUGGUUCCUGCAUGACAAUAGGUUCUUGUUACAAGACAGUCAUCAGUCAUAUUGUGAAGAACUGAUGGCAGUUUUGAACACAAAUAUAGGAUUUCAUCACGAUACACUAGAGGUUUACAAUCAUCAACUACUGCAGGGGAAAAAAAUGGAGCUAGUAUUUUUGAAAAAUGGCCCGAUGUUGAAUCUGUGAUAAUGCAACUUAUGUAGCAGAGCAACCAUGGUAACACAAAAAUGUGCCAAGAGACUGACCUGAUCUUCUUCAGCCUCUCUCCAGGUCAUCCCCGAGCUUCAUGUCAAGAGCGUUGGAAACAACCUGGGAGAACCUACAUCCUUGUAAUCCUUCUUCAUGAUGAGGAAUCAGUCAGGGACCAUGAACUGGCGAGGGUUAGGAACCACAUUCUUGAGGCGCUCAAGCUCAUCUGGGGACACCUCACGAGCUCUGCACAAAAAUAUUAUCAUCAGAGCUAAACUUCAUGCAAUGGGGCAUUCUAGCUGUAGCAUACAACAACCUACUGGCCCAGUUUGUUAUUGCGGCACAUGGAAAAUUAGUGGGAAAGUGGUGCGAUGCACCCAUCUCAAAUCUCCAACUUCAAAAAACAUGAAUGCCAAAGACUUCUGCAUAGGCUGUCUUUAGAUGGCAGAUGUUUUUUAAAACACGUUUUCCAAUGGGCUUCACUCUCAAGUAGAUUCAGAAAAGCUAAUUGAUGAUCGGCACCAAGCCACAGAUGACUGCCACUAAUGAACAGUCAGUAGAUAAUUUCUGCAUUGUUGCCUAGAUUUCACCUGAGGAAAACCAAACUGAUUGAACAUCUCGCCACAAUUUCUUAGAUUAACUGAGCCCAUCACCUACGGGAAUGGAAGGAAAAAAAACCGAAAACUGUUACCAACAUUACAAUUUGUCAAAUAAUCUUCAUAUUCGAAUUCCCUAUACAAAAAUACCGCUUUGCCAGACUGGACCAGAAAGCAAACCAAACCUAAAUUCAGUAUAUUUAUACAUGUUGAAUCAUCUCUUGGUCACGUUUUCUUCAUUGAAAAGAAGUAAUGAGAAGAAACAUUCUUCAAAAAUUACUGAUCAAAACCAUAUUUUUAGUGUGCUACGAUUCUACAGCGACUUCAGUACAAUGGAAGCAUUGGUGCUACAACGAGCUUCUGAUAAAGUUAGGAGUGAUUUUAAUCCACUUUUCAACUUGGAAACCAAGUUGAAAACAAGUCUUCCUUUUUGUUAAUGUGUUGCCGUGAGAACAUAGAGUAUGAGCAGUUCAAACCGGUUACCUAAAUUAUGCUUGUGAUCCGUGCACUGUGAUGGUCAAACUUCUCCUUGUUAAAUGGCAAGCUGCUGUUGCCUUGGAUCCUAAGGUCGUGCUGUGAAUGGUAUUGUAACUGUUAAGGUAAAUCCUGUUCUCCAUUUGUGGCCAUGCAUGAGAAUUGAGAACUGGAGAUCAUUCUGAAUUUUUGCUCCUUACAGAUUGCUUUGUGUAUCCCUUGUGCGCCAAAUGGGACUGAAAUUCGUGGCGUGAUACGUCAUCGUGACCUUUUGAAUUUUAGUUGGCUUUGUUUUUGUUUUCGAGGAUUUAACUGUUGUGCCUCCGUCUUCCAUGUGGCGAAGAAAUUGACGCAGUGGGGUCGGGAUGGUGUUCAGCUGCUGUUUGCUGGUAGACUGUUUAUUUUGUUUGGGAGUAUAAAGGGGUGGAUCAUCCAUCAUAUCUAAGCAAUAUGAUUAGUGCAAAUCAUGAUGGUCAACGUCAGGUUUCGUUUUGGGCAACCAACCACAGGGUUUCUUUGAUGGUUUCGUAUUCAUUGUAAUCGCUGUCGUUGCUUGCUUCUUGCUGCCCACAUUCCUAUUCUCCCGUCGGCUCGACGGAGGAUUUUAUUUUAAGAAUGCAGAGAAAGAAACAUGCCUCCGUUUUCCAAGCAAAGCAUAUAUUCUUUCUGGAAGGUCAACGACAAGGCCCCGGCCGUUCCAAGCUUCUCGCUGGCCUAGCCGUCGCGUCCAUUCAAGCUCAGAGGCGACUGCCGUUCCGAGCUCUCCAAGGGCCCGCGCGAUGGGAAGCGGCGCGGUUCUUGACGGUGGUGUUGUUCCUCGCCGCGGGGGUCCUCUUCGCGCCCGAAUCGCUGGCGCCUCGGCGGCCACCGCAUGGGGCACCGGCCUCUGGGUCGCAUUCAUCGGCGGCACCAUCCUGUUCAGGUAAGCAAGCGCCGCCGCUGCCGCUUCGUCCGCCCCAAGAUCAGAUGGUUGGAAACAAGCGAGAGAUGGAUUCUGUCAUGUUUACUAAUAUACCAUUAUACCCAAGCCUAAAUGUGAUAUGCUGCUGCUGUCAUAGCAUUCACAUUCAAAUCCAAUUUCGUGCGCAGCAAUGCACGGCGCCCAUCCUAGGAAGAACUCUGAGGAAAAUGACAAGCCUCAUGAAUCUGUCCUUGGAAUCAUGCGAGUUUUAGUAAAUCAUUGGAAUCCACUGGAUCAUCAUCUUAAUCUGGCAACCAUUGGUCCGGAAAAAUCAUUCUAGUAAAUAUUCACCUUGACGAUCUGUUGGAAGGACAAGGACCACAAAAAUUAUGAAUUGGGAUUUAUGUGCUGUAUUGAGAGAGCCCGUAGGUGCUGGAUUUCUCUGGAAACGUUCUGAAAGUUCUGGUAGUGGUAGCACUGCUACAAUUUUACAAGCAUGUGGGGUUGUUCCUCUGUUUGUUGAUUAGGUAUUAUGUUUUGCAGUCUUAAAGUUCAGAAGGUAAUUACCCAGGUGUGCAAGUAUACCUUCAAGUUUUUUUUUAACAUAGUGUACAUAUUACCUUGUUAUAGUGAGAACAGAGAAGUCCACCGCAAAAGUAUAGCCUAGCAUAUAUUGUUCUUGCAAUAGACCAUGUGUGGAUAUGCCCCUUUGCAGGUCGAUUAUUCCAUUCAGAACAUAGCAUGGACCUCUAUAGUGUUUUGGAUAGAUUUUUUUUUAUUAUAAAGGUACUUGCCGAGGCACCAAUUUGGGAGUCUGCGGGGUAAAAUGUUCCCGGCGUAGUUCAUAUUGACAUCAGUGUGUUCAGCGAUAUCUGUGGCAGCAUUCGUAUACCUGCACCCCUGGAAGACAGCAUCAACCAUCGAGCGUUACCAGCAUGGAUUCCUUCUUUCGGCCCUUAUCUGUAACCUUUCAAACCUUCUGGUCAUCACACCCGAUCCUUACCUGCGCUGCCGCCGCACCGCCACCUCUCCCUCCCUGCGUCGCCGCCGCGCCGCCACCACUCCCUCCCUGCGUCACCGCCGGGACCCCGACGACCCCUCCCACCACUCCCUGCAACUGAAGAGGUAAUCCGACAGCGCCCCCUCCGGGCGCCGCCACGCCGACCCGCCUCCGGGUGCCCAAUUGAUACGCCCGGACCGCUCCUCCUCCGUCCGCUGCCCAACCGUGCCUCCUCCGGGCGCCCAACGCCGGCGCACCCCCUGUCCGGUUGCCCCUCCGCGCCAGCGCCCCCCUUCCCGGCCUUCUCUCCACCCCUCCCCCGGCCUCCCCUCCACGCCGGCGCGCUGGUAGACGGACGCCUCUGGCUACUUCUGUGCCGGCCGCGCCGCCGCCAAGCUCGCCCCUACGAAAACGGUAACCUCUUCCGCCCAUCUGCACAUCUCCAUGACAAUCCGUUUUUAUGCAUCCUUAUUGAGGCGGAUCUGGUGGUUCGAUUGCAUAGAGGAGGAUAAUGAUUAGUGGAUUUGCUUGAUUGGCAACAUAGUCCAUCAUUUAUUCUCCUGUUCUCCAUUAUCAGUAUUGUGAAAUUGCUUGACAGAUGGCUGGUCACUUGUUUUUUUUUAGUGAUUCCAAUGGUAAUCAUAUCAUACCAGACCUAGAUAGAAUAUAAUAUGAGAUGAUGUUGCAGACUGAGUCAUCUGAUUCUUGCAGUCUAAUUCUAGGAGUUUUAGGCAGUGGCAUGUGAAUAUUAUCAAUACUUCUGCUUCAGUUAACAUAUGCAACUUAUGGGCACUCACAUAGCAGGUUAUUUUUCUGUUGUUUUAACUAACAUGGCAUGACGUGAUGUUUUUGACUGUUUAACUAAUAGAAUCUUUAAGCUUUGAUUGGUACACUCAAACUUCAUUAUUGAGAUUGGUCGACUGUCAGUAUUGUGAAAUUGCUCAACAGAUGGGAUAUUGCUUGCAUUAAAAGAUUAGCUUCAGGAUAUUGCUUCGAUUGUAGAGGAUGAUAAAAGUAUUGAUUUUUCUUUCCUUGUUUUUUAGUCAUUCGUGCUUACUCUCUAGCAAUGGUUAAUUACAACACUGCAGGACUACUAGCUAGCGUAUUUAUCUAGGUUCUGAUAUAAAGCAUAUAACAUUGGAUCUGGGAUAAUAUGUUGGCUAUUUUGUGGCUGGCCCGGAAGCCCAGUGGUUGCUUUGCUUUGCUACCUGCUUUUGCAACUCUCUUCUUUUCUGAGCUCAUUCUUACACUUUAGCCUGCAGUCGAGUAUGUGUGUUAGCUAUUGAGCUGUUUUGCUUUGCUUAAUCAAAUGCUAUAUUACACCAUGUUUUCAAAUUUGUUCCCAUAGUUAUUUAGCUUAACCUCUAUCUCUGAAAUCAGGUACUUGAUAGGAUGAACUGUAGGGGUCUGAGGUCUUUUUUUAAUGAAGCAACAGGGGAGGACCCUACUGACAAAUUUCAGAGGAUAUAUAUCUGUACAGGUUGCAUGGCCAUGUAGUUCCAAAAGAAAAAAAAGGAGGAGAUUUAGAUCCCUCUCCACGAAAUAUUUUCAUGGUUGUCCAUAAAUAUUUGUUUUCUGUGCAUUAAGCUUUUCUGUUGUGCUAAUCUGAUUCAAGGAACCCAGAAUUGCAACUAUCUUAAAUUUUCUUUUUAUAUUCCAUUUUAUAUCAAUUCCAGGUACAUGCAUGAUUGGUAUGGCCAGGUUGAAUGCAAAUAUGUGGCAACACUGAAGUAGAACAAUCAUUAUGAAGCAUGUCAAGUAAGCAUGUUCUAACUUUUGGAAUGUAGCUUCAUGAAUUUGAUUCUUUGAUAUACUAUACAAGGUUGUAUUUGUUUGAUCUGUCACUUAAUUUGACAUUGGAGUUGUCCGGCCAACAAAUCCACAUGUGCCUCCGCCACAUGGACGCCCCCAAGGCCCGUACGUGAUCCCCAGGUCCCUUCCCUUCUGUUUGGUUGCAAACACUGACAGAGAACCAUUUGCAACUGAGCUCAUGACUAACUUAAUGUACCGUUGCUGCUUGCAGGUCACAGCUCAGAUGAGGCAAAGCGGAUAGCUUGAUUACUGGAUGCAGGAUUAGCAUCCACCAUGAGCCUGUGCACCUGGUCCAUCGUAAUUCUUUGAAUUUACUCUAUUGAAUGCAGGGUGUUCCUGAAAUUGCAAGAAUUAUGGCACCAGAUUGGUCGUCGAUGGACAGAAGGCAAUGCUGUGCUGCCAAUUAAGUUGCCUGGUGAUGUUUCUAACAUGCAUUCUGUACUAUCUGACAUUUUAGAUUUCAGGCUGCUAUCGUAUCUGGUUUGUGACUGUAUUUUCUACCAAUCAAGUUGCCAUCAAACUUAAAUAUUGAAGCCUCUGGUGGAUAUGAUGAUGAAUUGACUGUAGACUGUUGGCCCUUGGGCAUUGCAAAGAGAAGGAAAUAUCUGUUAAGAUAGCCAAAACCAUCAAGUUAGUCCAGAUCAUGCGCUACAAAAUUUCACUUCUUUUAUGAACUGCUGUAGUGUGUAAUAUAAAUAAUGCCAUCAAGUUAAUAUGUAUGUGCAAAAAAUCCCCUGACAGGAAAUUAUUAGGAAUUUAUAUUAGAAACAGGAAACAUGAAUGCUGAAGCAUGUUAGAACUGACAAAACACAAUCAGACAUAGGCAGGUUCUUGGGACUGCAUGAAGAGAGACUCAGAUUCCUAAGGAUUGUUCAAGUGCAUUCGAUGUGAUUUGCCGACGAAUGGAACAGAGGAUGGCCUAUGGCCAGAAUGAGCAGGUGAGGCUCCAUACUAUCUUACCGUAUGUCUUCCUCAUGUCUCAUGUGUUGCAUUGCAUGUAACUGUUAAAGUAUCUGUGCUACAGAUCUCACUUUAUUAAAUCAUGUGAGAUUAAACUUACAUUUAUAUUGUCAUUAAUAGAAAUCAACAGAAAAGAGGUACUGAUUGGAUUACUAAUUCAUUAUUUGUAGUUGCCUUAGUCAAGAAUAUAAAUUUGUCAGGGACAACUCAAAUACAGAAACACACUCAUGAUCCUUUGUAGUUUGCAGUAGAUUGCGAGUUUAAUGGUAAAUCUGGACUUGAACUUCUUUUCAGACUCUGUUCUACCACCGAAUUUCAUACUGCAUUACUUCAUGCUCGAAAAAUGGAUGAAAUCAAAUCGAUAGCCUUCCUCGGUUAACCAUUGCAGAGACACCGCUCUUGUAAUUCAGGACAUGGUACUGCUGCACGAAGUGGAGGUGGAAUACCCGGACGGUCGACCCAUCGAAAAGCACCAAGCGAUGCUACUGGAGUUCGGAAAGUUUGAAAAUGGCCAAUCCACCACUGCCAUGUCCCUCACCGUUGGUGUAGCAGCAGAAAUAGGGGCUCUGGUAGUAACCUUAACCACAGUUAUACUUGCAUGAGGAUAAAAGCAGAAACCCCAUGUAUAUUCAUUUACUCUUGCCCCAUGCCAUGUUGCAGCUCUUGCUCCAGAACAAGGUGCAGACGAAAGGAGUGAUUAGGCCUCUGGAACCUGAAAUCUACAUUCCAGGUGAGUGCAACGUGGACCAUGGUUUUCAUGCCUGUCCUUUGUGGAAUCACCGUGACAUGCAACAGUGCUGACUCGUGUGUUUGCGUGUGUGAAGCAUUGGAAAUCUUGGACUCGUCAGGCAUAAAGCUGACUGAGAGAGUGGAGAUUUGAAAAUUCGUGUGUACUCCCUCCGUCCCUGUCGUUUUCGCUUCCUGAGAAACAACUUUGACUAAAUAUAUAUAAAAAAUAUUAAUAUUUAUGAUACAAAAUUAAUACAAUUAGAUAGAUAUUUGAAUCUAGUUUUUUAAUAAAUUUAUUUGAAGAUACAAAUGGUGCACGUAUUUUCUACAAAUCCAGUCAAACUUGCGGCACGGAAACCAAAAGCGACAGUUAUUUAGGGACGGAGGGAGUAAGCAUUGGAGAUCUUGGAGUCGUCAGCCACCAAGCUGACUGAGAGAAUGUAGAUUUGAAAAUUCGAAGUUAAUAGUACAUAGAUAUACUAUAUGAUAAUAGCUGGGUACAUAUAUUCUGUACAUACUAUGUUCUGUCCUAAGAAAGGGUAGGAACUCCCAACAGUUUGUCGUCGUCGUUGUACAUAGAAUCUCAUAAUGUAUAACUUUCAAAGCUCUAAAAACAACAGGUCUUGUGUGCAACGAUGAUAGUCGGAUUAGUUAUACACCAUGUACUUUAGUGUGGCACUAAAUUAUGAAUAGGUUCUCUAUACUUAAAGCUUCUUAGACUAUGAUGUUCGUCAGCUCACUGGUGAUUGGAAAGGCGUCUUUAGAAAUUGCUACGCAAAACGAUUGGGAGUAUAGGGCAACCCUGCUUGCUUAUUCAAAUUGAUGUACCUAAGGGUGUAAAAUGUGAAGAUAUAUGGAAGUCUUGAUUGUGGAGAAAAAUUGUCAAUCAAAAUAGCAUCUUAUUUAUGAGGUGGGGCCUGAUUCGACUCAUGUCGAGCCCUCUCCUUUGCACCAACGAACAGAUCCAAUCGUUUAAAAUCAGGUCCAAGUUCACAUCUCUUUUGCCCUCCCACUCAGAGCACAAUCGGCCAGCGCGACGGGGAUGGCGACACAGCCACCGACGGCUGGAGCUCCCUCAAUGCUGCCAGCAGGUAAUUGACUAGCCUAUUACUAUUUGGAUGUGAUGCACAUUGGUCACGAAUUUGUAAAUCUAUCAGUUCCUGCUUCCUGCAUCCAUUUGUGCAGUUCUUGCGGUGGAUGCAGUGCACUGAGUAUAGAAAUUAUUUUUUAUUACUUCUGUGAAACGUUUUGGCCUUGGCAAGUAUGUACAGAUUUAGUUGUUGUUUUUUUAGUCAGAGGUGAGCUACGUGUAUGGGAAAGAAACACUUGAUUGCUUGUUCUAGAUCUUGCCUUCAUAUAAACUGUGAUGCUAUCAACAUGGAGAUUUGAUGCAUUCUACUCUCUCUCUAUUUCACAUGGAAAAGAACUCGUGUUUACUCAAUAAUGCUUAUGAAUUUUCCUUAGAGUUGCAUUUAUUCAUCAUCCUAAAGUAUUCCGUGUCAAGUAAACUCAUACUUCUAAUUUUUCAAAAAACAAUCUGAAAUCAAUGAACCCCUCCUUCCUUGUGAAAUUGUUGUACCUUUUUCCUUAUGACAUCUUAUCUACUUCCACUUUCCUGGUGCAGAAUUUUUGAAAGUAGGAAACGUAAGCAAUGACAGUGAGAGUCGCAGCAAUACUGAGCUCAAUAGGUGAACUAGACAAACCAUUCUGCUGUAGUUCAUUUUAUCACUGCAGUCAUCGUCGGACAAUGAGGUCAGAACCAGCAGGUUCGCAGAGUGACUUGUGACUUGUGGAUAAUCCUGCAGAUUCAACAAUGGUAAAGUAACGAAUGGUUAAGGUAUAAGUAGAUUUACUCAAUUAUACUCCAAUAGCUAAUGCAUUGCAUAUAUUGCUUGGCCGUGUAUAUAAAUAUUACAUCACUGUUCAACAUAAGUAAAUAGCUUGGUCCUUCAUAAUAAAGCAGUCCAUUUUGGUAAAAGCUAUAGUGCAAUUAGUUUUCUUGAUUUUCUUAAAAUUUUACUCAAAGUCUGUUCCUUAUGUUGUACAUUUGCCUCGCGGGCUGGCUAACUGACCUACAUGAGGCUGGCUAACUGAUCUGGAGGUUCACUAUCUAUGUUCUUUCAUUUCAUUGUCAAACAGAGAUAUUCUAAAUCUGAAAGUCUGUUGAAAUUGCCUAUGGAGUCUUGUGGUACCUUUAGUGUUUCUUAUCAUGUCCAGUAGGAGGUCUUGGAAAACAUAUUUGCCAUACAUGAUUUUUUUUAAAUCGAAAGUAGUAAUAUGCUGUGUAAUUGCCUUCUUGCCUCCUGACGUGUGGCAAAUUCAUUGAGCGUUUCCACUUACAUCGCUGGCAUAUUCAGAAAACAACGCAAAGAUGAUGGUUUUGGGUGAGAGGUCCUUUGGUCAAGGUAAUUUCAGAGCAUUGAUUUUCAAUGUACUUGUAAAGCCAAGAGAAAGUUGAGCAGGGCACAUUCAGUUGUUAACUGGACUGUUGGCUUGCUGCUAUGGAAACAUGUUUUCAGCCUUAUUACUUGCCGAGUUUACAUUGGGAUCUGAAAACUGGACAGCGUGCCAUUAGUUUUGUCUGUCUCCAGGACAUUGCCCAUGCACAUGAACUGACUGAUUACCAUGAAAAUUCACCUGUUUCAGUUCCAAACUAAUUAUUGCUUCAAGGUCACAAAGCUAUAUGAAAAUCUGUAUCCAAUUGAAUGCCAGAACUCUCUAGGAUGAUGUCAGGCAUUCCCAUUUAUAGGUUAACCUGAAGUGAUUCUUGAAGAUUAGUUUCUGUGUGGUUGAUUUGAACUGUUUGUCAUAUUGUAUGCUUCAUCUUGAUUACUAUCAAUUUCACAGGUCAUGUUCAUUGUGAGGAAUGGAGCGCAAUGCCUUGUGGUAACUCUGGGCAGACGAAAAUAGGCCACCUCUCCCAUUUUCUUGAUAUUUAUUUUCUGAUAUCUGACUAUUGUAUUUGUCGUGAAAUUUAAAUUGUAGACACUAACAGAUCAUGUGUCACUUCAUGCUUUGACCAUGUGAAAAAAAUUCAGUGUAUUUACCCAUGAUCGGUGCCUUGCCCCGAGUGGUCUUUAAUUCCUGAAUUAGGCAACGGUGAUUUUUCUUCUUAAUAUAUAGAUGCGCAGCUCUCCCGCGUGUUCGAGAAAAAUGAGGCAACGGUGACACAGCGCUCGUAGAAAGUAGAAAGUGAAGAAGCGGUUUGAGCAUAUUGCUGUUGACAGCUACCUCCGCAAGAUUUGGCCAGUAUCGUGAGCUGAGUUUCACAACCCUGAACCACUUGGUAAAAAACAGUCUGAAUUUUGCGUUGUGAGUAACUAACUAGACAUCCGAAUAAAUUAGUGUACUGAUAUUCUGAAAUUUGUUUUAGCACUGGGACUCUCUGGACUAUCCGGUGGAAUCAGGCCUUGGCAGGACUGAGGCAGAUGUGGGGGGUGACACCGUGCAGGUGAGGUGGUGGCGGUACCUGGCUCUGGCAUCUCCCUUUAUCCGCUUGAUGGAAUGGCAGCAUGGGUAUGGAGACACCAUCAGCAUCUAAACAAGGCCCAAAAGGUACAAAGAUAUGAUUUAAUCACUUUUGAUUUGUUUAUUUGCUAUCAUAUAAAUUGCAGGUCUUGAGUAAUAUGUCAAUGCUAUAAUUUUGCUUGCUUGUUGUGUGUCCUCUCUAAAAUCUUUUCUUUACCAUAUAUAUCCAUACGCACAAGAUAUUUGCAGUUACAAGUAUAAUCCUCAAGGAGUGAAAAGCUUGGGAUUCUGUUCGUGCAGGCAACAGGCAUUGAUUGCUAAUCAGCAUGGCCUCCACAAGUACCCAUCAUAGGAAGUGCAGCAACCAAUAUUGUGUUCAAACCUGAAGAAAAUAUAUGGGGAUGGCUGGGUGGCUGCACAGCUCAUGGCAGGGACCAAUUUGGAGUCUGCAUCUUCUUUCCCACAUAUAUAUGAUAUUUCCAUAUACUGUCAGGAUGCUAUUAAACUGCCUUCACCAGAUUACUAUAAACUGUGAACUUCGGAACUUUAAUUUUCGAUAAGUUGGAGUCGACGCUUAAAACUUCAGAGCUUUAUUUACUCCUAAGUACCAACAGCUCUAAAUUUUUGUGCACUGCACCCUUAGUUUUUAGUGAACAAUACUGACUGCUGAGGUUAUAAUGCAUCUUUCUAUGUGGGACUAAAGUUUUGUCAAGUAAGGCUAUGUACACAUUGAUAAAUCUGCUUCAGAAUAAUAUCGCUGAUACAUUGCAAUCUCACUAUCUGAACAAAAUCAGGUUUAUCAGUUAUUUAUAGUAGACUUGCUUGUUAGAAAGGACCUAAAUAGGUUUUCUUUGUCUAUGUGAAUUUUCGGGGAAUUCUGCUUAUCUUCCAUGGAUAGAUGCUACUUCUCCUGUAAUAUCGAAUUGGGUCAUGUGUGUGUCAGCUCUUUGCUAGCCAAAGGAGCUUGUGACUUGCAACUACUACUGCUUAUUCAAUGAUCUCUAAUAACUGAAUCAUUUUGUUCAGAUUCUAAUUACCAGGUCUUUUCUCAUCUCUUUAUGUUUUGAGGUGUUGGAUGAAAUAGGGUUAAUGGUGUUUGCUACCAUUCUACAAGAAAAUAGGGUUAAAAUAUUCUUGUAUUCCUCAGAUUAUUUGUGUCAUGCAAACUCCACUUUAGAAAAUUCCAUUCUAAAUGGUUGUGUGAGAUUAUGUACCAUUCUAAUAUGAUCUCAUGAGGGGAAUUAUUUAGCCUGUAGCAACGCACGGGCACGAUCCUAAUGGAAUUGAAAAGAAUAGAGAUCGCGAUGAACCACGAGAAUAUCUAGUGUUGGAACGCAAAGCGGAGGGCAAGUACCCAUACAAAAUCUAAUAACUCUGCAACAGCCAUCACUAGCAAGUUGUCAUACACUCAUUAUGGUCUUGGCCACGAGACAUGAGCAAGAGAUGCACAUCAUGAUCUAGGAAGCAGCAGCGCGCGGGUAUGGUCGCAUGGAACAGCCUCUUUGCCCGCGCCGGCCACCCCUUCCACUGCUGCUCAAAAGGUGCUCGACAAAAUGCCACUCCAGGACACUGCCCGCGCCGGCGCGCCUGGGCAGGAAAGAAAACAGGAAAAACUCUGAAAAGGGAGUAGUAAUGCACAGAAACUCACAUUGCUAUUCGAGUUGCCAUGAAACGUUGGGAUGGGUGUAAGUAACGGAUCAUAGAGACUGUCCAUUGUCAACUUGUCAUUAUUAAACAAAACUACUAUUAUUUUCCCUCCUGGCCUCGAGAUGCUAAUGGAUGGCCCAAAACUAAUGCAAGAUGCACAUGCUCUCACAUGGUUGAAGACACGCAGAUCAAGAUGCACAGAUCGAACACAUCUGGACGAACGUGGUUCUAUAUUGCUGUAGUGUAUGCAACCAAUUAAACACAUCCACUUGGCUCCUCCAAAGUCAACGCUCGAAGUCUCCAUUUUCCACAAAAGCAGCAGCUCAAACCAAGCGUCCAGCUUCUCUCUCUCCACCCAGCAACACUGUGUUUCCUGUGUCCUGUCACCUGUGCGUGUGUUUUUGGAUCUCCAGGCGUUGCCAUGGCUGAGGUACUGGCCACCAUGGUGGUCGGGCCACUGCUGUCCAUGGUGAAGGAAAAGGCCUCCAGCUACCUCCUGGACCAGUACAAGGUGAUGGAGGGGAUGGAGGAGCAGCACAAGCUCCUGAAGCGCAAGCUGCCGGCCGUCCUGGACGUCAUCGCCGACGCCGAGGAGCAGGCGGCAAAACACAGAGAAGGGGCGAAAGCUUGGCUGGAGGAGGUCCGGACGGUGGCCUACAAGGCGAAUGAUGUCCUCGACGAGUUCAAGUACGAGGCGCUUCGCCGCAAAGCCAAGGCGGAGGGCCACUACAAGGCGCUCGGCAUGGAUGUAAUAAAGCUCUUCCCUUCUCACAACCGUUUUGUGUUCCGUUAUAAGAUGGCAAACAGGCUCUGCAUGAUCUUGCAAGAAAUUGAUGUCCUCAUCGCAGAGAUGAAUGCAUUCAGGUUCAAAUUCAAACCGCAGCCGCAAAUGCUCAUGCAAUGGAGGCAGACGGAUGCUUGCAUCCCCACUGAGUCUGUGGACAUUGCCAGCAAAUCAAGAGCUCAAGAGACGAAGGAUCUUGUUCAUCAAUUGCUCGAGAGCAGUAAGGAUCGAUUGCUUGCUGGAGCCAGCAGUAAGGAUCUCAUGGUCCUUCCGAUAGUCGGAAUGGGGGGGUUGGGCAAGACCACCUUAGCACAGCUCGUUUACAAUGACACUGAAAUUAAGAAGCAUUUCGAGUUGCGGCUCUGGGUGUGUGUCUCUGAUGAUUUUGAUGUGGAUUCCCUGGCUAACAAAAUAGUGAAAGAGAAUGGUUGUGAAGCAAGUGGAAGUUCAUCAGCACUGGACAAUCUUCAAAAGGCAGUGAGUGGGAAGAGGUACCUCCUCGUAUUGGAUGAUGUGUGGAACCGUGAUGAGCCCAGCAAGUGGGAAAGGUUGAAGUCCUACCUUCAGCAUGGUGGCAGCGGUAGCUCAGUGCUGACAACAACUCGCGAUGAAGCUGUUGCUAAACUAAUGAUGGGUACAACUGAAGGAGCCUAUAAACUUGGAAGCUUGGAUGAAGAGUCCUUAGGGAAAAUUAUCAAGGCAAGAGCAUUCGGUUCAAAACAGCCUGGUGAACUAGUUAAC
RNAcentral lists this long non-coding RNA (89983 nucleotides) under Setaria italica (foxtail millet). RNAcentral describes it as "long non-coding RNA (SITA_LNC000924)". Lineage: Eukaryota; Viridiplantae; Streptophyta; Magnoliopsida; Poales; Poaceae. The record is from RNAcentral.